UGAAGUUUCACAUACUGUGUGUCCACUUCUGACCAAUCAGAUUUCGUGUUUUUGCGACGUCAGAUUCACCGGUUUAUCCAACAUGGCCGACCGGCUGAUUGUUUACAUGUCGGAGAACAGAGAGCUUUUUGAUAAAAAACACAAAUAUUGCAAAGAUAACGACCUGAAGGACAACUUGUGGAGAGUCAUAGCGUCUGAUUUCUCAUAUGACGAUGGUUUGUGUGCUUUAACAGUUUGCUAAACGUCUUUGUUUUAACUUUCAUCUGUGCUAAGUAACUUUAGCUCGUAAGCUAACCUGUUCAGAUACAACAUACCAUAUGUAUUUUCACAGUCUCAAACUCAAUCACAGCGCCAGUAGGUCUCAGUUGUUACCUUACGUCUAUGGAUUAUAGUUUAAUGUUCUUAUCUGGUACUGGCCCCGACUCAGUACAUGCUAUCAUGACAGACAGACAUCUCAACACUAGUGUCUAAUCAGAACUGUGUCAGAGUCUUCUCGCUUCCACCCGGGACGCGUCUUUUUUCCCUCGGAAAGUCACAAAAUCGCAUCGGGCCUGAUGUGUAUAGUCAGGUGCGUCAAAAUUCACCUCUGAAUAUUCUGUAAUUUCGGGUCGUAUAUUUGCGUCGUUCCCGGUGUGUAAGGACCUUUCGGCCUUAAGUGUCUCAGUUAGGGUUAGGGCUGCUUUAAAUCAACCUAAAUAGUGUGGAGGUGAACUAUGCGCUCUUUCACACAGAAAAUGAAAUGUACCUGGUUUCCAAAGAGAAUGUCAAAUUUUUGAUCCAUGUUUUAUUUUAUUUUUUUCACUUCCUUGUCCAAAAAACUGGAUUACAGUUCAUCUCUUUUUUAGAGACAUGCUGUUGUAAAAAGAGUCAAAUGUGGUUCAGCAUUGUCUUAAUUUGAAAUCAAAAGUCCUCAGAAAAAAGUCAUUUUGCAACAAAACAUAACUAUUUUUCAUCUAGGAUUAAUGAUUCCAUCCUUGAUAUACAUCACAGAUGCUUGCUUUGAAACUAGAUGGCCUCACUCCUGAUGAUGCGGUAACCAUGGUUUCUAAAAAGGAUGUCGCUUCAGUCAAUCUUUAACAAAAAUUUUUAAUCACAGACAUGAACAUCUGUUUUGAACAUCUACUUUUAACAGCUCCAGCCUCUCUUGGAUGCCUCUCUUUGUAACACAGUCAUCUCCUUUGGUUGCUUUUAGAAUAAUUGUCCAAAACUUUUUACAAAUAUUUUGCUUGUAUCAAAUCAAAGCAUCACAUCUUUUUAGAAAGAGGGGUUUGUGAUCUAAAAGUUCACUAAAUUUAGAUUAAAGGCCGACGGUGGCUGGGAACUUUUAAUAAUAUGCUACUCAUGUUAAUACAAAAGGAAUAAAUGUACAUUUAAUACAAAACAAAGCCCAUUUCCACAGCUUAUUUUGGAGAUCAAUGCACUUUUCCUCAUGUUUGGGUACAAAAUUCCACUGGGAUUGCUUUGUUUUAAUGAACAGUUUCUAUAAAAGAGUUGCUGUUUUAUUGUAAUAGAGGUCAUAAAUCGCAGCAUUAUCAGCGGCUGCACACCCCUUUUCCUGGACUGUAAAAGCUGAAAUAAACUCCUCAUUGUAAAGGUGUGAAAUAAAUUAAAAGGCCACAUCCACCAGAGACUGUUUCUCACCCAAUAUUUCGUUCGAGCUUUCCAGUCCUUCUAGAGGAAUUCAAACAACCGACACUGAAAUAUCAACACUUGGAAAUUAUCUUUGAACCACAUCAUGCCUGAAACAGCUAUUUCCUGAAAUCUACUUGGUUUUCUUUUCUUCCUCCAGCAGAUUAGUCACAGCGGGUGCGCGUUCUACUAACAUGCAGGAAUAAAGAAUAAGCUUUCCUGAUCUGGUAAAUCAAAGAGUUUCUGGGUUACUGAUCCUCGGGAAUCGCGUGCUUACACCUGAUGUAAUAAUGCGUGCAUGCAUAGCGUCCAUUCAUGGCUUUGUAGCGGCGGAGAGAUAAUCUCCCUCAGCCAUCGGCUUGCAUGUGCAACUCUGAGAGGUAAUACACUGUGUUUGUCUGCCAUUGUGCAGAAUUUCAGACUACGCCUGAGCAACAAUGUGGGAGCUCAUGCAGGGCGGAAAUCACGACACAAGAUAUUAUCAAGGUGUGCAUGAUCAAGGCUUUAUCUGUUCAAUCAGAAAAACGUGUGCAGCAGCGGCUUGAUUCAUAUUCGGGUGAUUAACGGCAGCUGGUCAGUUGUUGGUUUUUUCAUUUUUUGGGAACAAAAUCAUAAUGAAGGUCAGACCUCGGAGAGAAAAAGGAAGUCACGUUUUUUCCUGUGAUAGAUCAGGAGAUAUCUGCCAGUCCAAGGUUUGAAUUUGGGGUUUUAUCAAAUGACUUUUUCUCACUUUGCUCAAGAGCAUAAAUGAGAAAAACAAAUCGACUGACACGAAACAUCUGAUCACAAAUAAUAUCACAGAGAGAGGAGGAGAUGGCUGCUUGGUGUUAACAUGAUGUUGUUGUGUUUAAAACAAUUAAUGUGGAUCUUGUAAAUAUAGAAACACUGCGGCGACAACCGGGCGUGAUGGAAAUGAUGGAUGCACUGGCACUGCGGGAUGUGAAUAUGACAGCAAUGAGGUGUCACUCACUGAUGCUUUGAUUCAGUUGUGGGCCUCCUGCAGGAACAAAGAGUGCUCUCUUACCACUACUUCAUUUACAAAGAGCUUGAUCUCUGGGCUAGCUUAUACAUUUUCACCCAUUAGGUGCUUUGGAAUGACCAUUUUUGGGCGUGAAGAGGGCUGGAUAUGUGAAAGGUCCUCAAGUUGAUUUAUAAAGGUGACAAUAGCUGCGUUUAAAUAGGCAAAAAUAAUCUGUAUAAUGUCAUGUUAACAUGUUGAUAUGCGUUUCCGAAACGCAUCAUGAUAAAUAAAAAUGCGUCAUGUAAACAUGUCGAUUGGAAGAUUCCAAUCCAAUUCCACUCAAUCGGAAAGAAAUUGUAUUCUGAUCAGGAGGAGUUGUUAAUGCUGAUCCUUAUUCCAAAACGCGUCCAUGUCAAUACUUAUUCCGAUCGUGACUCUCUUACCUGACUUGAUCUUCACUCUCUAACCUUUGGCUUAUUUAUUGAUGCCAGUACAGUAGGUUUCGUUAUUAACACUCUAGCAUAAAACACAACCGCAGGUGUCAUGUCUGCUCCUCCGUUAACAUAAAAAGGCGUACAUACAGCGUAAUCAUGUCACAUCUGUAUGCUCAGUGCAACCUUUGACAGAACAAUAAAAUAAGUACGCAAGGGCGCCAUCUAGUGACAACAUUUAACAGUGGGUAAACUCCUGUGAGCCACGGCUGCGUUUGUUGGUUUGUUGACAGCACAGGCGUAAAUACAACUCUUCUUCUGUGGUUGUUUUAGUGAAAUUAGACAAGUCCGUGCAUGUCCAAAUGCCUCAACUGCACUACUGCCUGAUGGUCAUGUUUAUAGACUGUUUCUAUUUAUUCUUUAUUUAGUGUUAUUGUUACAGUAUUUGAAUUUGUAGAAUGUGAACUGUAGAAUGUGGAGAGUCAUAGCGUCGGAUUUCUCAUAUGACGAUGGUUUGUGUGCUUUAACAGUUUACUAAACGUCUUUGUUUUAACUUUCAUCUGUGCUAAGUAACUUUAGCUCGUAAGCUAACCUGUUCAGAUACAACAUACCAUAUGUAUUUUCACUGUCUCAAACUCAAUCACAGCACCAUUAGGUCUCGGUUGUUACCUUACGUCUAUGGAUUAUAGUUUAAUGUUCUUAUCUGGUACUGGCCCCGACUCAGUACAUGCUAUCAUGACAGACAGACAUCUCAACACUAGUGUCUAAUCAGAACUGUGUCAGAGUCUUCUCGCUUCCAAACAGGACGCGUCUUUUUUCCCUCGGAAAGUCGCAAAAUCGCAUCGGGCCUGAUGUGUAUAGUCAGGUGGGUCAAAAUUCGCCUCCAAAUAUUUUGUAAUUUCAUGUCGUAUAUUUGCGUUGUUCCUGGUGUGAAAGGACCUUUCGGCCUUAAGUGUCUCAGUUAGGGUUAGGGCUGCUUUAAAUUAACCUAAAUAGUGUGGAGGUGAACUAUGCGCUCUUUCACACAGAAAACGAAAUGUACCUGGUUUCCAAAGAGAAUGUCAAAUUUUUGAUCCAUGUUUUAUUUUUUUUUUCACUUCCUUGUCCAAAAAACUGGAUUACAGUUCAUCUCUUCUUUAGAGACAUGGUGUUGUAAAAAGAGUCAAAUGUGGUUCAGCAUUGUCUUAAUUUGAAAUCAAAAGUCCUCACUGGUGUUUCACUGGUGCUGUUUUUUUUUUCAAUUUCUCUCUGAGAUUAUUAAGUAUCUACAUAUCUACCAACGUACCUACGUAUCUACCUAUGUAUCUACCAACAUAUCUACCUACGUAUCUACCUAUCUACCUACCUACUCACCUUCUAAUCUGAAUAAGAAUUGGAGCAUGUAUACGCACAUCAUGAUCGGAUUAUUUGAUUUUGCACCCAUAUGAACAGUGGAUUCAGAUUAUCCAGUCCCUCAAAUUUUUAAUCAAAUCAAGAAAUUUGGUACAUGUACAUGUGGCUACUGUAAAAACCUGUGUAUCUGAAAUUCCUGAAUUAGUCUUUUUUACUUUAGGAAAUCAUACAUUUGAAAGAUUAUGCAUUGUGUAAAUAUAUAUAUAUAUAUAUAUAUAUACACACACAAUAUCUCCUUAAGUCAUCCCAGGCUGUUUCGUGAAUGUACACUGCAGUAUUGAGAAUGUGCUGUUCUGUUUGUUUUCAGCCUCCUAAUGUUUACCCAGGAAGAUAACACAUAAAUUGAAGCCAUUUCAUUAUCUUGGCAUAAUUAAAGUUCCUUUUUAAUGGAAAAAAAACCCAGGUCAGAUUAGUUCUGUUUUGGCGAUAGAGCUGCCUAUUAAGGCUAGAGUCACGGACUGUCUCUGAACCUCAGCAUAAUUUAAGAUUUCUGCUGCAUCCUUUGGGUUCGCAGAGACCUCAAAGUUGCUGUCUUUGAGGGUUUUUUCAUGAAAAAAAAAGGAUGAUUAGAGUAAAAAAGUAGUUCCUCCGUCACCUUUUUCCACUUUUUGAGCGUCUUUGAGAGUCGGUCAAACAAAGAGUUGCUUAACACUUGCAUACAUAAACAUGAGCUGAACCGAUCUUUGACGUCUUUGCCCUCUCUUUAGUCUCGCUUUCCUUAUUUUUUGAAGGGCUGCUCUCAUGCUAAUCUUGUGCACCUGUUGAGAGGUGCUGCCCCCUGCCACUCCCUAUCUUUCCGCAGAUGUCAACCCCCCGCCGACUCUGUCCCAGGAUAAAUGUCGUGCGGAAGCAUGACUUGGGGGACAAUACGCCCUUUUGCAUAACUUAAACCCAAGAUAAAGUUUCAGCUUUUUCCGUGUCUUCGUGCUCUUGUUAGGAAUUUGUUUGCAUCUUCAAACACUGGUUGAGGCUAUACCCCAGAUUUAAAAGCUGCCAAUGCUCGCUUCAUCUUGUUCUAUUUAUUCUUCUGACAUUCGUUAUACAAAUGCUCAUUCCGAAAAGCCUUACUUUGUUAUUAAGGAAUGCAGAAACACUACAUUUGAGAGUCUAAUCUGCUUAUUACCAUCAUUAAAAAUCUGUUUACUCUCCAAAAAACAUCCACUGUUGGAUUUUGCUUGAAAUACAGAUCCACUUUUUGGAUGCUUUCUUCUUUUUUAAUUCUCAAAAUAAUGAGACAGACUGUUAAUGUAGUCCAGAUGAUGCACUUUGUUGUGCGUUUUUUGGGCGACAAAUCACCGGGGAAACGAUUCUCUGUAUCUCCUGAAUCAGUUGAAUGACCCAUCUGUCUUUCAGUGUGCACUCCCAUCUUAUAUAAUUAGGGAGAAAUUGCCAAGAAAUCAGGUUGUGCACACUGCCAUAACAGAUAAUCCAGCGUCUUUUGAAAUGCAAUGAGGAAAAAAAACAAAGAAUGUGAGCUGCAGCGUGUAAGAUCUGGGGAUACUUAUACAAGGUCUUAUGAAUAAAAAGACAAAACACAUACACAUGUAAGCAGAUAAUAGAGAAGUAGAGGACGUAAACAAGAAUGCAAGGGAACAAUGGGCUAAAAGAAAAGAGAAUGAAUUGUGAGCGAGGAGGCGUAUAUGAAGGACAGAAGAUAAUGCAGUGAUGGAAUGCAAAUGACUUGAAUUCACCUCUCAUUGUCUUGAAUUUGCUGCUUACUUGUCAGCAAAUAACCAUGAAUCUUAAGUUUCAGGCUCAGCGAAUCGAUUCAGAUUUUGAUAGAAAUAUAUUAGUUCCAAGACCACUUGUUUAAAAGACAUCACUGUUUUAUACUAUAUUAAGUCAAAUAAACAGAAAUUUGACUUUCUUUUGUUCAAUGGCGGUGUUCCACAAGGUUCACAUCCGGGCCCCAUGACAUUCUCCAUUAAUUACUGACAUAGUUUAUAAUUGUAGCACCUGUUAUGCUAAUCUUUGUGCAGACCACAGUAAAUUACUGUAUACAGCUGAUAUGCACCAUAACAAAGGCUACGUUCACACUGCAGGUUAUGAUGCACAAUUCGGAUUUUUUGUUAAAUCCGAUCUUUUUGUGCGGUCGUUCACAUUACAACAACAAAUGCGGCAUCUACCGUGAACGGAAUGCGUCCGUGAAGUGAUGGCACGCCCACAAAGCACAAAUUGCUGUUUGUGUUGUCAAGUAAUGGUGACGUUUGUCGCAUAUUGAUGACAUAUAGGUGGGAUGAACGCGACCUGAGCGUCCACACUGUCACAUCGGAUACAUAUCCGAUUUAGAUCCACAUACAAAAGAGGCCUGGGUCGGAUUUGAAAAAAUUAGAAUUGCACUCUUCACACUUACAUAAAAAAAAUCAGAUAUGUGUCACAUAUGGUUAAAAAAUCGGAAUUGACCUUCAAUGUGAACAUAGCAGAGUUUGAAAAUGUUUGAUGUUUGAUUUAAAAAACUCUUGUGAACCUGAAACUGCUUUAUUUAGAACUUGACUUAAUUAUUGAAACAGAAUCAAGACAAAGUAAUGUUUGUCAAACAAAGGCAAGUAUUAUUCUAUUGUUUCAUCCACAAUCCAAUGUGAUAUAUAUGGUUAGCUUAGCUAUUAGCAUAGCCAGUUUGAAUGGGUUUUUAAUUAAAUUGUGAAAAAAACGCCAACAUUUUUUUUUUUUAUGCAACUAGUAUUUCUGCCAGGGACUAAUUAAAGCUCCUGUAAGCAGCUUUCUGUCAAUGUUGACUUUGGCGCCCCCCGUGGACAUUAUUAUGACUUGUAUCAUUUCUGGUUUUGGUCUCAUUUUUGCGACAGAUCUCCUGUUAUCUUUUAAAAGGCAAUAAAUGUGACUCAAGAAGAACAGUUGCUGUAGGUGAGACUGUGUUUCAGUGUACCUACCCCCUCAGACCAUUUACAGGCAUCAAAAACAAUCAUGCAGGAAGUGUUAAUCCUUUCAUUUAUGGUUUUCUUUGCUUUUGUACAUCAACGAGAUACAUCACUAUUUAUUUUCAACUAUUUCAUCACUGAUCAAAAACUCCUAACAGGAGCUUUAAACUGCAUUACGUUUAUACUAUAACAAGCAUUAAACACGAGCUAUUAUUUGCUGUUGUGUUGUAAACUAAUAGGAAAAAGAAAAAGUGAGGCAAAGUGAAACUUUUCUUUCUCAGCGACUGUGGCAAAGGAUUACAAACAAUUUGAUACAAAUGGAUUGGACUGUACAUAUUUAACUUUGUUUUGUACAAAUGUUGUCGAGAUAAUUUGAAGACAAUGACAAAUGUUUAGUUUCCCUACAUGCAGAUAGAGCUUAAUCAAUUCAAGUGAUUUUUCCUUUUUCAAUCCAGAAGAUGAUAAAUUUCAAACGUCAUCAAAGGCCAAAAUCGUUCAUCAUUCACCACAGAGCCCCGAGUCACUGUGUGUUUUCUUUGUUAUCAAUGUAAAGCAAGUUUCUUUGUCAUUUCUGAGAUAAGAUGAGGCGCGAUAAAUCUGUUUUUGUAGCUAAUAAAGCAAACUGUUUCUGGUGCAAUGUUUUGCAGCCUCAUCUCAUCAUUUUCGCCUGAGAUGACAUCCUGCUGUUUACCAUUUCUGCCCAUUAUUUACAAGUCAGUGUUUGGACUAUAAAUUGUGCUUCUCUCCGGGCCCCCACUGACCUCCACACAAGAUGAAAGAACCUUCAAGAUUCUUCAGUUUGUGUCUGCGUGGGCACUCUGUCUCGCAGAUACUUUUGUCAUCAUUACUGUUCAGCAGGAUCACAUCGGUCAGAAGCAGAGGGACCCACACUUUUUACUGAUCUGUCCAGGGAGGCAGCGUAAGUCUGUCUCAAUCAAUGCGUGGACAUAGACACAGUGAGAACUCGGAAAAGGCGGAAAAUACACUAAAACCUCUGAUUAAAUGUCUGUUAAAAUACUCAGAAAAUCACUGAUUGGGUACCAAUUAGAGAGAAAAUGGAGCCGCAUUUCUGAGGCAGGUCUAAUAAUUUAAAAUGUAUUAAGAAACCAGGCCUGACAGUUUUUGCCCUUUCUAAACUCUGCAAAUUAUAGCUUACUAAUCAUUUAUCAAUGCAGAUAGUCUGUAUCACUUUUUCUUUCAUUUUUCAACUUGAAAAUGGGGUUUAGAAAAAAAAAAAAAAGUAUUUUUAGCAAAAGUUUUAAAAGCCAAGAUGAAAAUGGGAAAUAUCUUAAUAUCCAAUCUUGUCUUCCAAUCAAAAAUGGAAAUAAACUUGUUUUUUCAGCAUAACACAAUUCCAUGUGUCAUCACUCUUGGUUAUUUUGCUGAUAAUCUGACUCACUGUGUGAAGACAUAGAGCAAGAUCUGGCAAUAUUUUAAGUUAUAAAACAUAUUUGACAGCCCAUUAGCUAUCAGAACAAAGCUUGUGUAACCUGAGUAUUGAGCCACAACCACACGAACAAUAUAAAAGUUUAACUCUUUGAUUAAAACACAUGGUAGUUGCAAAGAAAAAACAGUUCAGCUGGAUCAUUCUUAAGCAUGUGUUUGACUGGGCAUUCUUGAGUGAGCACAAUUCCUAUCCAAUGAUACCUUCAUAAUCAACCUUAUAGCUGUACACCUGCACCUACUCUGUAAUUAAGGCGCAUACCAGAGAGCCUGUUGGUACCAAUUUUUGCUGUCUUGUUUUAGAGUUACCUUGGGUCCCUCUUGGGACUAGAUAAAGCAUGAGUACAGUACGCAGGUUGGACUAGUUAAUUGGUCAUAGGAAGAGCUUUCCAAACUGGAAAUUUAUCAGAUACAGAGUUAUGGUGUACUGGGACAUUUUCUUUUGGAAUCCCAGUACCGCCAGAACCGUUUCUUGGCCUCUCCACAUUAGCGCCUCUUGCUGAUUUAUUCUUGCACCCAAUACCAAACACCUACUGUGAGGGAGCUCACAUCCCCCUCACUGAGGUAGAAAAACCAUACACUGAUGCAUAUUGACUUUUAAGAUCAACUUCAUCUAAUACAGGAAGGUGUUUUUUUGUUUUUGGUGUCACAUUUUUUAGCCCGAUACCAGACAUCAAAACGUGUUGUGUCUAUGCAAUGACUCGUCGAUCUGGCGGCAUUUGAUUCUCAUCACGGCACUGUAAAUACAUCAAAGGUGUGUUGUCCUGGUUUUGCUUAAAUGAAAGAAGUUGCAAUCUUCGCUAAACAUGUUAACUGAUGGCGUCUGCAUGGUGUGGUCUUCUUUCCCUUGUCCCGACAGUUUGACAACUACAGUGUCACUGCUCUCCACUAUUGCGCCAUCUGCCCAGGCGCUUCGCAUUGUGGGUAACUGUAGGUGAAGCAGACUUGUCCGAUGCAUACUGUGAAAUUUUCCCGAAUCAGAAUGUCAUCCUGGUAUUUUUGGCAUACUGCAAAUUUGGCAUUUGUUCACCUCCUGCAUACAGCAUACUACUAAAUUACUAAAUAGACAUACUAAGUUUUGUGUCUCUUAUGCUGGCCUGCUGCCGUAAUUAAGGGCGAUCAGCUACACCUGCUGCAAUUAGGGGAAUCAGCUACACCUGCUGCAAUUAGGGGAAUCAGCUACACCUGGGGGGUGUGGCUGUGUCUACCAGGAGUAUUUUGCUGCAUGUGGUUGAGACUCAGUAGAGUUUUGUGUGUCAAGUGUCAGUAAAAAGAUACCAGCCAGAGCUUUGGAACCUGUUGAAACCUAAUGGUAAAUGAUGUAGGAGUAUGGAGAUGUGGGGAAGUUCUUUUACGUGUCACUUUGCUAAAUUUGCUAAAUUCACUCCUAGAGAACCGACAGAGCACUCGCAUCUAAAUCUUCUCCUCAUACAAUUGUAUGCCAUAUCUCUAAUAUACUUAAAGGUAUUUCCAGUUUGUAUUUGAGGUUUUACCCAAAGCUUGUCUCAGCAAAGAGAGUUUAGUAAUAGAGGUGCUCCGCUUUGUCUUCCAUCGAGGGCAUAGUCAACAUUCAGCCGCGGCUCCCGCCAAGGACUAGUCUGAAUUGCCCCCUUCAAAGUCAAUACUACAAAACUAAGUGUAUCAAAAAAGACUGACAAGAAAAGGGUCCUCCUUCAGCCAAAAGACACUUCUUAUGGCGAAAUUUUGGAGGACACAGCUGGAGAGUUCUUUGCAGUUUUGAGUUUCCCAAACACAGUUAUGGACCCUGUCAUUGUGAUAACUCAUAGCCUGAAGUGAGUGCUUUCAUUUGUAGAGCACUUUUUUUUUGAGAUCAGAAUUUAAGAAUCAGAUUUAAAACACUGCAUAGACACUUUUUUAAAUGCAACUUGGCUUUUCAAUGAAAUGAGGAAAUAAGGAAAAGGCAAGGUCAGAAAUCAAGUUGUAUUCUAAAUCGGAUAUGUUGCCUUUGGGAAGAAAAAAAAAAGUUUAGGUUAAACACUUCCCAUUGUGUGCCUUGUUAAAGUUUUAUUAUUGGCAUUUAAGAUUAAUAGAAAAAAAUUGUCUUUUUUUGCCACGCAAGGUAAUUUGAGAAUUUGAAUAUUUUAAGGUUUCAAUAAGUGUGCAUAAUCAUUUAAAGUCAAUUUGAAUGAACAGUGAGGCAGAAAUUAGCCCUGCUUUUGACACACAGUGGUGUCUUAUAUUCCAAAAUACCAUCCAAAUACAGUAUAUAAAGAAUUAACGCCAAAAAUAUAACCCGAAUCUUUUCAGCUGUUACAAAACUGACUAAGAAACCUUUGCAAGGCCAACAGAAUAGGACCCAGUACUGAGCCCUGUGGCACACCACCACCAAUAGGUCAAAAGUUGUACACCACUUUUUAUGUGGUUUUAAAUUCGCAUAUUACGAAGUUGGAAUAAAAUCAUGCAAGUUUGCUCAAGUUGGAGCAUGAGGUCUUGGUUUCUUGGCAAAAGGUGGUCUUGGAUCCUUCAUCUAGACUGAUAGGAGCACUCUUGCCAGUCUUGUACUUGGUGGAUCUGUUGCCAUUGACUUGCUGCCAGCUACUUUAGAGCUCUAGUGGGGUAAGGUCAAGGCUUUUAUGGACCUGGUCUGAUAAAAGGUAGGGGUGCCUACACUAUGUUAGAGGACACUGGUAGAUGGAUUUGAUAUGGAGCUGCAGUGGCUUUAAAUGAGUCCAGAAAUGCGGUACUAUUAAUUGUUUCAGAACUUUUUUCCAAAAAGAUUUUUCCCUCAGCAAUGACUGUCUUAGGAGUUGGAUUUAAAGGACAUCUUGGAACUAGGUCAGUUGUUUUGGGGGCAGUGAAAGGGUAAAAACUGAUCAACCAGUUGUUUGAAAUAAAUGAGGACACGAGUUACUAAAGAAUUGUUGAUACUUGGACCCCCACAAGGACCCACAGAGCCAGUAAUAUCUUUAAACAAGGAUGUGGGGAAGAUUUCAAGGGGCUGGAAGAACUUUUUAUACCAAACAUUCCUCUGAAGUCUUCAUAAGCACAGUCCUUCAAAAGGAGAGGGCCCUGAAAUGGGACAUAACUGAAGUAGAUCACUUCUUAAGAUGUUUGAAAAGCAGCAGAGAGACCAGAGUCACUGCUAUGCUGGAUAUAAUUAUACAACACAAGAUCGGGGGGCAUCAGUUACUCAUGCGGACAAAAAAUAACUCGCACAGAUGUGACAGAGGUGGCGGGUUCAGUUUCCCAAAACGGUCGGGAAAUGAGCUAAUGAGGAAAACGUUCCCCGAUGUCCAGAGUCCUCCUGCUGAAAUGCCCUUGAGCAAGACAAUUAAUCCCCAGCAGCUCCAAAAGGAAUUCCUGUGAGGCUAAUAGUGAAAGAGCGUGGUCAUGCUGGGCAGCUCCCAGGUGUGAAUGUGUGUAAGUGUAUGAAAGUGGAGCCAUUCUCAAAAAGAAAAAAAAAAAAAAAAGGGAGCUUGCAUGCUCAGUGAACCUUCCCGGGAUAAGUGAAGGUUAGAAAAAUCUAUUUAAGGUUUUUGACGAGGCGGCGAGUGGGACCAAAGUUGGUGGGGGGAAGUGUAGGUCACAGUAUGCCAGCAGAAAAGUCAACACAGCUAGUCCUGCCAUUUGAGAUUUAUGUAAAGUAAGUUCUGCGAAUCCACAAAAGGUGUCACUCCAAUCAACAUCAAGCUAUUUCAGAGUCGUUUCAAGAGUUGAGAUGGAUGAGACUCUAAAGCGAAACACACUUAAUUUCACCUUUGCGCAGUUAUAUUCGGCUUUUACAAGGUCAAUUACAACCAGACACUGCAGCACAUCCAUUCAUUCAAAGGGAAGAGGCGAAGGGGCUUCGAGAAUGACACGAGUUGUGAUUCGGAGUGACGCAGGAGUGAAUUAGGAAAGCCAGAGGGCAAGUAGAUGACACACGCGACGUAAAACAUACGUGUCAGCCGCAAUCUGCUUCAACUUACUAUUUUUUUUUUAACCCAAUGAGGCCAGUUGUGUUGGGAGAAUCCAAAAGGUGGAAAGUGCUUGAGUACUUGGAAACUACUUCGUCACAUAGUUCAGAAAUGUUAACUCACUGGACUUGACAGAUAUAUUAAAAUGUUGUUUAUCACUGUAGAUAGAGUAAUUGAUUAGAUUAGCCAUUUUAAUCCCACUCAAUGUCCACUUUUCACCACACGACCAAAAGCUUUGUGGGGUUUUUGGCUGGUUUCACAUGCAGAUGAACGUCAGAUAAAGAUAGCAGCCUAAGUUUUCUCCGGAAAAAUGCCACAGUGGUCAAAAUAUGAAGUUUGUUCCUUUAAAUUGCAUAUAAAUAAAUCAGAUAUAAAGAAGUGUUAUUAUGAAUCUGUUAAACUGGAUUUUUCUACUUUCACCUUAACGUCCUCCGUCACAUAGACAACUAUCAGCAAUAACAAAUGCUGUAAGGCUAACAUUACUUCUCUUCAGAGCAAAAAGGCGACUCCCAUAUCGGCCAACAGAGGAGGACUUAAACUUCAACCACAACAAAAUCCACAAAAAGUUCCAGCUUGCACCACGCUAAAUCACAAGACUGUUUGUGCUGCCUUUGCGGAUGAAAAUAUGGGUUAAGGAAGUUGAACUUUAUAAAGUCACCUAUUACAUAUGCAUGAUGAAUACACUGUAUGGUGAAAUGAUAAUCCCACAUGUCUGGAAACACUGGUUAAUUACAAAAUUUUGCAUGCUGUUUCUUAUUACAAGAUCCAAUAAAAUAAUCAAUUAACUGAAGAUUAGAACUUCAAAAGGGAGUAUUUGAACGCCACUUUUGGCUAAGUGGACUAGUGUUGUGUCGUUCAUGAACGUUUCGUUCAAAAGAACAGAACUGCUGAGUGAACAACGUGAAUGGAAUCACUCCGAGACCUGAUUGGUUCCUUUCUCAGUUCAGUUGAGCUUAGCCACGAGCCUGGCGUGCUGGUCAGGAGUGGAAGCUGCCUUUGACUCUUUGGCGAACCACACACAGCCAGCCAGGGAGCAGGCGGAUGAACAAUAUGUAUCAGUCAGACUGUGAAUGAAAUGAAUGACUUCCGAAUAACUUGGGGCAGGCAGAGGAGCACCGGUUUGUUCACUGAGGCUAAGCUAAAACAGUGCAUUUUUGUGCCUUUACAUUAAUACACGUGUAUAACCUUUCCUGCAUUCAGCCGAUUUGAAGCAAUACACUAUUUGAUAUCUUUAAAAGUAGCAGAAUCCCCGCUACAGCUGCGGUGUUUAUAUUUAUUUAAUCUCUCCACAUUUCCACGAUAUAAAAGAACGAUGACUGAUGCUCGUUUAGCGGGCGUGCUGCUUGCUGCUGUGUUGUUUCCGCCGACCGCAACACAAAGAGAGGUGACUUCUUCAGGGCAAGGGAGUGAUUCUUCCUUCAGGACUUGGCAAAUGAAAGACGUGUGUCACCCAGUGAACGAUACUGUGACUUCAGCAGCAGGGGAUGGGAGGGGCUCGUUCAAUGAACAAACUCACAGCUGUGUCACUCACUCGCAUACUGCACCGGCAGGACGGGGCUCCGAAGCACUGACUGACUCAGUGAACGAAUCUUUUGAAUGAAUUGUUUUAAUGAACGGAUUCUAAAGAUUCAGUACAGUCCAAAGAACUGUUCUUCCCAUCACUGGAACCAACGCUAAGUUUUGCCCCUUCUGGAUAGAUUCGUCAAGGGGCAAACAAAGAUUUGUGUCAAAAGAUGUAAUUCUUUUCAGAGCCCCUUUCUUCUCUGCAACUGACAAAUACUCCACCACAGGACUUUAAAAGUCAUUCUUCUAAUAAAAGAAAACCAGGUUUUUGUUGUCCCUGCGCCUCUGCGAGGGACUUCCUGCACGAGCUUGUUGACUGAGCGCAAACACAAACCAUCAAUCCUACUAUUUUUUCCCCCCAAAUAUAAACUGGCGUAAAGCUGACAGCCGCUAUCCGCCGUGCAGUGGUAGAUCCACGCCGGAGAGCAAACUAGUUUGUUGCCCUCUGUAAUGAUUUUGUCGACUCAUGCGAGUACAGCAUCAGCCAGGACCAUUGCCCCCAAACCCAACAACCCCGACUUAAUGCCAAGUACUCCUCAUUGCUUCUGUUUUUCCCUCCCCGCCCCCCUUCGAGUUAUCGCUGUCACAGAGUGAAAAAUAAUCAAAGUCUGGAAACCGUUCAGGAAUUUGUUGGCGGAUGAAAAAAAACAGACAUGUAUUCCACCCCCCUCUUUCAGCAUUUCUCUCCCUCUCUCUGUGUUUUCCCCCAGCAGUAAGAGUAAAAUUAUAAAUCACCUCCCCGCAGACAAAAUUUCAUGCUCGAUGGGUGAACAACUCCAGCAUCUGGUGGGGUCCUGUGAUGAGGUGUGUUCCAAGUUUCUCCCUCUCCCUGCUUCCCCUGGGCUGAUGCAGAGCACAGCCAGCAUCCUGCCAAAUGUUACUCGCAUGCAGCUGAAGUGAUAAGACAAAAAAAAAAAAAAAAAGGCAGAUUAAUAUUUAGCAGGGCCGCGCUUUUUUCGUUUUAAACCUGCUCUGCGGUUUCCAUGAGGAAUCUCCGUGGUGGAUUCGUGUCACAUCACAAAGUGUGUGCACACCUGAAGCAGACUCUCUUCAGUGGGUACACAUGAGAGUGUGGAGGGCGUCCAAACAUACCUUGUAUCUCUUAACAACAAGCCCGGAGCCAGUGGUCGGCCCCGCUGGGCUGAAAUGCAUCAUAUCAGUGAUGCUGCAGUAACCUUGGGAGGAGAGGAGAUGAACUUGUUUUUAAAGCAUCGAAUCCAGGAAGAGAGGGAAACGUUUUAUCCUUGAAUUCACUUUUAAACACUUAGACAAAAAAAACGGCACGAAACCUCAGCAGAUCGUCUUUGGAGGUAUUUUUAACCUGCCUGGUGGGACAUGUGAAGUCAGGCCAAAUUUAGAUUUUCUCUUUUUUUUUUAUAAUAAUUGGAUUUGCUUGUACUAUCUCUGGUUCUGACAUGACAAAAGUGGGGAUGUGCGCCUUCAGUCAACCCAUUAAUUAAAAGUGUGAGCAGCAAAGUCACUUAAACAAAUAUUAGAGUUUUAUUACUGAGGGUCAUCUGGUUUAAUAGAGGGAUCCAAUUUUUCUGGUUUCUUCAUGUUUUUAUCAGUUAGCCGACAUUAGACAUUACUUAAAGGUGCAGUUCAUAGAAUUUAGCAGCAUUUAGCUGAACCUACUUGGUUAAAAUUAGAUACAUUAUUGGUAUGUUUGAAUUUGUUUUGUUUUUGUUUAAUUGGGUAGCGAAUCAUCACUGUAUUUAUUAUUUAUGUCAUUCGAUGGUCAGGUAGCGAUGAGUGUACCCACUCCUGGAUCAAAUGGCAAGUUAAUCAUUUGUAUGCAGCCUGAUAAUCUUUCCAUUUUGACGUUUAAGGGCUAAUUGCUGUUGGAAUAUGAACAUUUUCCCCCGAAGUCCAAAUAAAGACAUACAUUUUGAAUAAAAAGUGCUAGACUUAGGCAGCCAUCUUGCACUGCCAUGAUUCUACGGUAACUAAAAAAACCUGACAUCUAACUUGUAUUAAGUGAAUGGCAAAGCAGAAUGCACUGGUAGGAAGAUAAAUAAGAUGAGAGUAGUUGUUGUGCACAAAGCAAAUGUUUGUGAUCUUGACAAAUGGAGACUCAUGCUGAACAUGCAUCAAGGAGUUUCAUGUCCUCUUAAAGGGAUAUUCUGGUGUAAAAUUAAUUUAGGGUCAAACACACCGCAACACCGAGUUAGACACCCCCUCAAGAGAUGAAUGUUGCCAACUGCUUGCUUCUCUAGUUAUACCAACUUUAGUAAUGACCACACAAGAGCAAUACACAGCGGUCUGAGGAGCCAUGAACAAACCUCAACCAAAACGCACCUCUAUAGCCACAAAUAAUGCUCAGAACAGCACCUAACUUCAUCAACAGUACAUAUAGGGUCCUAGCCAAAGCACUAGCCACCAAACAUCUUUUUAGCUUUGCCUAAUUUCCUUAGUAAAGGGACUAAACACAACUCACCUACUCUCUUCCAACAGCCUCUUGUUUGUAGAGAGACCUUGGGCAAAUCCACUAUGGACUGCUUCGGGGUGACGCAGCCCAAGGAAGAACAUUUACGAUCAUUUCUUCAUGGAAAUGCUAUCAGACCGAGAUGCUUAGGCAGAAGAACUACCGCGUCUGCUUAUUACUUCAAGGAAAUGAUGAAGUAAUGAUCAUAAAUGUUCUUCCUUGAGCUGCGUGACCCCGAAGCAGUCCAUAAUGGACUGGCCUGAGGUCUCGCUACAAACAAGUGGCUGCUGGAAGAGAGUAGGUGAGUUGUGUUUAGUCUCUUUGCUAAAGUAAUUAGGCAAAGUUAAAUAGAUGUUUGGUGGCUAGUGCUAUGGCUAGGACCCUAUAUGUACUGUUGAUAAAUUUAGAUGCUGUUCUGAACAACACAGGGGGGCAAGGGAGCAUUUCAAUCUGAAAUCUGACCUAGAUAUGCCUCAAUACAGCCAUUUCUACACUCUAGUGACUGCUACACAAAUAGCAUUGGACUAUAAUAUGCCUGAUUUGUCACCAUUGUUUUUCUGGAAGCUUCCAGCAGACCAGGACAUGAUGAGUCCCUGCAGAUGAGGCACAUUGUUUCACAUCGGCCAUAUUGAAAAAUGCUACCAUAACACAGCUUGGAAAUUGUUUGCAUGCUCAAUUUAAGAUCAUAUCUGUAUGUACACAUAAUGUAUGUAUGAGGCUUAGCGUAUGUGAUGGAAUUGCCCUGGCUGGAUAUCUGCUGCCUCAUCCAAACAGGAUAAAAGAACACGAGAAAAAGUAAAAUUCAUUCAGGAAAAGACAAAAAAGGCUCAUUAUUUGGAGUCUUACUACACCUGGAUGAGCCUCCUUGGAGGUGUCUUGACAGUGGGAACUACUUCCUUGUUGAAACAAAGCGAAUUCUUCCACAAAAUAAAUCCGACUUUGCCUGCGCAAAGACAAGACUAAAACCCCCGACCCCACCUGUUGGCGCGCUGGGUGUCAUGGCAGACAUCAUUAAGCUCAGGGGUCCUUCAUGUUUUUUUUUACUGGAGCUUGUUAAAGAGCUGAGAAAGUGCUGCAAUGCAGGAGAAAAUAAUUUGGCUGUGAAUUUAAUUCCCAGGCUGCAAGACCAACAUUUUGGAUAAAUUAGCUGCUUAAGCUUCACUGCUUUUGUAUGUUAGUAAUGUGGGAACAGAUGGCAUAUUUUACUACUUUACCAGGAGGAGGGUUGUUGAUAUCUAAAUCUUUCAGAUGGGGACUGUUUUCCCCAAGUUGAAACGAAAAGCAGACAGAAAAGUCUGUCACUUUUUUGGUUUUCUUUGUGAAUAUGUUAAUUCUUUUUUGAUCUGUGUAAUUAACACUUUCACCAGACACAGAUAGUUCGUACAAAACUUAAUUAGUGUGUCUUUAACAGAAUGAUAGAUAAUAUGCAAAACAGUCUAAACAGGUGGGUUUGAGUCACUGACUUGGCCCGUUCUGCCCUCUUUCCAGUCACUCUCUACAGAGCUGACCCGCUGUUCCUGUGCCACUUAAUAACCUUUAUGUUGUCAUGGCAUAUGUCCCCCAUAUUUGGGGGUGGACCCAAGUUAUAGGGCACUGUCAGUCCCAGGUAGCAUCAACAGAGCAAGUCAGUAGGCGGAGCUUGUAAUGGCAUUUUCUGCUCUUACGAUGUGCACUAACUCCCCCCCUAAGAGGAUAUUUGAGCAGCUAAUCAGUGCAGUAGCUUGUCAUCAUCACAGAAAACCCCGCCCACUCAGAUCACCGCAUAGAUAAUGAGGUUGGAAACUAAGAGGCUGCAGAUUCUCUGAAUGAAUAGGACCUGUAGCAAUUCUGCUAAACUCAGUGCAAUAAACUGAUUUAGGAAACAUUAUUUGCCAUGAAAAAUACUCUUGGAUAUUAAAAAUGUAUUUGUGAAAGAGCAUGCAAAUAUCCUCCAAGUUGGCCCGGGGUUGUUUUGGGAUAAUUACAGCUGAAGUUCGUUUUCGCUCUGAAAUAAAAUAAGAAAGUAGGAAAUCUGAUGGGUUUUUAAUGCUUUUUUGCUCAUUCUUGCUCUUGCACAUCUUCAAGGGCAGGAGAGCUUGCAGAUACUAAAAUGACUUACUGUUCUUCUAAACGGAUAGGAAAGCAACACAAGAAGAAAAAUCUAUAACAAUUUAGGAAAAGUCAGGGGAGAAUUUUUUUUGUAGUUUUAUUUUAACCAAGUUUCUAAAUCACAGAAAUUAAAAAACAGCAUCUGCCUUGAUGGAUCUGGAGGUAAAAACUUUCCCUAUUCUUUCAUUCUGCACAGUCACCCAACCAUAUGUCGGUGGAUGAAGAGACCAAACGCUGACAACAAUAAAGUAAACAAGUCCGUUGUUGUAGCAGCAACUUUUGGCACCGACAUAUGCUCGCCUAACAGGGAAAACAGCUUUUCUCACAAGCGGAGGCAUAUGGCCGGCUCGUGUUCCGACAACAAGAUGCCGUGUCACCUUGCUCGCCACCUGUAGCCGAUGACCAGCAGAGAGGGAGGAGAAAUUUUAAGGUGAGGCACGCGUACACAAGCAGACAUACAUAUUUGCCUCCGUCCCUAUUAUCCCAAAGGCCAUAUGCUUAUCUUGUUGACCUAUUCGGUGUCCGACGGCAUGUCAUACACUCUGUCACCAUGACCAGGCAGGCGUGAAAAAGAAACCGGAGGGGGUCAAGAACACAAAAGCCUCUUAAAAAAAAAAAAAACAUGGCGGCAGCCUCAGAGUCCUUCCUCUCCCCUGCUCUCCCCUCUUCUCCUUUCUUUUCUGAUGCCGCGCACGUCCCGACGAGCGACAGCGAUUUGCAUGAUGUGAUCGGCCUCUGCCUUCCUGCAGCUCUUUAGAAGUGUGUGCGCGCUGGCGUCUGCAUGUGCCUGUCUCUAUUUGAGUGUGUUUGUAAGUGUUAAUGUGCGCAGGCUGACUGCCAGCCAGCUUAAGCUGCAAGGGAGGGUAUAAGGGAAAAAAAUAAUAAUAAAAGAGGGCUUUGAGCCUGUACCGAUCUUGCAGAGCAAUCAGGGAAAUAUGCUCAAAUACGUGACAGGCAGAGUGCGCCACUUGGCAUGCAUGUUUAAUUCUGUCUGAGGUUUGGGUGUUGUAGCUCUGCUGAGUUAAGGUGAGCUGUUUGUUGGGAUGUAACUAGGCCAGAUAGCGCACACACAUGCACACACGCUUGGGCGCGCACAAACACACACUUCGCUCUUGACUCAUCAAAAGAGGCGAGAUCUCAUCAGCAGCGAGCCUGGUUCGCACUGACGAAUAUUCAAGGACAUUUUGCAGACAUCAAACAGAAAAAUAUCCAAAAGGGAAAAAUUUAUAAAAGUGAGGCUGAGUUAUUCCUUAAAUUCCACCUUAAGUGUUCUGAGCAUGUCUGCCUCGUGUACUUAUUUUUUCCUCCGCUGCUGUUUUUUCCGUUGAAUUAUGAAAGCAAGUGAGCUGAAACACUUUCGCCACUUUCCCCAAUUUCUCUUUGGGCAUGAAAAAUGUAAUCACAAGCAAGGCUGCGUAUUUUUUUCAUAUAUUUUUUUCGCCUCGCUUUGAGUAAAUUAUGAUCAGAAUCACUAAAAAGCCAAUUACUUUUGUGAUACAUGGAGAAGGCAGCGUGUUAACAGCGCUACAUGCGUGCCAAAACUGGCGUGUGCGGUAGAAAUCAGUGUGGGGAUAGGUAAUGAGGGGGAGCCCUUAGAACAAUCAGUCCAGCUUUCACCGGCGAUCAUUAGACUGAAUGAAUUUGACGUAUGAGGCGUCGGGUGGGAGGGAAAUCACCGCUUAAGGUGCUGAAUGAACAUGUGAGGUAUUUGCACGCUACUCUCAUUUUUUCAUGUGUGAAUGAGCAUCCAUAUACACUAUUUUGGAGAACAUCCUCCUACACCCACAUUUGUAUUGAUCUGAAUUAAAAUCAUGCCUCUGGCGAGAAGCAUUUUCAAAACAGAAAAAUGAAGUAACAGCUACUGCAAGCUCUUAAAUCACUUGAACUCAGUGCCUUUUGGGCGCUUUUGGUGGUGUGCAAAUCAUUUCCUCUAUUUAAUUAAAACAGUGCAAAUACAGCAUGUGCUCCCUUUAACUUUGGCACCCGCAAUAUGCUUCAUAAAAGUUCGGACAAGGACUGUAAAACAUUGAAAUAGUGUUUUAAUAAAUAGUUCGUUUAAAACAGCACAGUAACAAUGAUUGGGCAUGCCAGGGUGGCUGAAUCACUCAGAAGUUUGGAUGGGAAGAGUUUCAGCAAACAGUUCAUCAAUUCUUGGAAAAUCAUGUAUUGUUGAAAAUUUGGGGAUUUAGAAGCAUUUUCAAAACAGAAAAAUGAAGUAACAGCUACUGCAAGCUCUUUAAAUCACUUGAUAAGUUGCAAUAGAUUCAAAACAGACAUAGCUGCUCUGUGGUGGAAAUCAUUGCAUGGGCUUAAAAUCUCUUUCAAAAUGUAUUAUCCGUCUAAAGUAGGGUGACCAUAUUCUGACUUCCCACAAAAAGGACAUGACUACGUGGGGGCGGAGUCAAGGAGUCGCACAAAGUUGAUUUUGAGAGUUUUCAGGUCGGAUCAAGUGUCUUUUAGAUGCUUCUAACUCAGUAAGUCCACAUGACACAAAAUUGAAACUUACGUACAAAACCGCAGACAUUUAAAAUAUUUUACAAACUUCCCCGGACAAAGCCGGUCAAACCCAGAUAGCCCCCCAAAAAGAGGACAUUUGGUCACCCUAGUCUAAAGAUCCUGUGACUUCUUUGGGUUCGCCUUUUUAAAGUACAUCAACCUGAGCAAGAUUAAAAGAUUCUUCGUGGAACGUCAUUGAGGAGAAACCUGGCACUGCAUUCAAAACUGCCAUGACUCUGAAGUCAAAAUCACUGCAUGCACUCAAAAACACUUGAAAACCUUCAUCUGUUGAUGUAUCCACAGAUGCAUGGUAAAACUGUUUGGGUUCAACUGGCUAAGGCACAGUGGAACACUAUACAGGGAUCUGAAGUUGUAAAUUCUGACAUCCCUUUUGGAAAUCAUGGACACAGUGUUUUCAGCCUCAAAGAGCACAGGAAAUACAAUAAUGUAGGGACGCACCGAUAUCUACAGUUUAAUAUCGGCCAAUACCGAUCCAAUUCCGAUACAGAAAAGCCGCACUGAAUUACCUUUUGUUGUAACCUGAAGUUUUACCAUCGCCCCUUGGAACAUUUACUGCACAGGCAUUGCAAGUGACCGUCCUCAGUGGCCUGAGGUAUUGCGAUAAAAUCCGAGAUAGCAGACCCCUUUGCUUGCUCCAUUUUGAAAACAACGUGGGCAUCCGCUCAGCGUGUUUACUUGUGGGUGCCACUCACAGCACAUAGUUAGUCUCAAUAGAUCGGCCCCUAUGCAUCGGGCCCAUUGUCACGAUAGCCGAUCUAGAAUUUCCUUCAGUAUCGGGACGGAUACGGAUAUCAAAUAUCGGAUGGGUGCCUGUUAAACCUGUUGAAUGCCAGUGGAAAACUACACAGCAGUUUUCAAGUAUUGAAAUUUUGACAUCCUUUUUGGAAAUUAUGGACAGGGCAUCCUCCAUCCUCAUUUUAAACGUGGGGAUAUGCUGUCUUUCUUUGCACUUUAUUCAAUUAAAAAUAUCAGCUUUCAAUUAGUUGCUUACUAUAAAAAAUAUUUUUUAGUGAAGGUCCUAACAGCAUCCUAGAUUUUUUUUUUUUUUUCUAGUUUUGGUGUGUUCUCCAUGAGGGAAUAAAUACAGGAGACAGUAAACGGCAAAUAAAAAGCAACAACUCACACAUCCGGCUGUCUUUGUUGGUUUGUCACUUUCGGCAGUAUAAUGAGGGAUUCCAGUCACAGGCAGCCAGCUUCUAAAGCGGGAUAACACUGAGACCGGGACAAGAAGGAUAGAAGAAGAGGAAAAGAAGACAGGAGAGGAUGAGAGAGGAAGAGGCAGGAAUAAGUGGGACGGUUCAGGAGGGCGAGGGAAAAAAAAAAACUCUGGAAUGAAAAAAUAAGGAGAGAUCAGUCUAGGGAGGGUGGAUCGAGGACAGAGGAGGGAAGAAGGAGCAGUGGAAGGAGGGUGGGGAGGUUGGGAGGGGGUGCCCGAGGGGGGUGCUGUGAGGUCAAGGUUCCAGUCUUUGGUGUGAGGUGGCCGCCAGCACGUGGCUGCGGCACGUUGCAGCUCUCAGACUCAGCGAGAGGAGUCACUGUAAAAAAAAAUGGAGCACAGAGCGAAGAGAGAGGAGUCCCCUGCUUGCUCUUUCCCUCUUUUUUUUCCCCCACCGUCACAGCCCCCCAGCCCCCCCAAAACUGGCACACAGUGAGCCAAUAGCUUAGGUUAGCUCUCUGGCACCGAAUCCUUUCUCCUCUAAUCGCUGGAGUUGAAGCAAAAAGGCAGGAAGAAAAAAGCUGACAGAGGGCCCGCAUGGCACGAGGACAUACAGCGUUAACAAGUAAUUAAGAAGAUACCACAUACAUAGUGUUCAUUCUGCUAAUUGAUUCACUGACUUAAUUGACUCCCAAUGAAUAUAUAAUGACAGCAGCUGUCAUAUUUUCAGUUUAAAUGAACUUGCGGAGCGGUUUUAUCUGGAAGUCGGUGCGGGUGGCAUUAUUAAAAUGCGUUAUUACAUCAUUCACUGGAGUAUUGUGACAGCAAUGUAAAGCUAAUCAUGUUUACUAAUGCUGUGUUUGCCAAGGCUGUAAGAAAGAGAUAGAGCGGGAGCACUCGGGCACUUAUUGCUUUUUUCAGUCGUUAUUCAGUUUUGUAUCGGAGCCAAGUGUUUGCCACUGUUUAGCGGAGCUGAAAUGCUUUCUCGCUUCUUUUUUUCCACACGGUGUUUGUGCUUCUAAUCCUCAGUACCACAGUGCUGACCACUGUCUUUAUUGUUUGUUUUUGUUUUUUUUCCAAGACAGCUUAUUUUCCGAGUAACAGGUCAAUAUUAAAACUCAUUUUAGCUCCAUUGUUUUCAAGCAUAUGAAAAACAGAUGACCUGCAGGUGGCUGUGGGGGAGUUAUGUUGUGAUAACAUGUUAAAAAACGAAGACAAAAGGCUCAUUCAGUCGAUGGUUACUUUUCUAAAAUUGACAACGGCCUCAUUCAGCUUGCUAUUAAAUGUGAUGUAACUAAGUGUCCAGCAGGGGGCAGCUUCAAUCUGGUGCUUAAGAUUGUCAGUUGCAUAGCUAUGUUUGAAGUAUCCCAAAAUAAAAGGUUAGCAAUGAUGCUUAUUUUUGCAAACUUAAGCCUCUAGUAUCAUAUUGUAAAGUUACAAUUUGAUUUGAUAUAAUUUUAGUACAUUAUUAGCCGUAAAAUGUAACAGCAACACUCGGACAGCAGGGGGCAGUAACAGUCCGUAUUUGUAAGAUAUGUUGCUUUGCAGAGUUUUUAUCGGAUUAAACCAAAUAACUAAUAAAAUAGAGGAUUUAAAUUGUUUUUGGAACAAAGAGUGAAGGCUUUUAAUUGUGUUGUGUUGUAAAUUUAUAAAGUUAUUUUAGCGCUCACCUUGUACAGAUAUAAGCAAGGACAAGGCGAGCGCUAAAAUAACUCUCGUUGAUGUAGCCAUCUUGUUUCCGCCUCUGAUUCUGCUUUUUUCCCCGACUUGGUAACUGAAACGCUGGUAACUCGGGUGUGACGUCAUUCCCAGCUCUGACAUCUGACUUCCGAGGUAGCUCGAAUGCAGCAUAAAUAGGCUUGGGAUUGUUUUGGUCGUAACAUGCUAUGACAAUACUGACCAGCAGGAGGCAGCUGCAGUUGGUAUUUGUCGGGAUGCAAGCUUAACUUGUUUUUAUUUUACAUCUAAAACAAAUAAAAUCAAUAUAAUAUUUAUUCUUCUGUUUUUAUAUGAUUAUGUUGUACAUUGAAUGAUAAAGUUUUACAGUACAUGUACCUUAAAAUGCACAGUCAACACUGGCCAGCAGGGGGCAGCUCCAAUCUGUAUUUAGGCAUAAUUUUAUUUAAACAGAUCCAGAUAUCAGAAAUAAUACCUGGAGUAUUUAUUCUUUGUGCAACAAGUAAAUGUUUUCGUAAAAGCACAUCAUGGGUUAGAUUUUUGAAAACACAGACAGCAGUGAGCAGCUAAAAUUGGUGUUUUUUUCACCCAUUUUAAAAUCACCCCAAACAAAAAAUAUGAAGCUUUUCUAAAAUGACACAGAUUGAGCAAUUUCUGAAGUUGCAUAUUUUUAUUUAUUUAUUUAUUUUUUUAGGGAUAUGAAGGGUUUAAAGGUAUGAGAAACAGCAAAAUAAGAUUUAAAAGCAGAUGUAGGUACCCCAUUUUUCCUUUGACAGAUUGAGCCUCGAAGACUCUAACAGACAGACUAAUUUCUAUAGCAGGGUUUAAAGGGUUUUAGUGCUGUUUAUUUUUCUCUAAUGGUAAUAAAUAAAGUCUUCAAGCGCUAAAGCUGUGAUCAUUCAAAAAAUAACCCUAAAAACAACCUUUUAGAGGGUUUUAAACACAUCAUAGAAAGAGUUGAGUCUCCAUACUCGUGUAGUCAGCGUGGCUAACCUCAACAUCCCGUCAUAGUGGAUUCUGAGCCUCCUAAACCCCCCAAAAAUGGACCAAAGGUUGUGUCAUGUGGGAUUAUUCUCAGCUCACAAAAAAGGGAAAAGAGAGCAAAAAUGUGAAUGUCAUUUCAAAAGUAGGUUGAGCGAGUCAAAAAUAGCUUCAAAGGCCUCCGACUUGAGAACAAAAUCCCAAGAGUAAGUCUUCUGAGGUAAGAAAAAAAAAGGAGAUUUGAUGAAGGUUUUUGCACAUUACAACAUACCUGCUGCUCGCUCGGCAGCGUUUUAUUCAUGUACUGUAUCAGUUUACAAGAGAAAAGCAACAAUGGCAGGGUAUUUAUUUAAGUCAAAGGAGGUAAAUUGUGUGUUUGUUGUUGUUUUGACUCAGUGUCAAGCCUGUAGAAGAUGUUAUUUUUGUAUUUUUGAUCGAAAAAAAGGUUAAUUUCCCCUUUUUAUUGUGUGAACAUUUACGCAAACUCAAAUAAUUGCUUUUAACAUUACCAGACUUAAAAUGUUCAAAAGAAAUAAUUAACCUUCCUAGAAAUAUAUAUAUAAAUUAAAAUUAUUUGGCGUUAAUUGAUGAAUUUAAUUGAUUUAUGGCUUUAUUUUGCUGAAAAACUUCCCAUCAUAUCGUCCAAGUGAAAAAAAAAAAAAACUCUGCUGUUGCGAUGUGGUUUUGUAGGAACAAGGAUCAGCAUGUGCGUCCUUCGUUUUGUCUCUCAAAGUCCAUGGCUUACAGAGUAUUUGGCCACCAGCUGCCUUGCGCGUAAACCUGCCUCACACCAGAGCAAAGGGGGGUAAAGGGAGCAUCGCAGAGCGCUGCCAUCCCUGCCCAUCCGCUCGACCACCUGUUUGACUUUCUGCCCUCUGGAUCAGGGUUCCAGGGAAGCAGAGCUGGUGAUGCUUUACGGAGUGAGGAUUUAAAAAAAUAACAGAAGUGUAAUCCCUCUGCUGUAGUUAAACACUGAAUGACAUGAGAAGAGGUAUUAAGGGAUGGAAGCGUGAUCAGUUGUUCUUGCAAGGCCAUAAAAAAAAUAGUCAAGAGUCAAAGCGUAUACUCUUUAAGAAGACCUGAACCUGUGAAGUGUUAAGUUACGUUCCACUACUGUAUCCCUGUAUACCUGACCUGCCUGUUUCUUAAAGGGAUAUUCUGGUGUAAAAUUAAUUUAGAGUCAAACACACCCGAACACCAAGUUAGACACCCCCUUGAGAGAUUCAUGUUGCUGACCACUUGCUUUUCUAGUUAAACCAACUUUAGUUACAUCCACACAAUAGCAAUACUCAGCGGUCUGAGGAGCCAUAAACAAACCUCAACCAAAACGCCACUCUAUAGCCACAAAUAAUGCUCAGAACAGCACCUAACUUCAUCAACAGUACAUAUAGGGUCCUCGCCACAGUACUAGCCACCAAACAUCUUUUUAACUUUGCCUAAUUUCUUGAGCAAAGAGACUUAACACAACUCACCUACUCUCUUCCAGCAGCCGCUAGCUUGUUGCGAGACCUUUGGCCAAUCCAUUACAGACUGUUCUUUCUUGAGCUGUGUCACCCCACUGCAGUACGUAAUGGACUAGCCCAGUGGUUCUCAAGUCCAGUCCUCGAGCCCCCCGUCCUGCAUGUUUUGGAUGUUUUCCUGCUCCAACACACCUGAUUCAAAUGAUCAGCUCGUUAUUAAGCCAUUUCAGAGCUUGAUAACGAGCUGAUCAUUUGAAUCAGGUGUGUUGGAGCAGGGAAACAUUUAAAACAUGCAGGACGGGGGGCUCGAGGACUGGACUUGAGAACCACUGGACUAGCCCAAGGUAUUGCUACAAACAAGCGGCUGCUGGAAGAGAGUAGGUGAGUUGUGUUUAGUCUCUUUGCUAAAGUAAUUAGGCAAAGUUAAAACCAUGUUUGGUGUCUCGUACUGUGGCUGGGACCCUUUAUGUACUGUCGAUGAAGUUAGGUGCUGUUCUGAGCAUUAUUUGUGGCUAUAGAGUGGCGUUUUGGUUGAGCGUGUGGCUCCUCAGACGGCUGUGUAUUGCUAUUGUGCGGAUGUAACUAAAGUUGGUAUAACUAGAGAAGCAAGCGGUCUGCAACACGAACCCCUCAAGGGGGCGUUUAACUCGAUGUUAUGGUGUGUUUGACCCUAAAUCUAUUUUACGCCGGAAUAUCUCUUUAAUAAAAGUACCCCAACAAUGCCAAAAGGACAGACUUUUAUUGUCAAGAAUAGGCAAGAAAAUCAAAGCCUGAUUCACCGCUGCAUUCAAACUUAUUUUCACAUGAGCUUUUUUCUUUAUUCCUUUUUUUGUUGCUUCUUAUACCAGACACUACAAACCGUUUCCUACUCCUCCGGUCAGCCCUUACUCAAGCUAGUUAAACUUUUACCCAUUCACACCCUUAAUAAAGCUUACAAUGCUGUUUGUUUGUGACUUAAGUGUAGCCUAAGUGCAUUGCAGAAGUAUUCUUUGAAUGAAGGAUAAUGGAGGGUCCAAAGCUACAUAGAAAUAUGUUAAACAAGAUAGAAAAGGAUGUUUUAUAUAAUAAAAGGUAUAAGGGUUUUAUCUGGAUCUGUUUGCUUUCAUUAGCCACGGAAAUCUCAGUAAUACAGAGGGGAAGUAAGCCGACUAUAACAGCCAUCAGUCUUGAAGCUUCGUCUAAGAAAAUAUUUGAAAUAUGAAGGUAAACUCUGAUGAGAUUAUCUGCAGAACGGACACAGGAUCGUGGUUUCACGCUCAUUAGCGCUAAAACCUGAAGUUCACUGAGCAGCUAAUGCACUCCUUUGAUCAGACCUUUUACAGUCUGCUCCCGCUUUCCUGUUAUCCUGCGAUUCCAAGCACUCAGCAGUAUCAGCGCUAUCUGCAUCCCCCACCUGCUCCAGUCUGAGCGUCUGCGGGGCCAGUUGUUCCGUUUGGGUCAGCUACUUCCACUGCAGCGGUCCACACAGACAUCAACUCCCCCAGUGUUUGAAAGCUUUAUGCUUCUUUAUUGCUUAAUUAGUUCGCUACUGCUGAGUUAGGUCAGAUGGUUAUUGCACGUGAAAAUGUUGAAUAUACAUAAAUCUGACCCUCAGGAAUUGGGGAAGAAAAAAGUUUGAGACUUUGUUUGUUUUUGGCCUUGAACGAAGAGCACAAGGGGACUUUUUUCUUCUUUAUCUUCUUACAAGAGAAAGUUGCAGAAUUAAUUUUGUUUAUUAAUCAAACUCCUUGGGAACUCGGAUCUUGGUGGCCCUUUUCGCAAUAAAAUAUUGGGCUCUGGGAACUCCCUAAGUAGGCCUUAAUUGAGAGUAGUGAUAUACUAAUAUUUACAUUAAUGCAAAACAAUUACAUUAAAGGCUCUGCUCUGAUUGGCUCAGCAGUGGAGGUUCGGAUUUCGGUUUAUCCAUUUUGCUAAUGUGUGCAAAAGUAAGGUGACCAGAUGUCUGUAAUGAAUUAGGGGACAUUCGGUGCGGCAGCAGGGAGGGUGCAGGGGCUGCAGGGGCUGUGUGAUCACAGACAACAUCUUGGUACUAUUUAGUAGCAGCGCAUGCCCCUUGUAAUAACCCCCUUAAAGACUGUUGUUCAGGACUGCUAACUUGUGCUUCCUACCUAUUCGGCUACUGUAAUAACCGUUGUUCGAGCCCACACGCAACAUUUUUGUUCUCAUUCAUGAAACGCUUAAAUCAAGGACAUUUUUGGGGACAGGUCAUCCAAUUCGGCGACUGUCCCUGGAAAUCGGGGAUGUCUGGUCACCUUAUGCUAAAGGCUAAAAAUGGCAGGAAUUAAACCACAUAUUUUUGACCCCGAGUCCAAAUAGGAGGUGGAAGUUGAGGAAGAAGCCGGAGAUCUCCAGCGGUGUUUUCUCAUUCAUUCUGCUCGGCUUUAAGUUCAUUUUCCCGGCAGUGAAUCCAAGGAAACACCGGUCGUUUGGAAGAGACCCAUAGCGGGUACAGUGGUAGCUGGGUCUCGCUCUGGCUGGAGAGUGAUGAUAACUGUGACUGGGUACGAGAACGAGAGAGUGGGCGCGGCUCAAAGAGGACGCGCUAGUGAAUAAUAAUGAGCAAGGUCAGCUUGACGUCAGAAGGACCUGCUUUUUCAAUUGGCCUGGUUUACCCGUUCUUUUAUUUUAAACCUUUACAGAAUGCAAACGACGUAACGGUUUGUUUUCACAUCUACAACAUAAGACAAACAUAAUAUGGACUUAAUCUGACACACAAACAUGCAAAAAUUACAUUUUUGAUGGCAGGUCCUCUUUAAAGUAUGGUAUCUUAAGCACCACCUAAAGCCGAAUCACCCACAUUAAGAUCGCCAUUUUCUCGUCGUUUUGUAGGCUGCUGUAUGAGACUCAACCGUAAAAUCAAAGGCGUAUUAAUACUUUUUUUUUUUUUUUUUUUUAAGUCUUAUUUCUGGAGGCUUUUAACCCCCCAGGCAUGCUCUCACUUAAGCAACACUGAAGGUGACAAGCGCACACAUCAAAAACAUGAAACACCGUUACCUUCUCUCCUGGAUGUCCUUCCUUUAAAGUACCACCUCCAGAGACUCGGUGAACUCUUGAACAGGAGGCUUUUGAGAUUUUAAUGGUUUCUAACCGUUUACAAAAAAAAUAAAACACUCCUACUCAACGGAUGUCAAUGAACGGCCUUCUAGGUGUGCACGGUCCCUCGGUUCUCACUUUGAGGAGGUGAUGACAGCCUGUUACGCCACAGGGUUGCUUUCUGCUGGCGCGGCCUCUUGAUUACACUAAAGGUUUAAAAAGAAGUCCCUGAGAGGUGAGAGCUGCGCGUCUAGUUAGAUAAAGUGGUUUUGAGGGAAGAAAGCUGUAGGUCGACUAGACGCGUUUGUCGAAUUUCAUGUUGAGGGUUGAGUGGAAGGGGCGUUAAAAAGUGGUGAAGUGAUUCAAUUGAAAAACUUUUGAUUUCUCAAACCAACUAUUUCUGACUCCUUCGAUAAUUUGUAUCUAAAAGCAGCAUAUGUAUCUCGUAAUUAACAUUUUGAAGUCCGUCAGAUCGUAUCAUCAAGAUGUUUAUUUAACAAAAGCCACUCAGGUUGUAUUAUAUUAAGAUGAAAAGGAAGAAGAAUGAGGCAUCAGGUUUUUUUCCUUCUCUUCUUUCCCAGGUGUAAUCAUUUCCUUUGUAAGUCUGAUCAAUCGGAAGCUUUGUACUUUUUUUUCAUUUGUCAGAAAGAGGAUGUAAGAGUGUGCUAAUAACUGCGGUUUGUUUUCAGCUGUCCUUGUCUAUCUCUGUGAUCGUUUCCAGUCAAGUCUAAUUAUUGUAAUCACUCAGGUUUUCAAAAACAACUCAAAAUGAAUUAGCUGUCGCAACCCACAGCAUGUAAAUAAUGCAUCUAUUUUAUAAUUAUUUAGAUUCAAACCGUAUAUACAUGUUGUUAAAGCUUCAACGAUGAGUCAGUUGUUGGUGAGGGAGCUUUUUCUUUGAUUUUCUUGUCAUGAGAGGAAUCUAUGGCAAAGUUGAUCAUGAGGACAUGAAAAUUUCCAAGAAUAUACUUACUCUAACUCUCCAAGCAUCGCAAAAUUCCAAAUCAUACAUUUGUUUUUGUCUUAUUCCCAGUAAAAAGUGUCUCAUUAGGCUGAAGUAAUCAUCUAUCACAACAGCUUUUUGUCUUUAGGGGACACUGUCGCUAAACACUGCGUAUUGCUAAAUACUCUAAUUUCUGUGCACUGUACCUUUAAGAAGACUCGAUAAAUAACUUGUCGGAGCCAUUCCAGGUAAACUAGCUUAAGAAAUUGUACAAAACAUGACUUUUAGUUCCCUAACUAUUUUUUCCACUGUCAUCAAAAUCAAGUUUUUUGUUCUUGUUUUUAAAGAUAUGCUAUUUAGCGAGGAGCUAGUAUUGUCAAAGUUGUUUUAGUAUUGUUGAGGCCAGAGGUGUGAUCAAAGGUGAGGUUGUCUGAAUAAUUCUGAUCAUAAUACUGUUUUCUUGUUGGUACAUUUGCAUGAAAAUUAGGCCCCCUUGUGGAAUUUAUUUCUGAGCUGGGCCACCCCAGCCAAAACUCCUAGAUACGCCCCUGUCGGAAUCUGAAGACAGCUGAUCUUAUGAAAGCUACGAUAAUGACAGUUAAGGAUUGAUUAUCUUUUAAUAACUCAGACUGACCUUGAAUUAUAAUUGUAUUCAGUAGUUUGGAUCCAUGUCCAUGUCUACUGUGGUAGAAGGGAAAUAAGUGGGUAGAUUAACCCCCAAUGGGAAUAUUUCAAAAUGCCUUUUUACUAGGUGCAACCUUGCUAGAAGUAAUACUUUCCUAUUAUCUCAUUCAUUUUGUAGAUAUUUCUUUCUUUUAUGAAAAAAAAAAAAAAAAAAUCCCCAAGGAAACCCGUACUGCGUGAUGUACUUAAGGCCUCCUCGCUCGUGUCUUUAUGAAGGCAUGGGAAAGUACUUUCACAAAAUCCUUCAUCAAAACUACAUUUCAUACCCUCCAAACUUGUGGAGGGGAUUAAAUGUCCUCAUUUCUUUUCUACUCUCGCACUCAUUGAAAGUCGAUCUGGAUAAAAGUGUCAGCCAAAUUCCUAAAUGUAAUAUUAAUGUGUUCUUUUUCCCCCUCUUUCAAAAAAUAAGAAAAGGUUAAAAAAAAAAAAAAUCCACGGAUGAGCACUGCAGAUCCAGUCUGUCAUCAUCAUUUCUCCAGUAUUCUUUUAUUGGUAAAUUAAGUUGGCCAAAGUGACAACUAAGUAAAUGAUGAUUGCAGUUUAAUCACGAGCAUCAAUCUAGCGAGUCAAUCAUUUAAUUCGGCUUUAGCUCAGCUGUAUUGGGGAAUUAAUGCAGCAGGAUGGCUGAGGUCAUUGGGAUUCUGUGCAUGGGUCUCACGCAGCCCACUGUGAGCCCCGGCACGGUUCAGCAGACAAACGCAUAUGUCAUGUCAUGAGUCUAUUUGCCGUGCGGUGCUGGAAAGGCCAUAAAAAUAACCUUUAAGGAAGAAAUUUAAGAGCCAUCAUUCUCAAAGACGAAAAAUAGAAUGAGAAACCUCAGUCGCCUUAAUUCUGUUAGCCGAUUCAUGAAAUAUAAAAGACCUCAAUGUCACACACAAGGUGACGCAGCUUUUCAUUUUCCCACUGACACAUUUCAGAAUAUAAACAUAGUAAAAGUUUUACUCUUUUACAGCAUGUUGAAGUGUGGCAGUGGGGUUUAGCAUUGUCUUGCUGAAAUUUGCAAGGCAUUCCCUUAUGAAGGUUGCUAUUCCAAGCAAGCAACAUUGGUGCCAUACGAGGACUGGGACGAUACGCUUUUCUCCCGAUUCGAUUCCUCUACGAUUUUUGGAUGCCGAUUUGAUUUAAAUUCUACGAUAUUGUCGAUUUUCUCGAUUUUUAGUCGGCAUUUUUAACACCAGUGAAACAGUUGAAUGAUUAUGAUUGUCUACUGACUAUUCCAGGAACCAUAUUUCGCCCAAAAUACACAUCACAUGUAAGUCAGUUUUUAAGAUUUAAUCUAAAAAAAAAAGCGAUUUUUUUAGCAUUAAAAUUUAUAUAAAAAUUGUGAAACAAAAAAAUCACAAUACCUAUGUAAAUUGAUUUUUUCUCCCACUUCGAUGCCUUACCUAAAGUAAAGGCUACCGAAUGCCAUUGACACACAAGCAUCCUAAACCAUCACAUAUGCUAGCCCGAGAACUGUGCGCUAGGAAGUCCCAAUCCUCCUCAGAGCAGAAGAUGGAGAGUCCAAGAUUUCUAAAAUCUUUAACCCCAAACUGCCUCUGGUGGGUUUAAGACAGGUUUGUGAGUAGAAUUAGUUGGCAUAAAUGUGUGAAUGUGUGAUUGGAAGCCUACUCAGAGAUUACCACUACAGAGCCAUGUCUAUUUUCAAUGCAGUGCUGCCUCUCAUGGAGUACUGUACAAAACAGGGUAAUGGCACCUGUACAACUAUGAAGCUACUCUUUUGAUUUAAGUUAAUUAAGCUUGAAUUAACUCCAAAUGAAGGUGGCGUGUAGCGAGUUCUAAACAGUGCCAAAAAAAAAAAAAGAGGUUUUUGCCAGAAAGUGCUGAGGGCUAUCAAACAGAGAAGACCUGCACCUGGCACAUUGUUAUUCAAAUGGUGGAUUUGGCAUCAAAUUUUGGAGAAAAAAACAUCUGCUUGUGAACAAAGUGAAAGUGGACAAGCAGACUCUCAAUUUGAGAUUGCCUGAGAAGAGACAGUCAUGGGGUGGGGGAUUUAUAAGUUAUUCAAAUAGAUCAAUUAGAUCUAAUAGAUUAGAAAGAGCUGAGCCGUAAGGCGAGACUCUCGAGUUACCGGUCGAUCUACGUGCCGAUCCUCACGUAUGGUCAUGAACCUUGGGUAAUGACCGAAAGAACAAGAUCGCGGAUACAAGUGGCCCCUCCCCACGAACAUGUGCGUCUGAAAAGCCAAGGGACAUUAUGACACAGCAAAUCUACCCAGCUGUUUGAAUUGAAAAAAGUGAGGAAAUGCAUGGGGAGAAUUGCCUUCAGCAGAAAAGGAAAUCAAAGUCAGCCCAUGAUGACACCAAGGCCAAAGAUAAAACUGUGUCUAAUGUAUGCUGACAUGUGUGGUGCAUGACAGAAACAAGGCGGUGAACCUGCAACCAGAACUUGCACCAGAUGGCUAAAUUCAAAGCCUCACAGCUCUAAGUGUGUGGCAACAGGCUGCCGCGGUGGGCGGUUGAUAUUUUUGCUUCAAGAACAUGCGAUGGUAAUCAGCGGGGUCCGGUUUAAAGCCAUAAAUGCAGAGAGGGUGGCUUCCCUGCUGCUUCCACAUUAUGAAAUCCAGCAUGUGGUGGAGGAAACAGAACAGUGAUUUACCUGCUUACAUUCCCCUUCAUUAAACCUGAGAAAAGUGAUUUGCAAUUGGAAAUUCCCCAGUCUGCUACAAAAGAAGCUGCUUUCAAGAUGCAGCCUUCGUCAUUUUGCGGAGGAGUGGGAACAAACAAUUGCCCUGGCGCCACCUCUUUAAACGGCUCUCUGUUGCACGACAAGCAGGUUGGUGUUGAAAUCAAUAAGAAGAUUAAAAUCAUUGUUUUUUUUUUCCCCCUCCUUUUUUUUUUUUUUUUGUCACCCACACUUGCGCUUAAGCAUGACUCACUGAGGGUGUGAGUGUGUGUGUGUGAAGUUCUCUGUGUGACUGAGUAAAACAUGAAUCGCACUGUCAGGAGCUGGAUUUGUGUUUAUUUGCACAGCAGGUCGUCUGUUUGACUAUUUGUGAUCUCAAUGUGUGGUUAUUGACGUGCGUACAAGACUGAUGGCUACUCCUGCUGCUAACGUUCAGCAUGACGAGUUAUUCUGGAUGAGGCUGCAGACAUGGAGAUGAAUCCCUCUGCUUUUACCUACAAACCCUUGAAAUAAACAGCUAUCUUUGGGAACCAUGCGUCAGGUUAGACAUUUUCUCAAGCAGAAUGUUUUUUUGUAAUAUUGUAAUAUUUCAGUUGCAUUGUAAUUGUCUCCACAUACGAAGCACAAGUCGAUGCAAAGACGCCAUUGGACACUCCUGCAACUCUGGCGGCAUAAAUGGCGUGUAUUAAAAGGUGGGGUAGGGCAGGAAUCCCUUAAAGAAGCAUCUUUUUCUGUGUGUAUUUAUUAGUUAUUGAUGACAUUUGGUAAUAUAGCGAUAUCGCUGUGUUUUGUUGUCUGUGUAGUCAAUAUUUUAACAUUUUUGAGCGGCAUACUCCUUCUGACUGUAAACAAAGCCAUUCUCCACCUCCCCCAACCUGAUUGGUUGUAAAGAAGACGCUGCUCCCCCAUGGCUUACAUGAGUCCAAACAGAGUUAGCGUGCUACAAUAUCGGACAGCAGAAACCAACCAGAAAGUACGAAAAAUCGUCCGAAUCCUCCUUCGACUGCCAACACAAGCAAGAAAACAAAGUAAAUACCCAAUACUCUGGUGGAAUAACAGGCGCUUAAAAAAGAGGUAGCCCACCCGGACCACGAUGGGGAACGCUUCAGGAUCUUGCGGACCCUUUAUCUUAGUUGUGGAAGUCCUGCAAACAUUGUGUUUCCUGGUAGUCUGUUGACAUCUACAGUAGCACCAAUGCUGUUUACUUUCACAUUGACUGGGCCCCAUUUGUUAUUAUCUGAAGUAUUUAUCUGCGUUAUAUCUGAAUUUAAUUAAAAUGAUACGAGCGAGCAGGAGUGUCUGUUUGUGGGCGGGGCUUGCUGGAGGGGAGAGGAGGAGCUGAGGGGAAAACUGGUUUGGAGGGGUCGUGUUCACAUUCAAGAUUUCUCCCAAAAACUGGCACUUCCUCAGAUCCUGCCUACACCACCUUUGAGUCAAUGCAAAGACGCGAUUAUACGCUCCUACGACUCUGGCAGCGUGAAUGACGCGAUUGGGCAGGAUGUCUCAACUUAGACGGAUAUUCGCGUCGUGGUAACCAAUCAGCACAAAGGUUGCCGGGUGACGUAUAGUACCUAAAAUGAAGGACAAACUGAUUAUGUCGGUGUGUGGGUGCCCCAAAUUAUAUGAUACCUUUUCUUUCAAACACCAAAACCAGAAGAAAAAGGAGCUCGCCUGAAGUGAGUGAGGAGGCCGGAUUACCUGGUAAAUUGUAAAAAACUUUGUCUAUCACCUGAUCCCACCGGUUGAAUUGGCAGGGAUUAUCGUUGAAAUUACCAUUGAUGUGCGUAUGCAGCAAGUGAAUACUAUUCAAUCGCGCAAAACCAAAAGAUAAGUGUUGUCCACAAGCAAAUAUUGACUCAUGGAUGCCAUUAUGCCUCGUGUCUGCACUUUGACUGUCUCUGAUAGGGUCAUUGUAAUGUCACAUUACAAUAAAAAAGUGCUGUUAGGAAGAAUCUGAAGUCUGAAACAGAAAAAAAAACUUUUUGGAUUCCAUUUGAGGUGGUUUUAAAUCUCUGCUUCUACAAAAAUAAUUGCAGUUAUUUUUGUUUUAAAGUGAAAUGUUGAGGUGGAUGUGCAGGGUAAAUAAGGAUAAUGGUGUGAGCAAAAUCAAGAAUGCAUUGCAUCUUAUUUAAUUUGACCUCUUUCAAACAGUGCUGGCAUUUAUCUUGUUUGCAAUAUCUGUGAAAUUUGCAAUUAUCUUUCUGUUGGCAUCUCAAACUAAAGUGCAAUAAGUCUUCUGUGUUUAUUUUGUGUGAAAUAUUAGCCUGAAACAAAUGUUCAAGCUUAUUCAAAAGGUAUCUUUGAGUGAGGGAAAAAGAGUUUGCAAACACCGUAGGGAUGAGGCCAGACGGAGGAUUUUUCCUUUCUAUUUUUAAACCCUUGGAAACUGCAACAGGGAAAGGUCAAAAGACCAUCCUGCAGUGUAGUCGAGCCAAAUUGGAUCGUGGAAGCGACACACAUGAACACACAGAUUCACAAAGAGAUACCGUUCACAUAUAUGGGUGAAUACCAAAGGGAACACACUGUGGUACACAUGCAACAUGGGAUUAUUCCUCUGCCCUGCUUGUAAACAAUCGCCGACUUAGAUUUGUAGCAACAUGGACGAGGUCAGUUACAUCUAAAAGCAAAGUAGCUAUCUUGUUUCUUUGACCUUAUGUGGCGAAUGGAUUGGCUUUGCAUUGUAGGCUAUCUUAGUUGACAGGCCUCUAAGGUGGGAGUGGUUUUACACGCGUGCAAAUCACUCCUGUCAUUACAUCACCACAGGAGGCGAUAAAAAUCACUGUGUAGAUACCUUGCAAUCUCAGAAACAAUGCAGAGGCUUUUUCACUCCCACAUUCUCAGGAUUGCCAGGCUGGAGGAUCACUGAAGUACAAAUGUUCAGGCGAGGAAAAAUGUGUUUUUUUAUCAUUGCAUGAAAUAACCCGAAUCACAAGAAUCCAUAAAUCCAUUACAUAUUCAGCCGGUAUAUCCAUUAUAGAGAAGUGCAGGUCUUUAAAUUGUUGAUGCACAUCAUAUCAGCCUGGUUCACAGGGGUUCUUUUGUAAGAUAAAGAAGAAAGGAUCCAAAACCAACACACCUGGAUAACAGAAUGAUUAUACUGCAAAUGAAAGGUGCAAUCAUCCCCAAUGCAUCUUCAAACACUCAAAGAUGACUUAAAGAUAUAAUAAGAAAGAAGGGAUCCUACAUAAGCAGUUCAAACACCAGAAAUCACAGUUAAACAAACCCCCCCUCUCUUGCUCUUAUCCCUCCACUCUCAGCCUCUGAGUCAAUUUUCCAGCACAACACUGUCUUACCACAGAGAGCUGCCCUGAUCGAUUCACUCCAGGUCUUUUUUCCGGCCCUGAUCCGAUAUAUUUUUAUUCUCUCUCUGCAGUAAUACCAGGUAAGCGUGCAUCCUAAGUGGGAUAAUAUUGUCUCCACUCUUAGGCAAUCUUCAAUUAUUCACAAGCAGAUAUUGCUUAUGUGUGUCUGUAGAGCUCUGAAGACUAUGCCACACUGUAUUACUCAGCAUUUAAAAAAAGGUAAGGAUAACAUUAAAUGCAGAUGACUUAACAAGCCGUCUAAUGUUGCAUCCUCUCUGUGUUAAACAGUAAAUUCAGCUACGGAUUUUGUUAUAGCUGAUGAUGCCAUUUUCUGUUUUGCAGUUACACUCUCACAGCUGUAUUUUGACUUGUACAUAUUCAGUUUCAGAAUCACAAAGGUGGGAAGACGUUCAGGAGGAAAUUGAAAAUUACUUACGAUGGCUUUGAGACCAGUAGAAUUAGUAAGAAGUCAGGUGGUUCCUCUUCUCUUUUAGUGGAGGUCAUGGCUUCCAUGAUUUUUAAAAAGUAUGACAAAACUUAAAAGGGAUAUUCCGGCGUAAAAUUAAGUUAGGGUCAAACACACCAUAACACUGAGUUAGACACCCCCUCUAGAGAUGAAUGUUGCGGACCGCUUGCUUCUCUACUUAUACCAACUUAAGUAACGACCGCAGAUAGCAAAACAGAGAGCCACGCACUCAACCAAAAAGCCACUCUACAGCCACAAAUAAUGCUCAGAACAGCGCCUAACUUCAUCAACAGUACAUAUAGGAUCCCAGCCAUGGCACUAUAGCCGCCAAACAUCUUUUUAACUUUGCCUGAUUUCUUUAGCAAAGAGACUAAAUACAACUCACCCACUCUCUUCCAGCAGCCGCUUGUUUGUACAGAGACCUUGGGGCGAGUCCAUCGACUGCAGCGGGGUGACACAGCUCAAGGAAGAACAUUUAUGAUCAUUUCUUUAUCAUUUCGUUGAAGUAAUAAUCACCAUAUUAACCAUUUUGCCAUGCAGAUGUGGUAGUUCUUCUCCCUUAGCAUCUCGGUCUGAUCACAUUUCAAGGAAGAAAUGGUCAUAAAUGUUCUUCCUUGAGCUGCGUCACCCCACUGCAAGCAUUGGACUCGCCUGAGGUCUUGCUACAAACAAGCGGCUGCUGGAAGAGAAAAAGUGAGUUGUGUUUAGUCUCUUUGCUGAAGAAAUUAGUCAAACUUAAAAAGAUGUUUGGUGGCUAGUACUAUGGCUAGGACCCUAUAUGUACUGUUGAUGAAGUUAGGUGCUGUUCUGAGCAUUAUUUGUGGCUAUAGAGUGGCUUUUUGGUUGAGGUUGUGGCUCUCUGGACUUCUAUAUGCGGUCGUUCCUGAAGUUGGUAUAACUAGAGAAGCAAGCGGUCCGCAACAUUCAUCUCUCGAUGAGGUGUCUAACUUGGUGUUAUGUUGUGUUUGAACCUAACUUAAUUUUACGCUGGAAUAUCCCUUUAAAUUUUGUCAUUAUUCUUGGAAAUGAUGGAAGCCAUGACCUCCACUAAAAGAGCAGAGGAACCACCUGGCUUCUUACCAUUUCUACCGGUCCAAAAGCCAUUGUCUACAAUGGUAUGUCGAUGUACAGGUCUCAGAGCAUUAUCAUACUAACAACUAGACAAUGUUUUGUUUGGACCUUGCCUAUUGUAGCAGAGCAAUACUUCACCACAUUCUGCUUAUAUUCCAACACCAUGGCGCUAUUGUAGAGUAGUCCAGGUGCAGUCCUGAUCUAUCAAGUAUUUGUCAAUUCAUGCUGAAAAAAAGUGCAUGAUUUGUGAACCACCAAAAUCUAUCCUUAUUCACAUACUUAUCUUACAUUACACAUGUUGAAGCAUCUUCCUUGUUGUACAUAAUGUCACACACAUGUUCAUUUCACGGAGUAUGGACAGUGCAUCACACAUCAUUUAGAAAUAGAACGGGUUGUCAUCUGUAUAAUGUGUGAAUUUCACCAGUCUUAAUUUGUAAUUAAACUGGUUUUCCAUCCUUCCUGUCACUAUACAUUGACCUGUACCUGUUCAAGUUUUCAUUUAAGACUCUCCAUCUAAUCAUUGUGUAAUUCUGGCACAGAGUAAUUCCUGAUGGCCCCUGUCACUUCACAUUAAAGCCCUGACGUGUUGACCUGGAGCUGAACCAAACAGCAAAGGGUUAAGUUUAGAAGGGAUGCGCCAUUGGAAAAAUUCAAUGCAAAUUUGCUUCAGCUUUCAGAAUGGAAGCUGUCACAGUCAGUCAGUGUCAUAAUUUAGUGGAAGUCACUGCCCUGGCUGUUGUCACAUUUCACUCUCUAUAGACUAUGCACACAGUUCUUUACCUUUAAGUCCUGAGUGGCUUUUUUCGCCGUGUCUAAUUGCCCAAAGAAUGUAUUUUGUCAUCAAUGUUGGCUGCAUUUUACUUCUUUUUCUGCAACUGCAUUUCACUGUCCUCCUUUUGCAUAUUCCGUCGACAAUAUUUUCCCAGCCCAGCUUCCACCAAGGGCAAAUUUUUAAUUAGACACAAGCGCAUUGCUGCCGCCGCCACCGUCAGCUACGAAAACAAACACUGACUUCUUUUAUAUCCCCCCUCUUCCUCUUUUCAUCCUUAUCAGAAAUCUCCCCUCAAUCAUUCUAUCCACACUUUCCCCUCUAACAUCGCCUCUUCAGUCAAGCAUGAUCUCCCCUCUAUGGCGAGAGAGGGAGAAAGCAACGCAGGGAGGGGAGGAGGGAUGUAGAAAGAGAGAUAGUAGGAGAAAAAAAAAGAGAGAGAGAUCCAAGAGGCCCUUGCCGCCUUUCAUUUCCGCUGCUUGGCUAUGCAGCUCUGCCCCGCUUCCACGGUUCUGGCAAACUCGGCUCCUUCCCCUUGAGAGGCCCAUCUAGUCCACAAUCUAAGGCCUUGUAAUGCAGUCCCCGGCCCACAAUGAUAGAUCACACUACAUGUGGGAUGGUAUUGUCUGCCUCGCUGAUAAGCCAGAGCAGUCGGGGAGUAUAUGAGCAAAGCCACAGUGUGUGUAUGUGUGUGUGUUUGCGCAUCAGCCUGCACGAUUGCAGGCUGGUGUUGUUACAUUAGCAUCCCUGUGUGUGUGUUUAUUCUGCAUGCCGUGAGAAUGCACGUGUAUGUGUGAGAUCUCUCUCUUCCCUCUGCCCACAAAGGGGACCCAAAUCCAGGCCCUUCUUGUAUUGUGUUGUGAUUCUCUUGGAGGGUUUGAUGUUACCCAGAGUGGUGAGUCACUCCACGUGGAGACCUGGCCCUGCAUCACAAAACAAAACAAAAAAUAAAAAGGAUUGGGGAAAAAAAAAAUGUGAAUGUUUCCGUGAGAGAGGGACCAUGACUCAGGAUAAAAAUCGACUAAAAUAUCCUCUAAAAGUAACCGUGCAUGCAAAUGUGCACACGCUCCGAAUCCUUUUAUCUGUCACUCAUUUGCAUGUGUGCAUGAUUGUGUGCAAGACAAAGAGAACGAAAUGAGAGAAAGCGGGAAUGAGUCCUAUUUUUUUUUUCCUGUUUUUUAUUAUUUUGUUUGACAUGAUGUACCUCACCAUCUGUCUCUAAACAGAUGCAUCCUGUGCGGCCUUGGACUGAUGCGUCUUCAUGGUAAUUCGGCGUUUGCCAGAGCUUUUUCGCUUAAAGGGACAAAAUGAAAGGUUAACAGACUGUGUUUGGUGAUGCAACAUUAGAUGCACAAACAGAAAACUUUUUAGACCGCACUUUGAAGGAGAGCAUAUGCGCCUAUAGCGGAUAGCAAUGUCCUAUUUAGUCAAAUAACAGCUCCAUCUUUAAUAUGUGGAAAUAUUAAGCUUGCAGUUGAGUUGUGGAGCCACCAGGGGCAGUGUAGGACAACUUUCUCUGUUUUAACCAUAGACUGGUUUGUGCUCAAGUCCUCUUUUUUUCUGUACAGCUCCGUUUUUAAAAGUUAUAAGGGGGUUCAUGUUUUCUAUGAUUGACACUUGAUAUAGCCUUUGGGCGUACGAAGAUAGCGUUGCUCGCCCAGGGGAUACGCUGUUCGAGCUGCGCAUCAUCACACAACUCUCCGAAUGCGCACACUGCUACUGUGCAAUGUUGGUUUCAGGAAGUGGAGAAAAAAACGCAGAAUUACCGAGAUCUUUCUUGGCUCAAAUCCAUAUACUGGCGGAAGGCGGAACCAAGUUGUCCAUAGUAUAAACAGUCUAUGGUUUUAACCUUUAUAUUCAUCUUUUCUAACGUUCCCAAACUUUGGAAAGUUUGCAAUCUAAUGAAAUUCUAGGAUAAACCUUGAAUGUGAUCUGCACAUUUUUUGCCCUGAACAGAAAUGCAAUAAUAAACUGGACUUACAUCAAAUAUGAAUUUCCAUCUGCAUAAACAUAUGAAUCUGCCAAGCAAUGCAUUAAGUUUAAAAUGUGAUUUUGAAAUUAAUUUUUCUGCAGCUGUGUAGCUCUUUCCAGUUACCAUCUGUUUACCCUGAGCGACAAGUUGUGCAGUUUCAGGUCCACUAAAUUUAAAAAUGCAUAUUAUACAGAAUUAUUAUUCAACUCAUUUGGGGGGGGUACAAAAAGCUGUUUUCUCUUUCUCUUCAUAUAAAUAGUACACAUUCAGAGACUUUUCCUCUUUAACACAUCAGAUUUAGCAUACCCAGCAGACUCAAAGACCUCUGAAACUUGGGUUGUGUUCGUGUUUCCAAUAUUGUCAGCAUCUAGAGCUGGGCAAUUAACUGAAUUUCGAUUUUGAUAUGCCAGACUGAACAGUAUGCAGCUACAGGUGGAGAGAGGAGAGCAGGGAGAGGAGCAGGAAGAAGCAUGUUUAAUUAAAAGGCAUGGUUGACGAUUGGAGAGAUUGGUCAUUAUUAUGAACCUCGUUUAUAUGGCGAUCAUGGUCCUAUAGUGCGAUCUCCACAAAGUGAAGAGGAAAAAAAUGUAAAAAAUCUGUUCACCUUAGCAGGUGCAGGGCUGCAAAAACAUUGACCAACGGGAGCCAUCCGUCCUGUACAGCUCCUAUUGGUCAAUCUCCUGCUCUGCCUCUCCAUCCAAUCACCUCGCUGUAUUCGACACACCCCUCUCCCGUAGUUCAGACUCGUCCCCUCCCACUCUCCCGGUGCUCCUCAGAGCUCUGAGCAGCUAAAAAUAGCGUAGCAGCUUAGCUACAGGAGCUGUGAUGGAGAAGGACGCAAAAAAUACAAAAAAAAAAAAACACUUUUGCUUGCCCUACCGCCAAAAGUGAGAAGAAAACGCAAGCCAACAAAAGAAAGGGCAGAAUUGAAGAGGAAAUGUGACCAAGCGAGGAAUCUAACUGGAAUAAACAUCGGGUCAUCCUACGAGCGGUGGAGAAAGCUCUGCCAGAAUUUGGGCCUGAAAACAGACGCAGAGACAGCAGAGUUUUUGUUAAGCAGGUAAUUUUUGCCUUUUAUUGUGGCACAUGUUACCUAAAUAACUCUUAUUAAUCUCUGUAAUGUCAACACGGUAGCUGUCCAGGCAGCUGCAGACGGUGUUCGCUAGCAGAGCUGGCGUUUACUACCGCAAGUCACUAGCAAUCCGAUAUGGUGAAUCCUAUUUGAAGCUAGCGUAGGAUCUUCUGGCAUCUUGCUCUGCCAGAGGGGGUGUGUCGUGUAUCAGAUUUUUCAAAUCUGCCUCAACAGCUCAGUUUUUUCAACUGCUACUCAGAUCGGCAACACUGCCUUUGAUAAUGAUAUCAUAACAGUCAGACUGAUUGUGAUUAUGGUUUUUGCUGUAAUCGAGAAGCCCUACAACAAUCAGUAUCUGGUCAUGGCGGUAUGUCUGUGGCAGUUUUGAAGGACAUCUUGGCCUAUGUGGGUCACGCAUUUGUUCCUGUUGAACAUUUUUGAACACUGACAGGAUCCUCCUCCUUUGAAAAAAAUAGGUGAAUUUGAAAUGUGACAUUCAGAAGGUUUUAAGCCGGGAAUAAAAAAUGCACUGAUGUCUGUUCUCACCCACACAGCACACUAUCCCAGUCAGGCGAAGGGAAAUAAAACCCUCCUUUAUUAUCACAGCCUCCGUUUGUGUGUCAGGUUCCUGCAUGAUCAGCCUCCUGUAUGCAUCUCCGUCGUGCAUGUUCACGCGCUACCUUGAAUACGAAUCUGCUCUGUGUUGUUUGCCUUGUGCGGGGAACAAGGAUGGAGUGCUGAUUGUUUGGGCCUGUCGGUGUAUGUGUGUGAUGCUUUUACGACAGCUUCCUUCCUGCCUCCUCUGGGUGCCUGCGAGACUAGUUGGUCUGAAGGAAACCUGACAGCCUAAAUCACGCUGAAGAGCCAGAAACAGAUGUUAAUUAGCUUUAAUUUGCCUUUUGUUGUUCCGCUGCCAAGGCUGCACUAAAGUCUCCUCUCUGUAUUUUACUGCACUCUGUUAAAUGUUGCACUGUAGCUCACAUGCUUGUAUUUUAAAAACCACCACCAAAUAACACAGACGUUUCAAGCAGGAUUUGAAUUUUUAGAUAGAUUUCAAAAGAGUGGUUUUGUUUCCAAAGUUUAGCUGGCAGGUUGAAAUUUCACACUUUAGAAAGCAAAUACAUGACUCAUUUUAGUUUCUUACUAUAUUAAGCUCAAAAGCAGCUUUACUCGAUUUGAAAGGAGAAACAUUCAGACUGCAUUUUGAAUAGUACCCACAUUUGAAUAGUGAACAGUAUGACAUAUUAUUCAAAGAAUCAGAGAAAACAGACACGACUCUGUAGUGGGAGUCCCUGCAUGGGCUGAAAUCACUUCCAAAAGCCAAUGCAUCAUGCAAAGAGGAAAUAUGAUCCAGGAAAUUAAAAAAAAAAAGUUCAUUUGGGAAUCGGAAACCAGUUCCAUGAGAGAACUCUCUCCAACAAGCUCCAGCCAUCAUUUGCUUUUAAGGUUCAAUUGCCAAUGCCUUCAAGAGCGCUCCAGGGUGGCUCCAGAAAUAGGACUGUACAACAUUCCCACUUACUGUAAAAUCCACUCUCCACUUAAGCUGCACGGUGAUAAACUCUGUCUUUGUCCAAGAGGGACUUAUCUACUUAAAAAGGAGAUCAGUGUAUUUUCAGACUAUCCAGGUCUAAUCUCCCUAAUAAAGGUAAUUUUGACCUAUUUGUGCAUACAUUUAAACAGAAAAGUAUUGAGUAUUUUGUUUGCUGACCAUGCUAGAGGGAAGCUAGCAUCUUUGUUUGGGUGUAUUGACCAAUUAGAAGCUGUAUUUGCAAUCAAUUGACCUGGGAAAAUUCAGAAAGCGGGCUUCGCGUCUUAUCUGAGCAAUUAAAUUACAAAAAAAGUAAUAGUUAUUUUGAACCUGUAGAGGCCACCAUAUCCAUUCCCAUCCUUGUUUAAAGAUAGGAACUUAUGAAACAUUCUAUUUGGAAAUCCUGUACGCAAGAUCCUCUGAUUUAAAGAAAAGUGUCUGUGAUGGCUCAGGGAAGCACUAAUGCCAGUUCCUUUUCCCAGAAAAGGUAAAUCAAAGUGAAGUAGAAACCGGUUACAUAAUCUGUCAGAUCAAAAUAUAAUACUCUUUUUGGAAAUCAUGGACACAGAAUCUUCUGAUUUAAAGAAAAGUGUCCGUGAUGGCUCAGGGAAGCACUAGUGCCAGUUCCUAGUCCCAUAAAAGAUAAAUCAAAGUGAAGUAGAAACCUGUUUCAUGAUCUAACAGAUUAAAAUACAACACUCUUUUUGGAAAUCAUGGACACAGCGCUUUUUGCUCUAAAGAGAAGGGACCACCAAUUCAUAUUGUUCCACAGACAAAAAGCCAGUGUACCCUGGUGGUAUUGGGAAUCAUAUGGGAAAAUCUUGUGGUCUGAUGAAUCAAAAUUUUGCAUUCUUUUUGGAGAACAUGGAUACCACAAUCUUUGAAACUAAAGUUGAAUGAUAGCCUCUUUAGCUUGUUUAACAGGCUAUUGUGCAUGACUCCACAAAACUCCAUUGCGAUAAUGGCAGGAUAAAGGGUUGACUGCAUUGACCUUCAUUCUCAUUGAUAUAAAAUCUAACCAGAAGAGCGUGACUCAGCGUCUGUUCAUGCAUCUUGUGGUAUUUCAAUUUCCCGACUAUGCUGUAAAGCUAUGUGUUAUGUUAUGGGAGUGUUUGAAUCCAUCUGUAUUAAGGCACUAAACAAUGUCAAGGACAGCUGUAGAGUCAGACUGUUCGUGGGUUUAACAAGGCUGACAUAAAGCCACAGUGUGGAAGAAUCUUUGAAUGAACUGAACCACUUCACAACAAGGACAAAGAAGAAAAACCAAUACAUGUGAUUCUAAGUGGCCAGGAUACACUGCAUCAUUGCAUGUUUGUAAUAUAUGUAACUGCCCCGACGCCCGUGAGUGAUUAUCUCCGGACAAUUUUACAUAUGAAUCACCAGAUCAAUAUUUGGAGUCAAACAAGACCCUUUACACGAUUUAGGGGCCUUGCUUCUAAGCCAUGUCUGCUGUAUUUGAAGCAUUCCUGUGCUAAUUUGUCGGAAGGUUACCCCGGUGACCUUGCCGCUAAUUCAAUCUCAGACGGCUAUCAUAUUUCAAUCAACGUGUAUCGGCAAAGUGGGGAUAAUGAGGAGUGGUAACUGGAUUAGUGUUGAUACACUGAUGGGGGAGAUUGGACAUGUGGCAGGCCAGUAAAUCCAUCCAUUUUGGUUAUUAGAGUGGAAUAUGCAGCAACAUGAUCUAAGGUUUGUUUGGAGAUAACAAAGUGGAAAGUUGUCAGAGUUCACAUCUUGGUCUCACCGGUUUUUGAUUUUCCCUUUGUUUGAUUCUGUCCUAAAUGCUUGCUUGUUGUGGUCUUCAGUUGUUGUUGUUGUUUUUAAUUUAUUUAUGAGUCCUCGGAGUGACAAUUAUAAAUUACACUCUCAUGUUUACAUGCAUGAGAAAGCACAGUUGCACUCUCUAAAAUCCACUAAAUCUGAUGUGUGUUUUUUUCAAAGUUCUGUCAUUGUUGUUCAUGAUAAGUCUCUGUUCAGUAUUUUAAACUACAGACCUUGACCUAAAAAGUAUAAAUAGCCUAUUUGAUGUCAUUAAAUAAGUGUUGAAUGGAAUCACUCUGAGAUCUGAUUUGUUCCUUUCUCAGUUCAGUUGAGCUGGCGUGUCAGUCGGGAGUGGAACUGCUGCGUUUGACUCUUUAGUGAAUGACACACAGCCAGCCAGCCAGCAGGCGGGAGGAGUCUCGUGAUUUGCUCACAGCGAAUGAACGAUAUGUAUCAGUCAGACCGUGAACGAAACGAACGAAUCUCCGCUACAGCUGCCAUGUGUUUCAUCUCUAAUCUCUCCACUUUUCCGCCAUAUAAAAGAACGACAACUCGCGCCUGUUAGCGAUUGUGCUGCUCGCUGCCGUGUUGUUUCCGCCAAUGGCGACACAGAGAGGUGAGUUUUUCAAGGCAGGGGAGUGAUUCUUCCUUUUUGGACUUAGCGAAUGAACGACAGGUGUCACACAGUGAACGACGCUGUGACUUCAGUAGCAAGGGAGGGGAGGGGCUUAUUCAAUGAAUGAACUUGGGGCUGUGUCGCUCACUCGUGUACUGCACCUGCAGGACGGGGGCUCCAAAGCACUGGCUGAUUCAGUGAACGAAUCGUUUUCAUGAACGGAUUCUAAAGAUUCAGUACAGUCAAAAGAACUGUUCUUCCCAUCACUAGCUCAAAGCUUAUAGCCAGUGCUAUUCUUCUUGUUUUUCUUCUAACAUUAUAAUUCAUGUUAGCAUUAGCAUUAUUAGCAUUAGCAUUAUUAGCAUUCCACAACUUUUUCAGUUUUUUUGUUGUCCCUGAGAAUUAUGUUAUUGGUAACAAAUCAAAGCAAGCAGGUAUUUCUUGUUAAACAACCUAGUGUGUCAGUUUCAGCAUUUUAUAUAUUUUCUACUCUAUUUCUCUACCUCUGACCACCUUUGCGUCUUACCAUAAGAAACUGUGGGUUUUUGGUAUUUUUGCUGCCCAGGUGGAUAAAUGCAAUCUCAAAACUCCUUACUGGAGCUUUGACUAACAACUUCCUGUUACUUUCAGAAAGUUCAUGACAUAUAUAUAUAUAUAUAUAUAUAUAUAUAUAUAUAUAUAUAUAUAUAUAUAUAUAUAUUUUUUUUUUUUUUUUUUCCAGUUUCAGACAAAAAAUAAAUAAAUUCUGAUUUGACUGAGAAGGUGUGCUCAGGCAAAUAGAUGUAAUAACUUAAAAGUAUUUAUGAAAUUUAUUGACCCAUCUAUCUCCGUUUUCCCUUCUCCAAUAGACUGGUGUGUCUCGCUGCAGUCGUUAUUCUUGUUAAAAGAACUGCUGUCAUGUUAAUUAAAAAUAAUAAACCACAAAAGCAAAAAGGACCAAUAUGAAAAAAAAAAAUAUAUAUAUAUAUAUAUACAAAAAACUAAUAUAAACGACUACAUGUCUCAAAAGAUGCUGUGAGGCAAGAAUUAACAAGCGCUGUAGAUCCUCGGGGUGCGGUCCAAAACAAAUUGGCCACUGCAAAGAGAGAGUGAGAGAUGGACAGAACGAGGGAUAUGAAAGGGAUGAGUGAGAGUGGAAAUAGGUACAAAAAUCUUAACAACUAAAGCAAAUCUGGAGCGUUCCGUUUGAUAACUUCUUUUCUGGGACAUCAUAGCGGUUAACUCACAUCUACAUCAAAGCUGGAGGAGGGAAAGUGUCCGUCAUUUCCAACUUGUUUUGUAAUUUUGCCACUCUGUUUUUUCAAAGUUCAGAGAGAUUGAAAUCUUGAAACGGAUCAGUAGCUCUUACAAAGCUUUUUCCGUUUUCUCUGUUCGUCUAUCAGAGGCUUUAUGUAUUCUACAUUGGUUAAUUGAAAAGAAAAGCAGGUUUGAUGGAGCGUUUUUCCAAGUUGUGGAGCUGCAAAUUGUCACAAAGUUUCAGUAAAAGGCGUAGUAGUUUGUUUUUCAUUUCUAUAUGCAAAAUCCAAAGGAUGCAAUUAGCAUGCAUGAGUUUUAAUUCGACGUGCAAUGUACAUCUGUGCAAGCGCUGCCUCACAAGUGAAAUUCAGACGAAUGAAAGUACGCGAUUCAACUUUGUUUUCUCCUGCAGGCCAGUCACACAUCUCUGGCGUUCCUCCCUGUUCCUGAGUGGGUCUCGCAGAUACAGCCAUGCUAAUAACGAUGUGGCUAAGUGCUAUGGCAAAGCAGGGCUUAGAGUGCUUUGUAGACUUAGAAGGCCCCCUCCUCUCCAUGGCGAGCUGCUCUUUGAAGGCUUAUGGGCUAAAGUGGCAGCGAGGGGCUGGUGAUGCCAAGGCAAUCAUCUCCUCCCGAGUCGUACUCCUGCAGGGAAUGCGGACCGCUAUCAGGGCAGGGACGGGGAGGGCGAGAGCGGCGGGAGGUCAGCGACUGUGGCACCGCUUCACAGCACACACAUACUGACUGGCUGAAUAAAGUACAAAAAGAGGUUUUAGUCACACAAACAUUUCUGUGGAGGCGCCCAAAGCGGAAUUCAUGUCAGCGCUCAUGUUGGUAUGCAGUGUUCCGUCUCUUUCACUGUGCCUCACACUUACAAGAGCAAAUAAUGAACACACUGUGCUCCAAAGCUGUGAAUUCCAGCGCUGUAGCCAGCUUUCUCUGAAUUUUCAACUAAAUCUCAAGGACAUUACUCACUCAAAUCUCCAUGUCCUCCUUAACUCUCUGAAUUUUUUAUUUCCGAUUUUAAUUUAGUGUUUUAUUCCUUGCCAUGUUUGUAAUUAGUGGUUCAAAUUGAUGUAUCUGAUGGAUGUUUGAGCACAGAUAUGAUUAUUUCAGGCUACUGUUUAGCUUAUUUAGUUUCACUACAGAUAGGGUGACCAUAUUCUGACUUCCCAAAAAGAGGACAUGACUACAUGGGGGCGGAGUCACGGAGUCGCAUGAAGUUCAUUUAGAGAGUUUUUCAGGUCGGUUCGAGUGUUUUUCACAUGCUUCUGACUCAGUAAGUCCAUUGACACAAAAUGGAAACUUAACGUACAAAACCAUGGACAUUUGAAGGAUUUUCUAAACUUCCCUAACAAAACCGGACAAACCAGGACAGCCCCCAAAAAGAGGACAUGUCAGCGUAAAAAAGGGCAUAUGGUCACCCAACUACAGACCCAUUCUGUUAUGAUUGCUUGAGUUGCUAUAAUUUAAAAGGACAGCGUAGAAGACCAAACUCUUUCUCAGGCCUAAGUCCAUGAUUUCCAAAAAGAGUGCUGAAAUUUGUUGAAGCUGUUUCCCACACAGAUAGUAGUUUUAAACUGUUAGGUGGUUUGAGACCAUGACUUUUAGACCCUGUGCAGAUGACAAGCUUGGAUAUCUGACUUCUCUUUACAGUGGAGGAAGUAGUGUCCAUGAUUUCCAAAAAGAUGUCAAAUUUUGAUUAGUAUUACCACAGAACAGCUCCCUCUUUGACUGUCCAUCUUUAUAAAUUAAUUGAUUUAGUUUAGUGUCAAACGUGAAAUAAAGAGAGGAUUGUCCUUGGAGAUCAAGGAUAACUUGGUGUCCAUGGUUUCCAAGAAGAGUGCUGAAAUUAGUUGAAGUUGUUUCCCACAGUGGAUAGUAGUUUUAAACUUUGUUAGGUGGUUUGAGACCAUGACUUUUAGACCCUGUGCAGAUGACAAGCUUGGAUAUCUGACUUUUCUCUAUCCUGGAGGAAGCAGCGUCCACGAUUUCCAAAAAGCAUGUCAAAUUUUGAUCAGCAUCACCACAGAACAGUUCCCUCUUUAACUGCCCAUCUUUAUGCAUUAAUUGAUUCAGUUGAGUGUGAAAUAUGUGAAAUAAAAAUAAAUUGGUUCUUGGAGUUAGUGGAUGACAUGGUGCCCAUGGUUUCCAAGAAGAAUGUGCGAUUCUGACUGGAUUUAUCAAACUUUCCAGCUUUGCCUGCAUUGUUUUUUCUUGACCAUGUUUACAUAAGGUGCUCUCUUCCUAUGGUCCAGUUUCACUUGUAUUUGUGGAGCUCGCUGACAGGUUAGGUGGUUUCACUUUUCUAAUAGAGAGGAAGCAACCUCCAUGAUUUCCAAAAAGACUGUCAAAUUGAAUCGUAAUACAGUACAGUUUUUCUCUUAGUCCAACUUCAUUGAUUGGUUAAUUGAUUGAUUGAUCGAACAUGUACAAUAAGAAGUAAAAUAUGUGGUGUCCAUGAUUUCCAAAAAGACAGUCAAAUCUGGAUUGGUCUUAUACGAGGCCAGCUCUGCAACAAAAACGAUGGUGUUUUUAUUUUUAACUCACAUUUACUAUCUCGGAAGGAGUGAAGGAAACAGCAAAGUAUCUGAAGCCUCUUUGUGGGUUUGAUGUAGCACUUUUUGCCAUUUUUCAGAACUUUUUGACAUUUUAAAAUAAAUUGAUUUUUGUCACAAUCCUUUCAGUUUAUCCAGUGUCUGUCAGUUCUUAUAAUUUCCCCAAAGAUAGUGUUAUUCGGAGUCUCUUAUUUCCUGUUCCAUGUGUGUGAGUCACGUCCAGGAGGGUGAAAAACAUGUUUUAUGGGGAUUUUGUAACACGUCCUUUUUGCAAAAUCAAAAGUACACUUCCAUGCUUGAAAAGUUUUCCCUUUUUUUAGUCUCUGCUCAUGCAAUACUGCAGUAGGAAUUGUCAAGAAAGAGUCAAGCCUGGGUGAAAAACUGAAGAAGUGAAUCAUGUGACGCCUUGAAUAAUGUGAAGUUUUACACAAUUCCCCCGGUGAUCCAAUGCUUCAGAGGCGUUCGUGGGUUUCUCAUAGUGUGCCACCGUCCCCACCCUCGCCAGCUGAGCCUGCAUUGACUUGUGCAUUGGAUCUGAUUCAAGCUUGACAUUAGUUCCGUGACUUCUGACUGCGAGAGUUGACUACAGGCUCUUUUGACUCACAAACUCAAAAAUGUCAGCGAGUGUGGCAGGAACAGAGCAGAACACAAUGGCUGCCAGAGCAUCGGGUAGAGUGAUGAAAAAUUGGCUGCAGGGUUCCCUGUAGGAAAGAAAUGCAGAGCUGGAGCUAUUUGUUACAUAUCAAAGCUGGGCUGUAAUGCCAUCAACACAAAUGACUGCAUAGUCAUCGCGAUGGGCAGAUUAUGAGAAGCUAAAUAUGGUUGCAUCUGUUGAUGCCUGAGUCAAGGGUUGUUUUGGACUGCAUGUAGCUUGUUUAAAUACCCCUCAAGAUAUGAAAUAAUGACAUGUUUUGAUGGAAAAAUAGAUGUUCACUUUGGAUUAAUAUUUUUCUGCAUGCAUUAACAAAAAGCAUGUUCAAAAAAGUUUGAAAAGCACAUAGAAAGUUUCUAAAAUUUGUCUGCCAGUGCAUAGUUCUUCUCACUCAAGGCAUUUUUUUAACAGUACAUUAUGGCAUCAGUAGGAUACAUAAAGUGCUCAACAUAAAUGAGUACACCCCUUCAGAGUUGUCGGAAAACCUUUAGUUUCCCUCAAAAUCAACAUUUUCUAUGUCAGACUAUGCAGCAAAAUGUAGGCCAUUGAUUGCAAACAAUAUUUUUUAAGUUGCAUACAAUUUAUUUAUGUAUUUAUUUUCAUUUUAAAAUUAGGAUGCAAAAAUGAGUACACCCCAAUCAAAUUUCUGGGAGCAAAGCUGAAUUUUCAUUACCAUAUCAACUUCAUUUACAUCUUAUGCCAAAUAAAAUGUUCUGUUAAACUCAGCUUUGUCAAAACUUUGGAAAUUGUACUAAACUCAUCUAGAUAUUAAGCAAUCCAUUACUUUUAAUAGGGGUGUACUGACUUAAGCUGGGCACAGUACAUGCAUGCAGGAAAUCAAGAUUUAUCUUAAUAUCAAUGAGCCCAGAAAGCAUUUGCUAAAAGAUCUGAAGGUUCAGCCGUUUGCUUGCAGAAAACAUAUCUUCAAAGUCCCACUCUGAUCUUUUUUUUUACUACUGAAAGUUUUCUCAAUGGUCUUUAAAUAGUGAUUACCCUACUUGUUCGUGUUUAGACACUGUGUACAUGUGCUGUAGCUUCUAAUGUACUGAACAUGUCACAUGUACCUGCACUCAGUCUACAGGAGCUCUAGCCAUUUCUGUCUACUGUGGAAAACAGGAAAUAUGAUUUUUUUUUAACCAUAUGUGACAUAUAUCUGAUGUUUUCAUGUAAGUGUGAACAGUGCAAUUCUGAAUUUUUCAAAUCUGACCCAGGCCUCUUUUGUAUGUGGAUAUAAAUUGGAUAUGUAUCCGAUGUGACUGCAGUGUACACGCUCAGGUCGCGUUCAUCCGACCUAUUCGUCAUCAAUAUGCGACAAACGUCACCAUUGUUCGACAUCACAAACAGGUGCGGAAAGCAAUCGUGGACGAGGGAAUGGAGGACAGCCAGUUGUGCGCAUGCGGGUCACUUCACAGAUGCAUUCCGUUCACAUUGGAUGCUGCAUUUGUUGCUGUAAUGUGAACGACCGCACAAAAAGUUCGGAUUUAACAAAAAAUCUGAAUUGUGCAUCAUAACCUGCAGUGUGAACGUAGCCGUAACGCCUAUUUUGUCUUUAUUACUUUAUCAAGACAUGAAGUUUGAAAUAUAUUAGCAUGCGACCAAUCUUAAAAGACUGAACAUUAAUAAAAAAGUGAGGUCUACUAAAGUCACACCUGAAAACACCAAAGUUUUUCAUUUAAGUCCCCCACUCUUUUACCAAAAACUGCAUUCCCUGUGUCAUUUUCAAGGAAUUUUUUUCUGCAGAGCUCCAGUAGAUCAUUAGCAAUUUGCCUGAGUUGUGGGUGAAGACAGCGCUGCUCUGCACACUCAUCUUCACAUUAGCUUGCAGCCUAACAUUGUUGGUGUAGCAGAAGUGGCAGGUAACAUAGGCGCUAUUAAGCUCUCAGACUCAAAUGUCUUUAGGGAAACGAUGAAAGCUAACAUCAUAAUUAGCUUUCUUACAAGCAUUGCAGGCAGUGGAGGAGUUCAAGUAUCUCGGGAUCUUGUUCACGAGUGAGGGUAGGGUGGAGCGGGAGGUCGACAGUCGGUAUCAGCAGUGAUGCGGACGCUUAACCGAUCAGUCAUGGUGAAGAAAGAGCUGAGCCGUAAGGCGAGACUCUCGAUUUACCAGUCGAUCUAUGUGCUGAUCCUCACCUAUGGCUGAAAGAACAAGAUCGCGGAUACAAGCGGCUGAAAUGGGUUUCCUUCGUGGGGUGGCCGGGCUAAGCCUUAGAGAUAGGGUAAGGAGCUCGGACACUCGGGAGGCGCUCAGAGUAGAACCGCUGCUCCUCCACGUCGAGAGGAGUCAGCUGAGGUGGCUCGGGCAUCUGGUUAGGAUGCCUUCUGGACGCCUCCCAUUAGAGGCUUUCUGGACAUAUCCCACCGGGAGGGGACCUUGUGGCCGGCCCAGGACCAGGUGGAGGGAUUAUAUCUCUCACCUGGCCUGGGAGUGCCUGGGAAUCCCCCCGGAGGAGCUGGUGGAAGUGGCUGGUAUGAGGGCCGUCUGGGCUUCCCUCCUGAAGCUGCUGCCCCCGCAAUGACGACGACAAGCAUUGCAGUCCGCUAACGCACAUGCUUGUUUCGUGAUCGUCCUCUGUAUUUCUCCUCUAUAUGCAAAUGUGGCUUGCAUAGUGGGGCUUUGGGGGCGGAGCUUGAAUUGGUUACCUAUAAAAUCUCACUGUUUCUGAACCUGCCGUUUGGGUCUGCCAGAGAUUCACGGCGAUUCGAAUGAAGAAAUACUCCGCAAAGCAAUUCCACAUUUAGUUUUCUCAUGAUAUGUCCUGUAGCAUCAAAAAAAUGACACAUGAACGUAUAAAAUCAAGAAAAACUUGGUUUUCAUCAGAGUGGGUCUUUAAAGGGUCAAUGACUUGCAAGCACAACAGGAUCAGCUGCAGAAUGAAGGAUCAGAGGAGAGAGUCGAAAACUGCAGUACAACAUAUUUUGGAUCCAGAUUAGAUGGUUUUAAGUUAGCGCAUAAAGAAGUUGAAUCUUGGGAGUAUUAGAGGAGUGGAGAUAACACAAAUGAAUGCAUGCUUCCCCGUCUUGUUAAGGAGUUCCAGGGAAAAUAACUGAACACAAACCCUUCACCAUUUGCUUGUUAUUAUUAAGUGCUUCUGAGGCUGUCUGCAUUUUGAUCCUCCUCUCAUACUACAAAAACGGUGCUCUUGAGGAGGCUCAAAUAUCCCGAACAAAGGCACAUGGUGGAGGAGCUCAUCAGGUUUUCAAACUGGCACAGAGGGAACACUCAAAGGUGUUUUUGACUUCUGCUUUAAUCAAGUUCUGGGCUCAGACAGUCAGAGAAAUGAAAAAGGAAAAUCCAAACAGCAAACUCCACCACAUACCGACAGCAUUUGGGUCUCUGUCAGAGAUCCAGACUGAUUAUCGCGUGCUUGAAAUUUUGAUUGAAAGAGUAUGCAAAUCCCGUCCCUUAUUUGCAUCACUCUCUCUCUCAGAGAUGAUGAAGACAAUAUUAUCAGUUUGAGCUGAUGUAGACGAGCUAACAAAGCCGGCAGAGCCGUGAGGCGUUUUGGAUCAAUUCACAGAGUGGUAAAUGUAAAUCCGAGGAUUUUUUCACGUUUGUUUUUUACCGCUGCUGGUUUUCUGAAAUCAUUUUCAAAUCUGUACUACUCAGAGGAGAAAAUUGUGGAGACCCUUGAGUUUGAAUCUGGCAGGAUGAUUGAUAGUCAAGCUCAAUUAUAUCAUAUGUUUGUAAGGAAAACUGGGCACUGAUCUUAGACCAAUACUCCCACUCACAAUAUGCUCCACAACCGCUCUGCAGUCCCUGGCCUCUUAAAAUAGAGAGACUGUAUGUACAAACACUGACAGGGUUUCAGCGCAUCCAGAUCAGGUCUAUUUGUGUUUUCCUCUUUGCAUGAUACAGUUGCAACUCUGGACUGUGUUCACACACACACACACAACUGUUUUGAGCCCAUGCAGGGAUUUCUACUCCAGAGUUUUGUCUGCCUAUAACGCAGUGUGCUGCCUGAGGGCCCCAAGAUUAUGGGACUUGGGUUUUGGUAGUAAGCCAGCAUGCUUUGUGAUCAUGGGGACCCGCAUUCCUUUGUGCAGGAAAAAGAAACUCGCCAUCCGCUCGUGUUUGAGACGCAGCGUGCAGAUUAAAACUGCAGGGAAAGGUAGAAUAAUGCCAAGAUGGAGGUUCUACGCUGCAGAGGUGUGCAAUGUUUUCCAGGUGUAAGAGGAUUAAAGUUUGCGGCCUCAUGUUAUGCCCAAGCAUAGUGGAGCAUAUCAAUGUAUGUAUGCAUGCAAAGCAGCUGCAGUAUCUACUUUUAAGAGAAUUCAGACUAUGAAAUUCAGAAUACGAGGCACAAAUGGGAGGAAAAAAAAAAAAAGUAGUGUCAACCUCCAGAGGGAGCUGUGCAGAGUCUAACAAACUGCCUCAAGCGAUGCUGGUUGAGUCAGUGUUUGUUGCAGCAGCAGAGUCGAGGUUUGAAAAACAUAUUUUUGUAUAAAAUCAGGGGGGGGGGAGAAUGGAGCUCAUCUGUUGGCAGCUCCUCAGUUCUACUCGAGAAACAAAACACUCAAAAAACCUUGCCAAACCAUUGACCCUGGAGUUGUAGUCUGGGGAACCAAAUCUUGAAUAGAAUGAUACAACAUAGUGAGAGGAGAAGGUAAUAUUUUUGCUUCUGCUAGACCGGCUUUAUCAGGAGGAGAGGCAACACUCCCAUUAAUGAUAAAAUACUAUUUUUUUAAAGUAAUUUUAUGCAAAAUAACAUGAUAGCCAUUAACACUUACAGUUGUGUUCAAAAUAAUAGCAGUCCCACAUCACUAGCAAGAUAAAUCACUGUUUUUGUUAGAAUUUCAACUUCUACGCUUCAAGUAGGUUUCAAGAAGGUUUAGUAAAGGUAUAGAAGAAAAAAACUGACCCAACAGGCAUGACAUGCAUGCUGCUGAUUCUGUCAAACUGACUCAUCAAACAGGUGGCCUUUAUUUAAGGAUCAGGGCAACUGACGCUGCAUAUGCUGGCUGUGCAUUUGUCCUUGAAAAACAGAGUGAAAUUGGUCGUUCAAGACACUGUUCAGAAGAAGAGCGAAAUUAAUAAAAGAGGGGAAAACCCAUCAAGAAGUGCAGAAAAUGAUAGGCUUUUCAGAUAAAAUGAUAUUAAAUGCUUUAAAAUGGCAGCCAAAACCCGAAAGGCAUGGAAGAAAAAGAAAAGCGACUAUUCCAAUGGAUCGUAGAAUAACCAAAAUGGCAAAGUGGGAAUGAUCAGCUCCAGGAGGAUCAAAGACAAUCUAAAGCUGCGUUUCCAUUACAUUUUUUCGCAAAAUAAAAGCGAUGUUUAUCAAAUUUCGACAAAGUAUAAUUGCGAUUUGCGGGUGUUUCCAUUGAAUGGUGUUCAGUGCGAGCCGUGUUUAAAUGGCCGUUGCCUAGCAACGAGGUAAACUUCCUGCCCGUGCGACCUCGUAUUCCUUAAGCCUUUUUGCACACCAACAUGGACGAGACACAAAACAUUUUGCGUUUUGGAGCAGCUAUUUCUGUGACCAUUACUGCUGUUGCCGCUGCUGUCAUCAGAAGACGAAGGCAGCGGGUGAUAAUUCAAAGGCAAAGCUCGUAUGUAUGGGAGCGAACACGGAUGAGCGAUUUAUGGGAGAGGAUCGUUAAUGAGGAAUUCACAGACGAAUUGUGGAUUCAAAACUUCAGAAAAAUACAAAUACAAUUCAAAACUUCAGAAAUAACUCCGUCUCCUCCCCCGUCCACAUAUACCGUGCCAUCUACGCUUGAAAUGAACUGGUCACUUGACCCGCUACGUCACGUCCGGUGACAGAGAAUUGCGAGAAAAGUGUUUCCAUUACACUUUUGCGAUAUACUUCUAUAUCGACACUUCUGAAAAACCACCUCAUGAGAGCGUAAAAACUUUUUAGCGAUAUUUGGGAGGUUUUUCGAAAUGUAGGUGUUUCCAUUACCAGUUUUCUAUUGCGAUAUUUACGUUUUGCGCAAAUCUAUGGGUAAUGGAAACGCAGCUUAAGAUUGCCUGUGAGUACUGUAACAAUCAGACGACGUCUAUGUGAAGUCAAGCUACCAGCAAGACGCCCCUGCAAAGUCCCGUUGUUAAAAAAAAUACAUGUGCUGAAGUGGUUACAAUUCGCCAACCAACACAUUGACCAUCCCCUAAAAGAAAUGGCGUGAUAUUUUGUGGACUGAUGAGAGUAAGAUUGUUCUUUUGGGGUCUAAAGGCCACAGACAGUUUGUCAGACGUCCUGCAAACACUGAAUUUAAACCACAGUACACAGUGAAGACGGUGAAGCAUGGUGGUGCAAGCGUCAUGACAUGGGGAUGUUUCUCAUACGAUGGUGUUGGUCCUAUUUAUCCCAUACCAGGGAUCAUGGAUUAGUAAAUCAGAAUACUGGAAGAAGUCAUGUUGCCAUGUUUCAACAAGACAAUGACCCCAAACACACCAGCAAGUGAGCAAAAUCAUGGUUCCAGACCAACGGAAUUCAAGUAAAGGAGUGACCAGCACAAUCCCCCGACCUUAAUCCCAUGGAAAACCUGUGAGCUGACAUAAAAAAUGCUGUUUAUGAGUCAAAACCAAGAAAUGCAGAGGAAUUGUGGAACAUAGUACAAUUGUGCUGGGCUGCAAUACCUGUUGACCGGUGCCAGAAGUUGGUCGACUCCAUGUACCACAGAUGUGAAGCAGUUAUCAGAAACCGUGGUAAUGCAACUAAAUAUUAGUUUAUGAUGCUCAGAAAAGUUGAAUCUUUUUAGUUUAUACAGUACAUUUCUGAGUUUGUAAAGAAAGAUGUCAACACUGCUAUAUUUUUCAACAUUAAAUUUCUUGACUUUCUGGAAAAUAUUAUCAAAUUUAAUUACUUUUUCCAAUUUUCUUGCUUUGUAAUAGAAUGUGCAAAAAACAAUUUACUUGAAGAAUUUUGAGGUUUACUCACCUUUUUAAACACACUGCUCUUAUUAUGAACAUAAGUGUAUGCAUCUCUAUAGUUGGGUCUUGAGAUUCUAUGACCAUCCUCUGGCAAGGAUGUUUUGACGAUAGAUUUGACCUCUAUGGACCCUUUAGAAAAGAUUUAGCCCCCAGGUCCCUCGCAAAAAUCCCGGCAUUUUUUGCUAGACAGCUAAAUUCAAGAUGGCGGCCGGCGCCAUCUCUAAAAAUUAACUUUUGAUCUGGAUGACCUAGAAUCAUGUAUGAAGGCACUUUUCCAUACAAGUCAAGCAUGAAGAUUCCAAAUCUGACAUAGUUUUAAUCAUACAACUUUGUUUUGACCGCGAUAUCCAAGAUGGCUGCCAUCUAGUACUGUGAUUCUCAACCUUUUCAGGACUUGACCCCCCAAAACAAUCAUAUUUGAACUGGGUAACCCCCAAUUUGUUUCACUCUGUUCCACAUACAGAUAUUGUGAAAAUAGCCGAUCCUAUCCUAUCCUAUCCUGGAUUUUUGUGGUGUGGCUCGUUUCCUUUUUAGAGUAGAUAAAUUUGAAAAUGUUGCAAUAAACUAUAUUCGAAGACUGUUUUUUUGAAGGUGAAUUAAAGCCCAUGCGGUGACUUCCACUACAGAGGUUUGUGUGUUUUCAGUGUUGUGCUCCCAGACCAUGGCCAUUUGGUGUUUGUUUUGUGUUCAUUAUUGGUCUAGCCCUCAUUUUGUAGAGAUUUAUGGAGAAAUUGUUCCAAAGCUGUGGAAGUAUUAGCUCAUUUGUACUAUUCGUAAUUAAAGAGUGGUUUGUUAGAGUGGAUUUUACGAUUAGUGCGUCUUCUGCACUCAAUUUUCCAGUUCCUGAGUUGCACAUGGGACUAAUGAGCAGUUUGCAGACUCUUAAUACUUUUAACGGCUUAUCAAAUUAGUUUGUUUGUUUUUUUGUAAUAAAGAAAUCCCACAAAGUUGUUGAAAUGAAAAAAUAAAAAAUAACAGAAAUAUUUUAUGAAUUUGGUUCUGGGCAAGCCCUCUCAUACUAACCACCACAACUCCCCUGUCAACAACCCAGUCGAUGAAAAAGUAAUAAACUCUUCCUUUUCAUCGCAUCACAAGGUGAAGCGCAGGUUACCGUAUGAAACACGAACCAUACAAUUAGUCUCGCUAUUCACACACACUCACACACGGUGUUAUUCUAUCGCUAAAUCGUACCACACAAGUUCAUUCACAGGUCAAACACACGCCUACAGCCAACAAACUUCCAGACACUUGCUCUCGGCAUUUGCUCAUCAUAGCGCCUCACUUACAAAGCUGAAUCUCUUUCCCCUGCAAUCUUUUCCCUAAAAUGAAGCUGUGGUCUAUCAGGACGAGCCCAUCUGGGGAAUACGAGUUGAGGGAAAUUACGUAUUCGGCAGGCGACGCCUUCUUGAUUUCCUCCGGGUGUUAAAAAAACAAGGGGAAGAUGGAACCGAGGGAGGCGGGGGAUGGGGGCAAAAUUAAAUUAUGCCUAAUUACCAGAGCAAUCGAUAGCAAAUUGAGUUGAUAUGCAUCCUUCAUGACUUAACUAGAUAUCAGAUAACGCGGGUAUGCAGCACAUUGUAACAGGAGUCAGUGGGUAAAAGGUGAGCCACGUUUUGCGAUGGCAGGAGUACAGGGGAGUAAGUCCUGAGUUAUCUGAUCUGUCAGGGUUCCGGCUGUUGUCGUCUGGCCGCUCUCCAAAAUCAGGAAUUGAGGAGACACAGGAGGAAGGUUGUUGCUAUUGUCAGGGGUAAGACACCUUGUUGACUCUGUCAGGAAGCCAAAAUACAUCAAAAUAGAAGCAGGGGACGUCAUUCUGAAUGUCAUUUUUAAUUGAAAAAUAAAUAAGAAGUGGCGUUGCCCAAGGCUACAAAUCAAGCAUAUCAUAGCAGCAGUAUCAUCUGCACAAUGUUGUCGGGUUUAUUAUUCAUCAAGCCGAAUUCAUCCUGCCCUUAAAAGGAGACAAGCGAAGUUAUGUGACCUCGGUGCUUUUAUUUUGGCAGCGAGUGAUGGGCAGAAAAUGUGAUAGAGCAGAGCAGCCCGCCCCGGUAAUCAGAGAGGAACCACAGGGUCACGAGUACGACGCCUCAGAUGACCAGCGAGUUUGUAACAGUUGAUAUACCCUGAAGCGUCAGACUGCAAUGCUGCUUUUAGAUGACCCUGCAACAAAGACGGUGAAUCAAGUCGGACAAACCAUCUUUAGUUGGAUGUAAGUGAACUCAGAUUCCCCAGAAGCAGAAAGUAAUGUCAUGUAAAAGUGGCGUUAUUUAGAAGGAGGGUUAUUGAUGUAGGAAUUGGAUGGUGAAGUCUAGGUAUGAUUGCCACACCCCAUCUGCUACCGUGAAAAAAAAGAAAAAAAAGAAAUGCAAAACAGCGUUGUCUGACAGUUUGACACUAUUUUGGUGAUGGACAUGAAAUGCUAUAGUAAAAUAAAAAACUUUUAACCUGGGAACUGUUCUUUUAUUGUCUUUUCAUAUUGUGUCUUUUUAAACCUUUUACAUUGUUGGUUUUAUUUCUCAAUAUUUUUUACAUUUUAUAUUGUGUUUUUUUUUUUUUUUAACUAUUUUUUAUCUUUGUAGGGCUUCUUUGAACAUCUGUAAAAGCGUGUUAUGAAUAAAAUUUAUUUAAUUUAAUUAACCAAGGCCUGUCUUAGCUCACUUGUCAGACUAACUGAAGCAGUCCAUCUCUCGUUGUUUAUGCCAAUCACUUUUGUUAGCAUUGAUAAAUUUGUGUUAUUGCUACAGUCCUCUCUCGUCAUGCUCAUUAUGUCCCUCUGCUUAACUAUCACACACGCAAACACUUCUGUCUUCCUGCUCUUAUUCAUGCUGCCAUUUAUGUAGCAUCAAAGUACUGAUAAAAGUGCAAUAUUUAGAACUGUUUACAUAGAUGAGGCGGGCUCUGUGACCUUUCACAGCACAUUUUGGCUUCCAUUUUAGGAAGCUGGUGUGUCAUUCCUCUAUUUAUACUGCACAAACUUAGUGUUUGGAGUAAACUUUCAGUACAGAGUUAAAAAAAGUACAGAGCGAGGACAGUCAGUAGAUGUCUGCAGGGAUACAAGGCAACAUGAGGACAAGUUUUCGUCUUCAUAUUUACCAAGGCGAAUAUUUUUAUUUGCAAUUAUCCCCCUGUUAGAAAGCUAAACAUAUCUCUUUCUACAUCAUUGGCGUUGCAACAAAGAUCAAUAAACCAUGGCAAAACAUAAUACAUUUCGCACAGCUUGGUGGAAAGGGUUUUUUAAUGCACUCGUAAAGUAUAGAGAAACAUUAAAGUUACUCUUGUUUAACACACAUAAUUUGCAACGGCACUAAAAUAAGGGACAUUUAUUGAAGAGUUAAACAGGGCAAUUUUAUGAAGUAAAUGUUUAUCUACCUGAAUGAGUAGCAAGCAAAUUUAUCUUUUGUUUACAGUGACUUCGCACAGGCGGAUGUUCUGCUUUAAAAACAGGCACUUGGAAAUAAUGAUGUCUUUAGCAGGAGCUAUUAAAUCCUAAAAGCUAAGUAGGGACUGCGGCAAAGACGGCUCUGUCCUCAGCUCUGCCUGUCGUGUAUUCGGUCCGUGUCACUCUAUCUUGCUAGCUUCAACGCCGGCUUUAGAGACUGAAGUCAUGUGUCUAAUUAAAGCUCUAUCAAUAGCUCUACCAGCAACUCCAGCUUGCUUCAGAACUAGCAUUGUGGCUACACCGUGACUCUUUUUCUUUUGGCGUGUACAGCUAGUCAUGGUCAGGGAAAAUACACAGCUUGAACUUAAAUAGAUUGCAAAUUUGCACCUACAAUUUUCAGUCUAUUCACCAGCAAAUCUUUGACCCAGUACCAAAAACUCUCCAUCCAUCUACACUCUAGAAAUGCUCCACUGUGCACACUGCAAGGAACUGUCAACCAUCACACUGAGUGCAGACAGGUGGGGCUUAAUUCAUACCCAUGGCUGUACCUCAAAACGCCCCCAAGCCGGAUUAUCGCUCCAGCCAAGGUGAGAUGACCAAACUGCCCUGACUUGACUUGUGCUUUUGUCCGACACAACUCACCGUGGACAGAGUUGGCACCGGAGGAAAAGUGGCGAGACGGAGAAGACGGCGCACAUCGAAAAAAAAAAUAUAUAUGUUCACAGCUCAUCUCGAAGUAUUCAGGGUAUGUAGCAGCCUUAAACACAGUUUUCACAUUGAGCGGAUGCUGGCUGAAUUCCAUUUUUUAUAAGUAUGUUGAAGCUCUAUGGCCAAAAGCACAAGACUGCAGUAAUGCAUUAAAGCAACCUACUCCCAAGUGUAAAUUUGUAUGUGUGUAAGGACACACACACACGCUCAUACACACAGAUAUGGCAUUUCCACUUUUUACUGCUUGUUUGCUGAACCGCUGCAGCAUCUUGGCUCCAUGCCCUGGAGCAGAAUCAAAAUACUGUUCAGCUGUUAGAAGUUACAAAAGAAAGUCCCAUAACUAGUUUGGUCAGACAGUAAAUGUUACAGAGCUCUAAAACUGUCUGCAGUGUUGAUGCGGGAAAAUACACAGAGGGGGCUGUUGACCACCCUGGCAGUGUGUUUUAGUGCGCGCUGUGCUGUCAGAUUACUUUUGGCAGUCUGCUGCGUAGUUAUAAAACACCACCAUUAUUCAUUGCUGCUAUAUUCUCUCUGAAUUAGAUGUGUAUUCGCCAUUGCUGUUUAGGGUAAUUCCUUAUCCCACAGUACACAUUCAGUUUAGUAUCUGCCAGUCAGUAUCACUGAGCAGAUAUCAUAGAGUUGACACACCGCCAGAACUUUCAACUCCGAUAUGGCGCUAAAGCUAAAAGUAGACAGCAUUGAUACCUAUUUCAUUACAUGAAUGAACUCUAAAGCGUCGAAGUUGGGUGAAAUUAUCAUUUGGUUUCCAUUGUGUACACUGUGCCUCUACAAAGAAAGAAACUAAGUUUGGAUCAUACAACGAAAGGUUGAUUCAACUUUGGUUACUGUUGCAAACAUGCGUAUGUGUAUAUUUACUUAAACUCUACUUGAGGUGUAGUUGGCAGUUAGCGCCAUUUUGAGGGGUGUCCGAAACCUGAGUGAUCAAUUCCAAUGCCCCAUAUGGGCAACUCAAAAUUUACCAUAGAGCAUCACAAAAUGUAGUGACCAUCCAAUGGUCACUCACUGGUGGUGGGCAUCCCGUCAUGCAUUGCGUAUCCAGCAGCACUCUACAUCUGCUUACUGUACUGUUCUGGCAAGGAACCUGGCACAAUACUCGCCAGGAGAUGGCGUAGCCUGACAAAGAAGACCACGUAAUAUACUGAUGCUUUUUUUUUUCUCCGUUGAUGUAAUGAACUGCCCACCGUUGUUUAGUCUCUCACUUACAAUUCCACGACGUCUUGCUAGCGUCGAACGGCACGACGCAGUCUUCUCUGGCGUAUUUCUAUUUGUCGGUUUGUUCUUAUUAAAAACCAACUGCCUCAUGACGAGAACAAGAAGAGACAGAACCGAGAGACCGAGCUCUAUUUGCCAUUUUCAGCAUUUUUAAUCUUCACUUUACUCACAAGUGAUCCGUACAGUUUUCGAAAAACAAUUGUUCGCUGCGUCAUAAAGUCUCGUGCACAAUAUGAUGCAGCAUCCUGAAAAAAAACAAAUACAUCUAUACAACAUCAUGAAAUUCAAGAGGUGUGUAAAAAACAGCCGCAACUUCAGACACGGCAGUCUGAGCAGUGACGUCACAACGGUGCGCCAUGUAGUGUCCGAAACCUCCGGUGAUUGAGUGAUUCAUUUUGGACACAGCUGUAGUUUCUAGUCUGGUUUUUACUUCCCUAGUUUUCCCUCCCUCGUUAAUCACUAACGAGUUUCACCUGUGUCUCGUUUGCCUCACCUGUUGCUCGUUACCCAGUGUGUACAUAGUCCCUGUCUUCCCCGCUGUCCUGGUUGGUUCAUUGUAUGUAUGUUGAUGUGCAUGCUUGUGUCCGCUGUUGCUCCCUGUGACUUUUCUUCAGUGAUUUUGAUGUAUUUUUCUCUUUUGAUGCUUUUUCAUUUAAUUCUUUUAAUAAAGACACUUUUUGUUCUGCAUUUGGGUUUUUUCUCUUUGUCUAACUCUGCUAAAACACUGCUGAAUGCCAUUUAAAUUUCAUUUUGCUAACAGCUUACACGCAAAUUCGCUUUGUUCACGCUUCAUAACUGAGACCCAAUAACUUCACGUUAGACUCAGGAGAUAAUUUAUGUCACAAAGACUCACUUUUCCUCUUUUGGCUUUGCUUCCUUAAGUUUUCAACAAAGUAGAGAGAGUUUGCAGAGUGGAGAUCUAAAACUGUCAAACAAUUUGCCUGAGGACAACCAGGUCUGCUGAGUCAGUUAUCUAAGGCUCUCCUUAAAACAGACUAUAAAAUGUAAGCAAAUUUGUUGGCAGUUUUUCUGGGAUAACAUUGUGUUAUCUGAAGGGAAAGAAAUACUGGAGUAUUCCCUACAAAUUUAGUGAUAACCCAUUAGGGCUCAUUUUAGCUUUAAAGUUCACAAUGGGUGGAAAUGAUGUCCAGUCUCAUGGGGAUGGAAAUUGAGAUCUGGUUCCAUUUAAUACCCGUUUAUGUAGUUUUCAAAACCCCCAGAUCAAUAGGAGCGUAUUGAUUCUGCGAAGAGUCUCAUGGGUCCCUCAUUAAAGAGUAAGGUGCCACUUUUUACCCAGAAUGCAAACCUGCAUUUAAAAUCUAGGGGAAAAGGUAAUUCAAACUGAGCUGUUUAAACUCAUAAUGACACAGUAGACGAGCGCAUUAGGCCACCUGCUGGAUCCAGUAGAGGGCACAUUCGUCGUAACCUGACUAAUGGUCUUGGUGAACUAAUACCGUCAUGUUAUUCUACAAAAAUGUAGGACAUGGUGGGGCAAAGCCGCACCAAUCAUGACGCCAAAACAUUUUAAGAAGCAUGACUGCAUAUGACUGCAAAUCAACUUGUACAAAGAAGCUGUCUUAGUCAUGAAUGAUGAAAAACUCGUCAACUGUCAUCAAGGUUCUUUCGUCAAAGAAAACCCGACUUUUUGCUGAGCCUUGUUGGUAAAUUUACACCAACUGUGGCUGGUGCAUCACUGUUAAAAAUAAAAAGUAACCAUUGUUUUCUUCUGAAGGGGAUUAUGUUCAUUUGUGUUGGUUCUUGCAGCCAGCAAUGUAGCAGUCGGUGUGACCACCGCAAACCUUUGACAUCUCGACUCUGCAACGCCAACUGGGACCUCAAACGUGUGGGAGGAAGCAGGACUUUUAAAAAUGUCUACUUUCUUUGAAAGAAAUUGAACUUUUCAGAGUAUAGAUGGACACGGAAAGUGUUAGAUAAGUUAAUUAAUGGAUCUUUGUGCAGAUAUCCUCUUCAAUAUUUAAGGUGGUACACAUGCCACCUUAAUAAUUAACCUAAUUAAAUUCAGCAUUGAAUUAUUAACACUGCCGAGUGGUCUGCUGUAGUCUGAUCGGACAAGCUGGGGCUUUAGCAGAUUGAGUGCAUGCUGGGAAAACUAACAAGGCUCACACUCAAUCACACGCACACACACACACACCUCCUUUCGUUUCACCAUUGGUGCUGGUGAGUGGCCAAAGGCAGGAGGUGUACAAUGCAGCUCCCAGGUGCGAAGUGGUGAAUUUAUCCAACUCUCCCUCCUUGCUGUGAACAAGCAUGUGUUUUGGCAUAAAUCUCUCUGCAGCACUUUUCCUGUGCUCCUUCCCUACUUGGACUUUAAACCACCAGUUUUAAAAUAUGCAGCAAUGAAGACAUAAUUCUUACCACACUGUGCCCGCUUGUAGCAAAAGAAAAACAAAUUAGAGUGAGCUUUUUAUUUUCUAAAAGUUGGUUUUAUCAGGAAAAUAUUGCUUAUUCUUUUACUUUAAUGGAUUUUCCAAAAGAAGCAUAAUUCAAAUAGGUUUAAGUGAGAUUUAUUUCCUGUAUUACAAGACAGGCCACACUCCCUGAGAAGGCAGCUCGGGCCAUCACUAAUAAUAAAACUCCAUAAAUGUGAUGUGGGCAAUAAAGCCAGUAUAAUAAACUCCACUGCAGAGAAACCAGGAUCAUAUUUUCUGUGCUAUUAUCUGUAAAAAACCAAAUCCACAAAACACAUAACUUUUUUUUUUUUUGCUGUGUUUUCAGUCACUGCAGGUGCUGAAAAGUAUGAUCUGCUUUGGCUCUAGAGGCUGAAAACAGACGGUGUAAAAUACCCCAACAUACAGAAAAUCAAAAACCUGCUCACAAAGACUGUCUACGGUGCUUUAGUCUUUGUCCAAAGGCUUUAUCUUGCAGGUGGGCUCAGGCGGAGAAAACAAACCAGCAACAUAUCAAAACAGGGCCGAGCCCCGGCGGGAUGCGUUCAGUACGCCGGCUUUUUCUUCGAGGCGUUUAAAAGCCAGUGGGUAUUAUUUUUAAUGAUUGUUUAUUGAGACUAAUCUGCCACCUUAAUCAAAGGGACCUUUGCAAUCUGCGCGUCUGGCACUUUUUCCUCUCCCUGUUUAUGCUGCUGGCUGUUUAUGCCGCGCCUAAAGAGCGCAUAUCAGCCAAAUGUAUUUUCAAUCACUCACAGACCGGAUUGGGAUAAUUAUGUGGAGCCGCUCGAUUCAUUUGCGUCGCAUGUCCAAAUGUUUCCAUCCCAUCUUGUCGGAAGGUCACCGAUUUGGAUUCGGAUAAUGGGGUUCAAUCAAGCAAAUAAAGCAAAGAUUACAUGUAAGGAACGACAAAGAGCUGCUACAGAGCAGGUUUUUCUCUUGAUUUGAAAAGGCAUCGCAGGGCUUACUUUUGAUUUGAACAAACAAGUGAAUCACAGGGAGAGGCGUCCUUUAUUCCUUAACUGCAUGGUGACUCACCAUCACAUUGUAGUGGCAUGUUGAAGGUACAUUGUACAGCUUUUGUAAUGCAAUUUUGAGGCCAUGGAGGUCCAACACUAGAUUGAGGUCUUUUGUGUGCAUUUUUCUCAUCUGAAUCAUAGAAUUUGGAAAUUGUCUCCAAAGUAGGCUGUGUGCUUUUGGGCCUGAGGAAAUUUAAUCGAUAAAAUCUACAAUAUUAUCCUCAUUAGCAAAAACAUAAGGGACAACUUUUCCAAAAUAAAGUCUUUUGCAGUAUCAAAAGCAUCUUGCAAGUCACUCUGAGCCUGAGAGUGUGUUUGAGGCAGAGCAGUAAAGAACAGUAUCAUCUGCAUAUACAUGUAAAUUUGCAUUGGGAAGAUUUUGACCAGUGCUGGUAGAUUGUGAAAAACAGUGGUCCUGAGACAGAACCCUUUCACUACCUCAGGAGAUUCAGAGGUUAGUCCUUCAGCCUGCACACACCGCGACCUGUUUGAUAAAUAAUUGUCUAACCAACAGACACAUUGUUCAUGAUUUCAUAGUCCACAGUGUCAAAAGCUUUUGAUAAAGCUUUGCUACUUGCGCCACUGUCCACCGUUAUCGCUGUACUACAUCUGAUGCAGCCAGUAGAUCAACUGUAAACAUUGCCGUUUCGAGCGUCUUUGACUGCAUAGAUCAUCCCUUAUCAUGGGUAGCAUGAUGGAUACUUGACAGAUCCAUAAACUUGUUUACAACCGGAUCAUGAUUUACACAGUUUUCUUUUGUUCUGCGAAACCAUUCCUUGAAAAAAACCCAUAAAACCUCCACCUCGAGCGCCCUGCUAUAAAUCCACUGAAUACUUUGUGGAGAUUCUCGGAAAACUUUUCCGAUGGAGGCUCCUUGGCUGUCCUUGGUCAAGUCAGACUGUGAUGAAUCAUGCAUCGGAUCAAAGUGAUCCUGCCAUCCUUGCGGGGGCACAACACUGUCUGCUGCUGCCGUCAUCCCACCUGCCGCCCUGGCGUCAGGUGCAAGAUGUCACCCAUGCUACUGUCCCCUGCAAGACCAAACCCUCCAGUAGUGGGCUUUACUUAGUCUUUCCGCCGACAUGCCUCUUCCUCACUCCACUGCUUCUGCAGCUGCUGCUUGUUGGCGCCCAUCUGUUAAGGGUAUUGUUUAUGUGGUUGGUGAUCCAGAACUCAUUACCAUCCCACCUUCCCCUAUACACUAUUGUUCUUCUCUCUAAUAUGUCUCUGAUGCAAUCUGUCUUGAGGAGAGGAUUUUUUUUUUUUUUUUUAAAAAGCUGGAAACUGACUGAGGAUAAAAGAAGAGAAUAUCGCAGAUGUUCAGACUUCGGUCGGAGGAGAGAACAAUGAUAAACCUUGAGAGAAAAGUUGGAUUUUAAUAUCAAAGUUCUCAUCGUCUAGAAAGGAGUAAACAUAUUUUAUAUAUUACAAGUUGCUUAAAUGACAGGAAAGCUUUAAGAAAAGUCUUUACUAAAUAAUGAAAAACCUGAAUCACUUUUCUGGGGUAGAUUUAAGUAUCAUUCAAACCAUUGUGAGAUGAUGUCUCUUAUACAGAGAUUCAAAAUGCAACACACCUCUUAAAGGGAUAUUCCGGCGUAAAAUUAAUUUAGGGUCAAACACACCAUAACACCGAGUUAGACACCCCGUCCAGAGAUUAAUAUUGCCGACCGCUUGCUUCGAUAGUGACAACAACUUCGAUAACGACCGCAGGAUAGUGAUACACAGUGGUCUGAGGAGCCAUAAACAAACCUCAACCAAAACACCACUCUAUAGCGACAUAUAAUGCUCAGAACAGCACCUAACUUCAUCAACAGGACAUAUAGGGUCCUAGUCACAGCACUUGCCACCAAACAUCUUUUUAGCUUUGCCUAAUUUCUUUAGCAAAGAGACUACACACAACUCACACACUCUCUUCCAGCAGCCGCUUGUUUGUUGCGAGAAUUCUGGCCAGUCCAUUACGGACUGCUGUGGGGUGACACAGCUCAAGGAACAACAUUUAUGAUCAUUUCUUCAAGGAAAUGCAAUCAGACGGAGAUGCUGAGGCAGAAGAACUACUGCGUCUGCAGUGCAAAAAGGUUUAAUAUGGUGAUUAUUACUUAAGGGAAUUUAUAAAGAAAUUAUCAUAAAUGUUCUUCCUUGAGCUGCGACACCCUGCAGGACUGGCCCGAGGCCUGGGGUUAGUAUAACUAGAGAAUCAACCGGUCUGCAAUAUUAAUCUCUCAACAGGGUAUCUAACUCGAUUUUACUGUGUGUUUGACACUAAAUUAAUUUUACGCCGGAAUAUCCCUUUCAGUAAGAAAUCAGGUGGACGACUGUGAGUAAAAACUUUCCGAUACCAUGAAACAGUAACUAAUACAUCAAAUUCACGGCACUAGUAAAAAUUACAUAUAUUAUUUUUUUUUCACUAUUAUUUCUUUAUUAUUAAAUAUUUUUCAAUAGUGGUAAUUAUAGCUACUUCGUGGGAAAAACAUGCAGAUACAGGAUAAUUCCGACAUCAUUUGCACCUAAACUUUUUGAUAUGUUGCGAUUUCAGCUCAAGUGAAGUGUUACUCGAGCAUGCAAAGGAUGUAACUUUUUGUUCCAGAGUCACGGCCUGUAUCUCAUUUAAGUCUUGACAGAAACAAAAUUGUUAGUGGCUGACACCCUCUCACAGUUUUAGAUGACAGAGAUGUACUUCACAGCAUAUGAGUGCUGCUGCCACUUCACUGUAUUAGCUGCCUUCCUGAAUUCUUACUCCUACUAUCGUUGAAUAUGAGAAAGACUGCGGGCCAUGUUUAACCACUCGUAGACGCAUGCUGCUUUUUGAUUCGGAAGAGUGUUCUUCAGCGGCUCCCAGUAUAUAUCUGUCUUCAUAUUUAUUCAUGUGAACUUUGUCAAAGUACAGCUAAGACUUUCAGCCAUGCCCGCCACUGUCUUUGCCCGAGGAAGGCAGUAAGUAUUCUUGUGAGCAGCUCCAUAUACUUGGAAAGGGCAACAAAAAUGUCUGAAAUUAAAAGUUACUCAUGAUUCAAGAAGUUUAUACAGAGAUACAGUAAAGGAGCUAGAAUGUAUAGCUACACAUUGAUAUGCAUGAUUGAUAUUAUAACAAGGACCUUUGAAGACUUUCAUGGGGGGUGGGGACUUGAGACGACAAGGUUGGUGAGAUUAGUGCUAACAAGUGUCAAGCGUCCUUUCUGCAAUGGUGUGUACAUCUAGAGUGUUUGUGCUCACUCAACUAGUCCACUAUCUCUCUCUCUUUGGUGACAUCCAUUAGAAGGCCUUUAAAGAUCAGGCGCAACAUCACAGUAUCAUCUGCAAACAAAACGAUUCGCUCACUCCUAGUUGGAAAACCCUGGCUUUGCACAGACCAGGGAUCCCUGUGUAUUUGUGGAUUAUCAUCAGAAAUCAGUUUAGGUGCAUCCAGGGGCCACUUGAUAUACAUAUGAUACACAGGAAGGGCAUUUUGUUCCAUUUUUUUACACAUCAUAUGAUUGUUUCAUAUGGUUUCAAUAGCAAAGGUUCUGAGUAUUUAAAUACGUCAUCCCAAACCAUCAGCGUAGUUUGUCCAGGAAGCCCAGAUAUGUCAGUCUGUGACAUUGCCCUUCUUUGUCGCCCUGCUCUGAUCCUGUUCCUAUAAAAAGAGAGGCCCAGGAGAAGAGGAGGAAAUAUUUAGAGUGAGCAAACAGCAAGUAUUUGUGCAUCCUCCUAUAUUCUAACAGUGGCUUCAGGUUGUUGUUUGCCAACCACAGCAUGUGUUUGUUGACGGUCAACCCAACUGCAUAUGGGUGGCGGUUCUCUAGUUUGCUUAAUUAGUGCUGAUGACAGUAAUCAACCUGUAGUGAUGGGCUUAUCGGAAAGAGAACUGUGCCACAUUGAUUAGCCAUCUACGCUAUGUUUGAUACAGCAAACCAGUCUAUUCACUGGCAGAGUGCCACUCUUACUCAGGCUGUUUAUUUUGUCGUCCCAGCAAAGCACAGUAAGCGUUCUUUUAAAUGGACUCAGCUCUUUCUUUAUCCUCAAGCAAACUUCACUGACUGUUCAGAAAUCUAGCAAUUAUUAGCCCAUCAGGUUGUUGUCUGCACCCCGAGGUCCCGGGUGUGUAUAAACUGUUGUGACCACUCCACAAAGCUCUCUCAGAGCAAAUUGCCUCAGUAAAUACCCUGUGUAUAUCCUAACAGGUAAUAUUUAAAAUUCUGCAACGCCAAGUCGCCCAAGCCUUGAUAGAUGCGUCUGCCUGCUACAGCGAUGAAUAAUGCAAAUGAAACUAAUUCUUUCUGACCUAGUGCCAAGCCUAAUACACAUUCAUAUGCUUCGCUAGUGAAAGAUGUGAGAUUCCUAUUAUGGGAAGGAAGCAAUCUGUAUUUUAAUAAUGGGACUGAUAGACCUUGGCCUUCCUUUCUCUGUGAGUUUUCCCCUAUAUGACAUCUUGUAGAGUUUAAUAGUAACAAUUGCUUUCUAUGUAGAGUGGGGAUGUGUAUUCAAAUGAGACCUUUGUGUGUCUGCUGUUCUUUUUGACAGGUGCAGAUGUACAGUAUUCGUACAGCGCUCAUAAAAAGUCCUUGUGCUACUCAAAUUUUAAAAAAGAGCCGUGAUAGAUGUUGAUAAAAAAAAAAGAAAAAAAGCUAUUACUGGUUGGAUACUUUUGAUAAAUGUGAUCAUAGGGAUGAAAAGGGGGAAAAAAUUUGCUUGUGAGAGACUGUGUGAGCAAAUACUCUCUAGUUUCAGAAUAAUAUUAAUUAGCAUUUGUAGUGAGGUUCCAAUCGCUUUGAAAUUGUUAUUUCUCCUUUUUUAAAUUUCAUUUUAGCUUUUUGUUUUCAUUUUCAGUUUAGUUUUGAUUUGUUUAUUAAGGCUAGAUUUUAAAUUGAGUUUUCAUUACUUUUGGAGUGCGUUUGUUUUUUACCUCCGCCAAGGAGGUUUUGUUUUCGGUAGCGUUGGUUGGUUUGUUUGUUUGUCUGUUAGCAACUUUACGGAGAAAGUAACAGACAGAUUGACCUGAAAUUUUCACCAGAGGUGCGUCUCAGCCCCAGGAGGAUCCCAUUUAAUUUUGGUGGUGGUCCGGACAAAAUUCUGGAUACUGUGAUCCAGAACACACAAAAUAAGGGUGUCAUUGGAAUUAUCAAUGCUGAAAGAUAACCAAUAGGCGGCACAGUGGUGUAGAUGGGCGGCACAGUGGUGUAGUGGUUAGCACUGUCGCCUCACAACUAGAAGGUUCUGGGUUCAAAUCCGGGUCAGGGCAUUUCUUGUUUUAGGAACAUUAUGAACAGUGAACAUACCAGUUUAAACACAAAUAAAAGUUAAUAAAAGACACGUAACAGUAAAAGUUUUGGUGUGAAUCACAAUAUAAGGGGGGACAUGAGCUGCUUGGUGGAGGUCUGCGCUCUCUGAGUGCUUUUCUAGUUGUAACAUGGGACAAAUGUCAGGGGCAAGACCUCCUGAAGUUAGACUCAAACCAACACUUAGCUAUCUGUUUGCCUUCUCAGAGACAAUGCCAAUGUUAGCGUGAACUAUUUGGCUGGUUUUGCAACACAGAUGCAGUAAUAAAUACUAUCUAUUGCUGUGCAGGCUUAUCUACUUUAUACCACCCCAGCACAGUGUUGGUGCUGGGACUGUGCAACCCCAGUCAAAAAGGUCUAGACACACCCAUGGGAUUCGGUCAGCUAUCUGUACCCUAUAUAAUAUUGCAAAAAGUGUCGGAUAGAGUGGAGAAAUCUCUGUUCAAAAGGGAUAAAGCUAAAAACUGAAAUUGGAUGAUGGCACCACAUGACUCUGGUGUGAAAGUCACUGCAUAGACUCAAAAUUACCUCCAAUGUCUCCUGUUUUUAAACACUUGUUACUGCAUCCUCAAAACAUGAUGCAGUGAUCUCUCAAGCCCAUUUUAGAUGAACUUGGGUGGAUUUUUGUAUAGGAUGGUGACUUGACUGAGUAUACACCUUUUGCGGGAAUCAUGUAUUCUUGGCAAAGCAUAAUAUAAAUAUCUGAUUCACAAAAAUAAGAGCUGUUCAGUAAACACCAAAUCAUUUGACUAUGCAGCCAAUUCAUGAUGAGUUUGAGUCACAAAAUUUACCUUCGAGUACCAUCGCAGCAUUUCCAAACUAACUCCAAACAACAGAUCCUUUUCCCCCUUUGAUGCUCACAUGUAUGACAAAUGGAAGGUCUUACUCAACCAAAAUUUGUUGCAGAUGUUUCAACUCCUCUUAGAUUAAAAAGAGCUCAACCAUAAAUAUCUAUUACAUUGGUACAUUUCCAAGAGACAUGGAAAUAAAUCUUCAUCGGGUGCAGGGAUGUCCCACCUUCACAGAGGAAGGGGCGUAUAAUGAAAGUCAUGUAAGCCUCAGAUUGGAUCAGAGUGGCUGGUUAAUAUGCAGUACACUUGGUCCACAGCCCAUGAGUGCUCAAUUUGAGGCCCACCAAUUUGCUUUGGAUGAUCUGGCAGCCAUGUACUCGGUUCCCCACUUAUGUGUAAGAGUGUUUUUCACAUUUAGGCAAAGGGGGAAAAUGGUUCCGACUCAUUGCAGAUUUUGGAUGCCAAUAAUAUUAAACCAUGCAGUGAACUCACAUCUGUGUAUAGCCCACAGCGUAGGACAGGGGUAUGAAAAUUCAGCUGGGCUGCAAGGGACUCAAAUGCAACAAGCAAAUUCAACGCCUAAUGACAAUGGAGGAAAACCAUUACCAUUGAGUCUGUUUUUGCAGAGCUGUUGUAACAAACCAGUAUUAUAGUGAGCAUAUGCUGUUAUCAUGUUGUGUUGUAUUGAUUUGUGAGUGAAAAAAACAUCAGAUCUAGGCGCUACAUUUGGUGUUUAAAAUUUUAUUAAAGCAUUGCGAUUGAUUAGAGUUUGUCUGAGCAUUCAUGAAUAACUAUUUUAAUUUUACAUACAAAAAUUUAUGUGAAUUGUUUUUAAUUUAGAAGCUAAUAUAUUCCCAACAACCUCAUCUCUAAACCUAUUGGGCAUACGAGCUAAAAUUGGAUCUAUUACUUCACAUCAUGUUCUGGACUUCAUGUUCAAGCCAUGAAGCUGGCUCCUGGCAAAGUUAGUCAAUGUCAGCAAGGGAGCUACCUGUCAAGAAUCGUUACCGUCCACCCACCCACCUUCCCACUAAUAAUGUAUGACAAUCUCAAUGAGUUUUCCAACUUAAGAUUCCAAACCAAAUUUCAGCCGCUCGCCUCCCCAUCUGCUAAUUUGAAAAGCCUGAAAUCAAUUUACGACACAGAGUGGAUAGCUUUGGAUGGUCCCAGUAUCUCUCCCCACUUAUUCAGCUGGGUCCUCUCAGAGGGGGGAAGGCGUAAUUCAACUACCACUCUAUAAAUUCCAUUACAUGGUGCAGGGUAUGGCUGUGAAAGUGCUGUGUCUAAUGAAGAGCUCGUGGUACCUGACAGCCCGCUUGGAGUUUCUGCUGCAGCACAGCAAUAAGAGCAGAGAGAGGGCUUCUGGGGGGAAAAUGCUCGAGACAGGGUGUGUGAGUGUGUUAGAGAGAAGUAUAGACAAAGUGUUUGUUCGUGUUUGGACACUGUGUACAUGUGCUGUAGCUUCUAAUGUACUGAACAUGUCACAUGUGCCUGCACUCAGAGUCUACAGGACUCUCCACUGAGCUCAAGCUAUUUCUGUCUCCUAUGGGAAACAGAAGUUUGACACAUUUUCACAGUACAAAUCCAUGCAACUCCAAUGCAUUGAUAUACACCUACUUUGUCUUUUUUACUUUAUCGAGGCAAAAUUUUUUUUAAAUAAAAAAAGACAAAUCUUAAUAGACUGAACAUUAAUAAAAAGUGAAGUCUACCAAAGGGGUCAUUCCAUGUCAAUUCAACCAAGAAUCUCCACUCACGUCACAGAUUUUGAUGAAAUUUGGUGGACUGAUUGGCCUUCAGGAGAAACUGUAAAAGCUCAAAUAUUUUUGUUCAAAGCCAUCUAAUUAGUGAGAUAGGGGCUAAUGAAUUUUUGGCUAAUUAGCAUGACAUGCGUCACAAAAGUGUUCAUAUCUCUGGAAGUAUGGCACCUAGAGAGCUGAUUCAGGUGUCAUUUUGAAGCUCUCUUCAAGUUCUUUUUGUUAUAACACGUUUUUCCCCAAAUUGGACCAGAAAAAAGUUAUAAAAGACCAAAAACUUAAAUUGGAAAUAGCAAAAAACGCGCGUCCUUCAAUUUUCUUCAUGUUCACACUAUAGAAAGACUUUCAUGUCCACUACCAUCCCUGCAAGUUUCAGGAUGGGCAUUCCAUAACUUUUUGAGUAAUCAGUCAAAAUGUGUGGUACGUUAGGUCGAAAAUCGCCAUAUUUGGCACAUUAUACAGUCUUGACCUCAUCUGAAGUUAGCCCCACUUGCCUGCUUGUGUAAAACAUUACUUCCUAAUAGUACAAAAUGGUUUUUUUUAAAUGUUAUCCCAUAUUUAUAUGAAAAAUGGCUAAAAUAGCUUAUUUUUGCUCAGUUUUCCAUCGCAUUUCAUUUCUAUUUGCACCUAUAUCCAGAUUAUGGAUAUGGACGUUCAGUGUAGCAGAAGUGGCAGGUAACAUAGGAGCUAUUCAGCUCUCAGACACAAAUGUCUUUCGGUACACGAUGAAAGCUAAUAUCAUAAUUAGCUUUCUUACAACAUUGCAAUCCGCUAACGCACACGCUUGUUCCGCGAUCGUCCUCUAUAUUUCUCCUCUAUAUGUAGAGUGGGGCUUCGGGGGUGGAGCUUGGAUUUGUGACAUACGAAAUCUCGUGUGUUUGAGCCGAAAGUUUGGGUCUGCCAGAGAUUCACAGCGAUUCGAAUGAAGAAAUACUCCGAAAAGCAAUUUUGCAUUUAGUUUUCCAAUGAUAUGUCCUGUAGCAUCAGAAAAAUGCCAUAUGAACAUAUAAAAAAACAAGAAAAACAUGAUUUUCAUCGGAGUGUGUCUUUAAUCCCUUUGGGAGGAGUUUAGCAACUUUGCCCGACUCAAGUUUGCUUGGGACCAUGAUUGCCUGUACCUAAUUUCAAACUAAUCCAUCCAAACACUGUUGAGAUGUUCGUCUUAUUUCACCAGUUGACCACCAACUGACCACCAAACUGCAGUUCUUACAGUGUCCACUAAGGGCUAGUUUCAAAGCCCAGAAAGCCUCAUUAGCACCUUUGGGUCUUGUUUGCGUUUUACUAUCAGGAAAAAGCCCCAAAUUUCAGUGUUUUCAGUCUCAUAAAGUAACCGAGAGAGGUUGGGUCUUUGCUCUCAAUAUGGUGUCCACUAUCGCCGUCCUUUACAACUCUACUUCAUGAACCAAUAGGUACAACCACCACCUAUUUUUGGCUCAGCAAGAGGAUAUCUGAAACCAAGCCCUCCUUUAUAUCCCCUGGUUUUUCUUCCACAAUAGCUUUCAUUUGUUCUUCACUCAUCCCAACCAGCUCCAGCUUGAACAACAGUGCAUCAAAGGAUUUAUUUAAGAUUCAGCUCAGCUAUAUCUGAGGCUUACUUUUUUAUGAGAAAAUAUGAAUAGAGGAUGGUGAAGGAAGAAUACUCUGUGAAACACUUGUUAAGCUAUGGCACUCCAGUUUGCGAGUGCAGCACAGCCGUGCAGAUACUUCCCUUUUUCCCUCUUGUAUGCAUUUUAAAAGAAGCCCGAGCCUGCAGGCCAUACUACUGUCCCCAUAAAUUGGUAAUACACAUUUAGUUUCAAAUUCAGAUCUGGGGUGUGUUGGCUAGCUUCAAACGAUCUUCAAAACCUAAUUUAUGCACGGGAGGCUGGUCUGCAGCGUGCAACAAUUGUGUCCCAAAAACAAGCAGGUGAAGUUCAGGAUCAUAAAAAUCUAAUAUCCAUCAAUUUCCGGAGCUUUAUCACUAAUCCAAUCAAAUGAAAUAGGAAAACUAAUAAAUUCAAAUUGAGGUCAUUACUAGUCACAAAACUACAUACCAAUACUGCCUGUAACUGAGAUCAAUUCAAUGAAUCACCACAGUAGCAGGGGAGUGUCAGGGGAAGCAACAAACACUGGCUUCCAUCAACAGCUCCAAUUGAGAUGCCCCUGGGCAAAGCUCUCAAUCCUCAAUUACUCCGCUGGAGCUGCUCAGUGGCCGGCGCUAGAUGACUGUGGUUUGAUCAGACAGCUGUGUAUGUGUGAAGCAAUUUCCAGCAGCGUAGGCCUGAAGGAACAAUCCCUGUUAGUGGCUUGUUCCUUGAGACGACACGUGGGUGAGGAGGAUCAAUUUUCCUGUCUGUUUUGGGGGGUUUAAUUUGAGCUAAUCCAAAAGCUAUUUUUAGCCUGGUUCAUUAGUUGCACAGAGAAAACACACAGUAGAAACAUUCAGUUGCAAAAACCUACAGAUAACUCACCUCCAGGCUGAGAGUUUGCUCACCUGUGCGCACUUUUUACCCAUCAAGCUUCAUUUUUCGAGGCGUAUGUGAGUUUGUGCAAGAGACCCCAGGCGAAUUGGCUCUAAACUGCUCCAUGGACUCAGCUUAUCUAUUAUACCAGAAGUCAGCAUGUUUGCUAAAUGCUACACAGCUGCACAAAAACUGCACAUUGCUUAACCCAAUGAAAUUUCACACAGAAAGGUAGUAUUUACUGACCUUCCCAAACACCGUUUUUGUCAUGUUAGGCUAGUUUAUCAAAUUAAAUUUGUGGAGUAAAAUGAUUUGUCAAUUUAGCUUUCGUGUAAUGGCGGUUAUGGGGUUACACCCAUAGAUAUAUAUAACAAAGGCUAGAUGACUCGAGGUGGAGUCACCGGCGUCCCUACACUGCAGCCAUCUUACUCCAGUAUAUAAUUCUGGUACGCUCUAGGGUAGCUGAUGGAAUCUGCUGUAAUCUGCAUGAUCAAAAAUACUCUUAACUCGUUGAAAUCUUGACUGAUUUACAAAUGGUUUUGUUUAUAACAGACCUUAAUAAUGUGGCUAUGAGUCAGAGUGUUUGGACAUAUUGAAAUGUCAGAAUUUCUUUGAGAAAAAAAGAGACUUAAUCAUGAAGCACAGUUGUUUCACAGCUAUUUGCACGUAAAGGCUAACUUACUCGCUUUGUCAAGGCUGAGACCACAAUCGAGAUUUAAUUUCUUGUAUGACAGCCCGUUUUUAUUUUAUUUAUUCAUUUUGUCUCAGUGACAGCCUUAGUGGAUGUGCUUGUGUUUAUCUGCUGUCUUACGAGGCUAACAGACUUGCUGUGAGUGAGACCAAGUACAUAUUACAAAGUUGACCCAGCAAUUUUACAUCAGUUGAAGGGGCAGAAAUGCUCUUUCGAUUCAACAUAACUUAAAUUGCACAUCCAAGCUGUUUGGUUUGUUAAAAAACAUCUAAAACAGCAACAUGAGGCAGGAAUUUAUAUUGAAAAGAAAUACAUGUUAUUGUUAUACGUUGUUAUAGUUAUUCUUAUAAUAGAAAUAUUACUAAUAUCACAUACAUGGGAUGAUUAAAUGUUUCAUAUAUAAAUGAUUUAAUAUACCUGCCUUGUGUGUGUAAGCCUAUAGCGUUUGCUCUAUCUAUCUGCUUAACAUACAUUUAUGAAAAUCCAUGGUUAAAAUUAUUCUUAAGUAUGCAGGAACAUAACUAAAACUCUGAGGUUUGUUACAAACCAAACCAUUCGAAAAUCGGUUUAAAAUUAAGAAAUCUAUGGUUAUUUAAACGCUACAUGCACCGUAGACUGUAAUGUUAUGAGUGGGCGAGCAUUUCAUAGCAAAAUGGCCGCCAUGCGCGGACGUCGGUAUUCAUUGGUUUACAGCGUGCGUGAGCCAUCAAGCCUUUCUUAUAGAUAUCUAUGGUUCUACCAGGCAAAUUGGUUACUUAGCAUCAUAGCUAGCAUGAUUGCUAGCUGGUACAAGAAAAAACUACUCAGUUGCAUGGUAAUUGUACAUUACUGAACUCAUUGGGAAUUUUUACAGAUAUACAGUAACUUACUGUUUAUUCAGGAUUAUAAGAGCUGCAUGUAUUGUAAGAAAAGGUGCUAUAUUGAUUUAAGUCAUUCUAUGUUAAUGAUGGUUUAGUAUCAUGAUCAUAAUCCUUGUUGUAUUUUCCAGGGUAAACAAGCUGAAAGUUUAAGCCCAUGUGCAGGAAAGCAGUAUUUUCUCCCCUUUUUAUUCAACUCCAGUCCCCCCCCUUUUUUUGAAGACUUUUCUUGUACUGCAAGUGCAUGAAUAGGUGGGAUAAACCUCAGCUUUCUUGGCCGCUCAGUGGCCUCUGAGUAAGUGAUUUUAACAAGUGAGUCUAAGAGCAUGGAUGCAUUUUGUAGCGCCGAGUUCAAAAGUUGACACAUUGAAGUGCAAAUUGAGUGUCGUCUUCCCUUCUUAUCUACUUUGUGUUGCUUUCUGUCAUCCUGCCAUCUCGUGCCCGCUUCAGACGGCAAUUGUGUCAAUCCAAACCUGACAUUUACGGAGAUGAAGACACAAUUUUGUUCGAUGCUGAACCGAAAAAGGAAAAAAAUUGUGCCAGUUCAGAGAGGGGUGUGCUUGCCGGAGAUGAUAAAAAGUGACAAACAACAAUAAUACUUGGAAAAAAAAGAAAUCGAUGUGGAUUUAUUUUCUGGAUAUCUUCUGCAAGUGUGGAAAACUGAAAUGAAAACAGGCAUUUGAAUUCAGCUUGGAUGCCAAUGGCGUGCAGCGCUCGGUGCUUAGGCCUCUAGUGACUGAGGGCGCAUGCAAAUGUUACACGCUGCCUUGUUCGUGAGGAAGAGUGAGAAUGACGCAUCGGGCCUUCUGCCAAAGUUCUGUGGUGAUAAACAGAUGCACAUACUAUAUGCAACACUACACACCAGUAGAAACAAAUGGUGCAUAUGCCUGUUUUGGAUUGUUUUAUAUGUGCAUGAGUGUUUAAAAAUCCAAUCGAAGCAGGUGGAAAAGCUGUCAAUUUUGUAUUUUCGCAUUUUUUUGUCACACUAAGUACCGAUGAAGUCUUCAUCCACUUAAAGUCAAAGCAGCUUGAGUAAAAAGUGUCCAAAAACUAGUCUGACUUUAACUAAAUUUAUAAUGAAUCCAAACCCUUUUUUUCCACCAGUAAACAGAGGGAAAACCAACAAGCAUAAAACAGCGAAACACUCCCUCUAAAAUGCAUUAUUUCUGCUUUGCUUAAUGGAGAUUUUUAGAGCAUCCCCCAGUUUGUGCGUGCUAGUCUAAAUGCAUGAAAGUGCAUGCGGAAAAAAAGCUAAAUAAGACAAAUGGAAGAGCACACACACACACACACACACACAUUCACAAGUCUGACUCAGCUAGUUUUUGAACAGUGCUGAUGGUCGGCAUAAACGCCCCGGAGGACGAGGUCGCAGCGGGGUCACGUCAUUAACCUGCCCGUGUGUGUUUCCGGAUCAGCUGCUGGGAAACCUCCACGGGGGUAUCAAUCAAAAGGGAGGGGCCCACUGUGUUUUGAGUGCAUGGGAGUGUGGAGAGAGAGUUUGCUGGUGAGGUAGCAGAGGGAUUAACCCCACGGGAGAAAACUGAUCAAUCAUUCUGCUUUUGAUGUGACUGUCUCCAGAAAUUUGUGAGGAGAUGUUUAAUUCAAUCUGCAGAACAAUAAGAUGUGGGAAUUUUAAUAUUUCGGGGGUUAAUGUCUUCACGUAUGUCAGUUUUCAUGAUAAAAGAUGUCAGAAGAAAUUAUCCAUUGAUGUAAUAAAGCACCUAUCAGAAGGUGGUGUGGUGGACCUGACGGGCACAAACAACAAAAAGUCAUAGAACCCAAAAAAAAGCAUAAACAGGAACAUACAAUUUUCAUGACAAUAAUAAUAAUAAUAAUAAUAAUAAUAAUAAUAAUAAUAAAAAGAAGAGGAAGAAGAAAUGUGGAAUACUUAACAUCUAGGGAAAAAUUUUGUACGAGACUCUAAAGUAUUUUCUAAACCAACUUAUUUCAUAAAAUGCAGAAGCAUUGAACAGAAUGAGAAUAUACAUCUUUCAUUGAAACAAUUGGGAUUUUUUUUGUUUUUUAUUUGGAAAAAAAAAAACUGAGAAAUCAAAUCAACGGCAAUAAAAAGUAUCAAUAAAAGGUCAUGGUUCAUGAUUUUUUAAAAAUAUUUCAUUAAGUAUUUUGUAGGUUCUGUGUUAUUUCGCAUUUUUUUUCCUGUUUUUCUUUACACUUAAGGUCCUUUUACACCGGGAGCGUUUAUUUUGUGCAAUUAUUUCGGACGUCAGUAUUUUUUUUUUGAACCUGUAUCCUGUCAAUACAAGCGUUCACGUCAGCGACGUUUUCCUAUCCUGUGAUAUUGCAGCAUUUUUUCGUAUCAGGGUCGAUUUUUCUAAAGUUUUGCGAACUAUCUGUCUACUUCUGACCAAUCAGAUUGCGUGUUGUUACGACGUCAGAUUCACCAGUAUAUCCAACGUGGCCGACCGGCUGAUUGUUUAUGUGUCAGAGAACAGAGUGCUUUUUGAUAAAAAACACAAAUAUUACAAAGAUAACGACCUGAAGGACAACUUGUAGAGAGUCAUAGCGUCAGAUUUCUCAUAUGACGAUGGUUUGUGUGCUUUAACAGUUUGCUAAACGUCUUUGUUUUAACUUUCAUCUGUGCUAAGUAACUUUAGCUCGUAAGCUAACCUGUUCAGAUACAACAUACCAUAUGUAUUUUCACUGUCUCAAACUCAAUCUCGUUGCUGUCACAGCACCAUUAGGUCUCAGUUGUUAACUUACGUUUAUGGAUUAUAGUUUAAUGUGCUUAUCUGGUACUGGCCCCGACUCAGUACAUGCUAUCAUGACAGACAGACAUCUCAACACUAGUGUCUAAUUAGAACUGAAAAACAGUCAGUCUGCUGUUGUGUCAGUCUUCUCGCCUCCAUCCGGGACGCGUCUUUUUUUCCACCCAGAAAGUCGCAAAAUCGCAUCGCACUUGAUGUGUUUAGUCAGGCGCGUCAAAAUUCGCCUCCGAAUAUUCCAUAAUUUCGCGUCAUAUAUUUGCGUUGUUCCUGGUGUGUAAGGACCUUUACCCAAUUAUGGGUCAGAAAUGUGAAAUCCCAGAUUCCCUCUGAUGCAAAUAAAAUUCAAAUCCUAUCACAAGUGGGAACUCCCAGAGAUCUUGAAGUUGAUGAUUAUUAGCCUUUAAAUUUCAGUGAGUCAAUACAAUUCCAAGACCAGGACACACUUGAUCUGCUUAAAACCAACUGAUUUCACGCUGUGCGCCCAUGUUUGUUUCUUUCCUGCACUGUAAAUUCAACUACCUCCUCUGUGAAGGGUGCGUGAUUGUGCAGAGCUUCUCACUGGUAGUCCAAGUGUUGUUGCACCCAUCAUGAAUCUGCUCUUGGAGGUGAUACUUGUUCCGAAGUGGUACUAAGAAAACACUUAUUUCCCCCCUGUGGCACCCUGAUAGUUAAAUCGGUAAACAGGGACUUUGCUUUGUACCUGGAGUUCACUGCCUCACUUCAGCUCUGACUUUGACAGCUCUGAACUGAGAGCGGGAUAAAAUAAAACAUUCAGUUCAGACCUAGACAAAUUUCAUUAGAAGAUAUGCGCGCCAUUUGAAAUGUAACACCUACUCCGAGGAAGCGAUUCCCUCAAAAGAGUGUAAGUCAAUAUUAAAUGUGAUUGAAAUGCAACCGUAGUCACAACAAGAGUACACCGCUCAGGGUGUAAUCAAUUUUACUUUGUAAAUAUUAAAGCAUUUCGCAGUUGUCAUUUGAUGCUCUUGUGUUAUACACUGCAGUGCACCGGGCGGAUCGAGAAGAGGUAGAAAGUGGUUCAAACCAAUAUGAGUGGUGUUUUUUGGCUUUUUUUGUUGCAAGAACUUGUUAUAAGCAGUCGGAUUAGGAGGAAAACAUUACAUGGAGAUGUUUUAAAGUGAGUUUGAUCAAAGUAAAUCAGAUCAAAGCUGCUCUUAGCCAUGAAGGAUGGGCACCUCUUGGCAUGAGUCAUAAAAGAGUAUAAGAGACAAACUACUACAAACACUAGCAACUACCCGGGGCUUUCAGGUUUGGGGGGUAUUGCCAGACCCCUUUUUUAUUAUACAAAUCUGUCCUUCAGUUCAUUCCUGUGGGUAGUUUAGCUAUAAAAGUGAGGCAACAUGGUGUUGAAGCCCCUGUUAGAGGUCUGAAAUACUGCAGCACCUUAACCCAUUUACAUCUACUGUUUCCACAGCAAAGAUAUACAAUGGGCAAAAAGUUUGUCAAAAAAAACAAAGUUGUUCAGGGACAGAUUCUGGAUCAUCUGUAUGGUGUACUAGCGCUUGUUCUCCUGGAGAGCUCGCCGAGUUUGUUUUGGUGCUUUUCCGCCUCUACAUCCAUCUGCACUGGUCUUCACUCUACUCCUUUUUGCAACAUUUAGGUGACCAAACAAUACAACGCUUUGUCAAAUCAGAGCAUCCCUGCCCACUCAGACUACUACAUGAAUAACAAGGCCUUGAUGAACAACCAUUAUUGUCAUUUACACCAUUAUCGAUAGCACUUUGCGUGGUUGGAGAAGUAGUUCAGGGGACUAAAAAGUCAGGGGUACUUUUGGACACUUAGGUGAUUGUCGGCUGCCCACUGUCUUUUAAUAAGCAACUGCAACCAUGCAAUAUGGAUGUAGACCAAACUGUUUCACAUUUAUUCAAGAAAAAGAAUAAAUAUUUACUUUUUUUUUUCACUUUUUAGAAGUGAAGUUUUUGGCAUUUGGUUAAGAGAUCUAAAAAAGUGGAAAGUAUCGAUAUCCCAGAUCUUGGUUUUCUGAAUUUUCUCUAUCAAAGUAAAUAUAUUGGAAUAUCUGAUUUUACAAUUUGCAAUGCCCUCUACAAACAUGAGCUGCAUCUUAAACACAGUGCUGCAAAAGACAGCAUUAUUGAUAUAAAAAUGCAUUGUAAACAAAUGUCAGAAUGACAUGAGAGCAAAAAGGAAGAGAAACAAUGGGUAUUUUUGUUUUCCCACUCUCAUUUAAGUGCCCCAAAGAAAAGGCAAAACAAAAGCUGCGAACACCUGUGUCAGAGCCAAGAAUUCUCUAAAAAGGCCACGGCUCAAGCUUAUUUUUGGCACAAAAAACACAACUACACCCCCGCCAUGCUACCGUCACUUCAUUCUAGUGUGCUCCAGCACGAGUGAUGUCACGCAGGCUGCGAAAUUACCGGCGAAUGUGGGGAGGGAUGCACUUGCGCUCAAUGAAAUUACCACUUUGCCAGCGCAAGGGUCAGUGCGCUUGAUCUGCGGCUGCAUGCAAACACAGCUUUAGUGUUUGCAAAGUAACAAACGCAUCAGUAAAGGCCGGGCCGUUCUGCACUGUGGUAUCAUUACUGUGGCAUUAUGCAAAUUUACUGCUGUUUUUAGAAGUCGAUUAAGACCUUUAUGAUGCAAAAAUAAGCCCACGAGUGCUAGUCUAGCAAGAGCACAAGUUCAUGAACUUGCAAUCUUAGAAAAGAGAGAUAAAGGUGCUUCAUGAAUGUGAACUUAGCACAAAGCUUGAGAUGAAUUCAGGAAAAUGAAAUCAAUUAAAAGGGCAUUGUUUGAAUGCGGGGGCUUGUUUGAUUGCUGCUUUGCAGAGUCAGGAAGUCAAAUGGGAAUCUGAGGACAUGGCAGGCUUCUACACGUGUUCGUUUUUAAUUUGGAGCCUCAAACAGCCACUCUUUUUUUUUGUCUCCCUAUCGCUCCCCUCUGUAUGCCCUUCAGACAAAGCGGAAACGGUUUAACAUAUCUUUAAAAAUGGAGGAGCACAAGGCCAGUUAUCUCACUGCAUAACUCAAAAUGUUCCCCUUUUUUUUUUGCGGUGCACGGCAAUCAGCACAGAAAAUAAGCAAGUACGAAAGGUUAUACGCUUGACUGUCUUUGCAUACAGGCGAAACGAUUUCCUCCAAAUGCACAGGAGGACCUAAAAGGAUUCAUUUCGGUUCCAAAAAGUGGCUCUUUUGCUCUCAUCAAAAAUUGAUCAUUGGCAAAUAGAAACAAUGUACCUCUCUUGUCCACUGUGGUUUCGCUUGACAGGAAUGAAUGUGUUUGCAGAGUUCCCCUUGCACAAGGGUUCGAUACUUCGUCUUGAAGAUGGAUGUGGCUUUUUUACAAAUUGUCAAACGUCUUUAGGCUCCCUGGACAGGCAGUUUUGUUUUUUAUAGCUCUGAUGAAAUGAAGAGACUAAAAAUAAAUCAGCAUACUCGCAGACAUCCGGCUGUCUGUGAAUUACUGAGCUGGAGGCAGAGAUGAGCGCAAUCAUUGCAGCAUUGAAGGCAUUUAUUUAGAUAUCAAACGGUGAUGUGUACUCUGCAGGAAGCUUCCUCUUCCAUCGCUGGUUUGAUGCUUUUUCUAUAAAUUAGAAUCAGUGUUGAUUUAGCUCCGUGCAAAAUAAAAGGGCAUCUUUUCGAGAAUGCAUUUACAAUGGACCCUUCGUGAAAGCUGGAAAAUGGUGUUUUAGUGGAGUGGCUGAUAAAAAAUGCACCACUAAAUUGUCUGAAUGAUGAUUUAUUGAAAAAAUCUCCUUGUUCAUAAAUCAUGCGGCACACACUUAGUGUCACAAAGGCCUGAUGCAGCGCCUGAGACAUGUAUGUCACGGGCUGACAUUAAUAGACACCGCACACAGUUCAUUCAUUUAUUGAACAAGUGCGUCCUGAUUCAUGAAGUGCAUUUUUGCAGGUGUUUUAUGAGACAGCGCCAAAGAGUGGAGGAAGGUGGCGGGUGCGCUAAUGCUGCAAUCAUUUACCCAUCGUCCGCGCCCACCUUGAUGUAAGUGCAGCGCCUAAUUUCUAUUGCCCUACCGAGGCCAUUAUGGCCGCUAACCCAAUAAUGUAAUUGACUCAGGGAGUGGAGGUAGAUGCUCGCAAUUUCCUCCAUGCAGGAGGAGAUAAUGGUGGUGGUGGUGUUUGUCUGAGGCAACCUAGACAAAAUACCAACACUGUCGAAUCCAGUUGAAAAUAUUGCUCUCUUGAUGUGUUGCUGAUUUAGCUGAAUAAAUAUCAAAGCUGAUAGUUUAGCUAACUUUUCACAUUGUUCUUGUACAUUGGUAUCAGUACAGGUUUUGAAAGGGGGAAAAAAACAAAUACCAAUAUUAAUAUCAUCAACAGUUCCUAUGCCAAUAUUCAUACCUUUGACACUUAUACUGAGAGGGAUUUUGGAAACAGUUCUUAUUUCUGGACCAUAACUGAUACCAAUACUAACACCAAAGCCAAUGUCAAACCUUGGAUCCCAAUACCGAUAUCAACACCAUGACUGAUACCAUUAUCUAUUCAAUACAAAUACCAAUACUAGCAGUGACAGUUACACUGCUAUCACUACCAAUAUUUGUUCCAAUAGCAAUUUCUUUGCUCCUGCCAAUACUCACUAAGAAUGAAACCAACACCAGUGCCGUUAGUCUGUCUAUAUUGAUACCAACACAAAUAUCUAAAGAUACCAACACCGUUACUAUUCUUCAUACUUAUACCAAUAAUGAUAAGAGUAUUAAUACUGAUACCAGCCCAAAUACUGACACCAAUACUGAAACUUACACCAAUACUGAUGUGGUGUUACCACUGGUGUUAACAAUUGUACAACACUGAUAUUUACACUUACAGCAAUACUGAUAACAAUAUAGAUACUCUCUCAAUUAUUGUAUCAACAUCGAUAUUUUCACAUCUGUCAAUGUUUAUACCAAUAUUGUAACCGAUACCAAUGCCAAAGCUCAUGCCAAUACCGAUACCAAUACAAUAACUGAUACCAAUAUCAGUAUUCAGAAUGAUAUUGUGACCAAUUGCAACAUCACGACCAUUAUAAAUGAUGAUACAAAUUUAAAUAAAAGUACCGAUACCACAACUGAUAUCAUUAACUAUACUACUACUGAUACUGUUACCAAUAUUAAUAUCACUACUGGACUUAAGUACAAGACAGGAUUUUAGAGCAAAUACUGUUGUUGCUUUUUACAUGCCCACAAAUGAUAUGUUUUCUGGAUUUUCUUGCUUUUUAAGUCUUAAAGAAAAAAAAAAAAGAUUUAAAAAAAAUGGGGAAGUUAAAGGGGAAAAAAAACAGCCUGUGCUUUUAAUAAGUCGCUUUAAAACAGCACAUGGUAGGACAUACCAUGGGAUAUCGCUAUCCCUCGGGAGCAAAUGUCACUUAAUUGCAAACUAUUGAUUUUCCAGCAGCCAUUUGCUACUCUCCAGGCACCAAUCAGCAGAUGCUUCCUGUGUCCUGGUGAGGAUUCCCCUUCAUAGAUCUUGAUUAGCUGUUUCCGAUUAAUUGCUGUGACAACAGGGAACUGUUUUUUUUAGGAGCGGGAUUGACUGACCAGAGGAAAUCGGUAAGAUGAAGUCAAUGUGACUGCGUAUUUGAUCAAUGUGGGGAUUGUUUUUUUGGGUUGAAAUCAUGUCAGUUUAAAGACAGAAAACGUCGACACCAGAGAUUGAAGCUCCUCCUAGAGAGGGUUUAAUGAUCCUGUUGGGCGCUGCUUUUCCUCCUCGACUUAUUGGCUUUCUGUGGUCGCAUCGGUAGUCAGGUCAUUCCUACUUAGUUACACCAUUGCAAAAACUCACCCCAACCUUGACCUAAAGGUCUAAAAGAUAGCCCAGGACAGUGACCUUGUUUAACCUUUCAUUGAUUGACCUUGGAGUAACAAAAGGCGGUUAUUAAACAUCUAAACUCCUUGAACCCAGCUUUAACUACGUCUGUGGGAAGAGUACGGUGACAUGUUUAACGUUUUUUCAAUAAUGUAGCAUAAGCCUGUGUCUCAGUGUAGAAGUUGAAUAUUUUGAUGCAUUGCAUAUUUGGUCAAUAUUGGCCAACUAGAUGAUGUUCUGUUGAGCUUGAAGGCAAGAAAAACUUGGGUACCAUCUGGAUUUUUGACUUUAUGAUGAAAAAAAUACAAACUGUUCCAAAUAACUACUCUAGUAACAGUCAUUCAACAGGAGUAAACUGGCUGAGAUUCAAAACCCAAACAGCCACCAGCCUCGGCUUGCCGUCUAACAGAUGUUUUUUAGUGUUCAUUUACAGCUGUAUUUCAGUUCAACCCUGUUUACUGCAGUCAAAAGAAAGGGUUGACUCAUAGUACAUUGUGUGCAAGGUUAGAAAAUAUGAAUAUAAGGCUGUGGCACCUUGUUGGCCUGUGUUUGGGUUGCCAUUAAAACACUUAUAGUUUUGAGUGCAUUGGGUAAGUGUUCAUAUAUCAGUAGAAGAAAAAAAACUCUUAUCUUUUAGGAAAUUGGGAAAUCCACUUUUGACCCGCACUCUUGGCCCUCGUAUUUCCUGGCGAGCUGCCUUACAAAAGCAUGAAGUGCUGAAGGAUUCCAAAAAAUGGUGGGUUCAGAGAAAAUUGGACAUUAUUCACACGCUGAGGCCUUCGACUGACCUCCAGAAAAUCUGUCGGACAGCUGUCAGCUGUAAAACCUGCCUCAACCCACCGAGGUGAGAGGUGAGGGAUGCUUUUCAGCCCCGCAGCAGCAAUCGCAAAUUUAGCUUGACACAAACAGACGGCUUUUACAUCACCAAGCCUUCCAGGGUCUCCAAGUUUUGGACUGUAAUCUAUAAAGCCACCAAAGGGAACAAACAAAAGCCCCCCAAAAAUCUGAAUAACUCCAGCAAUAAAUAACACACAAAAAAAUGAAACAGACAUAUCUUAAAUCUAAAAGGAAAAGAUUUUGUGCUUCAGGAACAGAAAAGUACAAAAAGGAGCAAACUGACUUGGCAGGUGAUUGAUGUUGACCAGACUCCCUUGAAAAGUCAGCAACCUGAAGCUAAAAAGAGUCAGAAACGCAGGAAAAGAACGGAUCUCAGCACCCUGAAGUGACCUUGUUACAGUGCGUAGACGCCACUCAGCUUUUUGGUGAUCUCCCUAUUUCACAUUUUGAACCAUCCGUGUAUGACUUGUGAUGAGGCACUGUGGACGUGUGGAAGUAGGAGGACAGCAGUCACAUUAAAGAAGUGAUGGAUAGAUAAUCAGCUGGAAUAAAAGAAAUGAGGGCGGUCCAGAGGGGGCACAAGUGCACAUCCUUUACUUAACUUAAAACAUGCAAAUUUAACAUAUGGGAGACCAACUGUGCUGCACUGUAUUUAUUAACAUCACUUAGAUAACUCCAGUUUAAAAUGGUGGAACGGUUUAUCAACACUUAACAGAGCAUGUGGUAACAUUAAGUAGAUGUUUUAUCAUCCGUUCAUGUUAAUAUACAGUAUGCCACUGUGAAAAGGCUUCCUCAUGCCUUUUUUUUAUUUAUUUUUUUUAUUUUAUUUGUGCAGCGUGACAAUACAAGACAUACAACAUACAACAGCAUUUGUGGUUUUGUGUGUGUGUGUGUGUAUUAUAUAUGUAAAUAAUAAUGAAAAAAAUAAAUAAAUAAAUAUUACAAUUGUCAGACAAGCAAAAGAAAAUUAUAAUACACGAACAAUAUCAAUAAUAAUAAUAAUAGUAAUCAUAACAAUAAUAAUAAUAAUAAUAGUAAUCAUAACAGUAAUAAUAAUAAUAAUAAUAAUAAUAAUAAUAAGAAGAAGAAGAAGAAGAAGAAGAAGAAGAAGAAGAAGAAGAAGAAGAAGAAGAAGAAGAAGAAGAAGAAGAAGAAGAAGAAGAAGAAGAAGAAGAAGAACAACAUUCAAUAUUAAUAAAGAAAAGCAAUAAUAAUAAUAUGGGUGGAGGGGGGGUCUUGAAAUUUGUGGACCACCUCGGGUCCCUUCCCACUCGCGCGAGACCUGCCUGGAUCCCCCCCAGGCCCCCAGACCCCCCCCCCCCCCCAUGCCUUUUCACCAGACCCACUCUCCCUACAGCACCAUGAUUACGUCAAGUGAGUUCACCUGUGCCUGAGCGGUCAGAGUGGAGCUCCUGAGCUGGGGUGACCAUAUUCUGAUUUCUCGAAAAGAGGACACGACAACGCGGGGGCGGAGUCACGGUGUUGCACAAAGUUAAUUUUGAGAUUUUUUCGGAGUGUCUUUUACACGCUUCUAACUCAGUAAGACCACAUGACACAAAAUUGAAACUUUUGUACAAAACCGCAGACAUUUGAAAGAUUAAACAAACUUUCCUGGACAAAGCUGGACCGGCCCCAAAAAAGAGGACAGGUCCGGGUAAAAGAGGACGUACGGUCACCCUACCUGAGCGUGUUGUCUCAAUGAACUGAGUAAAUCCCUGCUCUUGAUAGGAUUGUGCUUUCAUUUAGUGUUGGUAUGUGCACGUUUUGAGUUUCCACUUUUGCUUGGUGUUUUGCCAUAUUUAAUGAGAUUUUAAUUUUUCCUGGUUUUAUCCUAUUAAAGGAUGCAUCACAGUUUUUCAUAAUUGACAGAAAGUAGAUAUAUUUGUUAAUAUUUAUGGAUUCACGACCAAGAAAUCAAGAAAGUCUGAGUUUGCUACUGUAGAUACGGUUAGUUGUCACAGAUAUUUCAGCGUUUAAAAUAAAUAUGGCACUUUUAGAGGUUGUUGGAAAGUUGAAUUUGAACUCCACUGUUUCCUUUCUUUUUCCUUUCACCCUCCACCAGGUUUGAGUUGUUUGCUUUUUUGAAAUUUGAGUGGGUUGAAGUUGGAGAAAUUUCUUUUCUACUUUGACAGCCUGGUAUUAUCCUAAAAAAAAGGAACUAUUUUGUUGUCAGAGCCAGAAUCUUAGCUGAUGAAACAAACAAAAACAAAUGUGGUGGAUCAAAUAUUCCUUGUUAACCUAGAGGAUAUUUUGAUUGUAUUGCAUUCUGACUGCUUUAAUGGUAAAAAUUUGAUUCAAGGUUAUAAAUAUUUAAGAACAAAGAUUGGUUAUAUUUUUGUAUGUUUGGCAUGGAAGUCGCCGCAUAGGCUCAUAAUUUCUUCUAAAACCACUUUUUAAAACAAAAGCUUUCAAUUUCAAAAUUGUAAUGUGUUGUCACUUUUCCCCGCACUUUUUAGGAAAAAUAAAAUGUUAAAAAAUUUGAAACUGGUAAAUUAAAUUUUUCCACAAUGUCACAACCUUUUUAUAAUCGGAGUUCCAAUUAAACUUUUGUAAAUUUCCACAUUUCUCAGGUUCAUCAGCGAGCACUGUUGGCUUGAUCGGGUUGAAAAUUGGGUUUCUUUGUGACCUUUAGCAACACACCAAGAGUUUCCUCAAAUCUAGAGGUUCAAGUGCAAAAAAAGGAGUGUUUCUACUUUGUACAUCUCGCCUCAAGUGUGAUUAAAAGACAGCAGCGCUCUCUUGUGACGCCUCACGUGUGUAAUGGCACACCAAUAAUUAAGUAAGUCAGCUGUUAAAUAACCUAUGGAUCAAAUACCUUUCCCCAUUUGCAAUUCGUCGAGGUGUUGUGACUGCUGGGAAUUAAAGGCGUUCCCAUUAGCAGGAUGAAAAAUCCCUUUUUUUCCCCCCUCAGCUUAUCCUCUCUAAACCUACUCUAUUUUAUUUAGGAUGAGUACAACAAAACAAAGGGUGUUUAAAUCUUACACCAAAACCCAUGCACCAAAUAAUAACGGCGUUAAAGAAACAGGAGGAACAGCGGUGCGUUGAGUCAUACGGAGCAUUCAGUCGUGAAGGCCAUCUCUUAUUUUGCUAAGCCGUCACGCAAGUGUUGCUAAGCGCCAAGCGUGUACCACUGGAUGCAUUUUAAACUCUAUCUUAAAAAAAAAAAAAACGCUUCACUUUUGUUGUCGAGUAAGUUGUCAUGACAGGAGUGCAGGAAUAAAACGGCAAUUACUGAAGGCGCUGUGAUUUUUCCAGUGGAGGAGUCGCAGGAUCGGGAGUUUCAGAUUCGCAGUGGAGACAACGGCGAAUAUGUGUGUGUCUUUGAAAGUGAUGGCAGCUGCCCUUGAAGUGAAAUGCCUCACGCCGACUCGGUGUUGGCAUCCAAUGUAACGUUGAUUGGAUCCCCACUGCGUGUGUCGUCUAAUAAAUCAAGCGCAUGUUCUCCUCCUCCUCACCCUGUCUUGCUCUCACUGCGCUCCCUAUAGACUGCAUCCUGGAAUAAAACUGACAGUAAUCAUAAUGGUGGCGCCAUGGGGUUAAGGCUGGGAAAUAAAAAACGGUCUUGAGGUUAAGCUCGAAAAAACAAAGUCGUCAUUGUCGCUGCUGGAAAGUGUCUGGGUAUCUGGCACGAGCGCAACUCUAUAAACUUUAACCUGCAUUUUAAACGACUGCCAGGAAGGACGCCCGACUCUUCUGUCUUCCCUCUCGAGACCAAUCGGCGGUGGCUUUUGGCGGCUGAUGGAAAGACGGAUGCGGGGGUGUGGGAGAGCCGGCGUUUUGCGAGGAGUGAUUGUGAGAGGACAGCAGUGGCAGAAGAUGUCCUCUACACUGUGAUUAAUUCCAGACCCAAUGUGAUUUAUGGCCCCACCACGGCUGUUUUGUAGGUCACUUUGGUGCCACAUCACUCAAGCUGUGCAAACAACAAGUCUGAUAUCAGUGUUGGUAAACCGUAAAGGAGGACACACACACCCGCGCCCACGUCGAAUAUGAAAAUGUUCUGCUUUGAUUUUUUAUUUUUUUUUUUUAAUAUUUGCGAGUCGUGUCAUCAAAUGAAUUUUGGAAAUCAGGGUGAGUCAAAGAGAUGCACUGGAAACAAACAUCCAGCUGGCCUGCAGAGACUGAUGCGGGGGGAGGGAAUGGUAAACAGAGCGUGGACUUUUAAUCCUUACAGACUUCUUUUAUUCUUCUUCUUUGACAAAAUAUUUCUGCGGUACAGUUAUGUUUGGAGGGAACAUCUCCUGCUCGGAUAAUGUUUACAAAAGCAGUUUAUUUUCCCUUGCAGCACAGUUAUUUUCCCAAUGAGGGGCUUGUGCCAGCUGUAGAACACUUGGUAUACUCGCCAGAUUCAGAUCUGAACAGCAGCAAACAAGCACACAUUUGUGUACUUAGCAGCCAAAUCCAUUGGCGCCUGUAGACACAAAUGUGUUCAACAUAUGUGGAUUUCACGUCAUGAUAAUCGAAUUUAUUCAGCUCUUCUGCUGGAUUGGUUUCUGUUGAUAAAUACCACAAAAUGAGUUAGUCCAGGCAGGCUGCAUAGUCAAACUCAACCUAUAGCCCAUUGGCCUGUCAUCUGAGCUAUUUCUUUUUCUUGUGCUUUUAUUUUGAAAGGAUAAAACAUUUAUUCAGCACUUCUGCUGGAUUGGUUUCUGUUGAUAAAUACAUCAAAUUGAGUUAGUCCAGGCAGGCUGCAUCGUCAAACUCAACCUAUAGCCCACUGGCCUGUCUUUUGAGCCUUUUCCUUUUCUUGCGCUUUUAUUUUGAAAGAAUAAAAGAGUUAUUCAGCUCCUCUGCUGGAUUGGUUUCUGUUGGUGAAUACAUCUAAAUGAGUCAGUCCAGACAGGCUGCAAAGUCAGUCUCAAUCUAUAGCCCAUUGGCCUGUCUUCUGAGCUAUUUUUUUUUCUUGUGCUUUUAUUUUGAAAGGAUAAAAUAUUUAUUCAGCUCUUCUGCUGGAUUGGUUUCUGUUGGUGAAUACAUCAAAAUAGGUUAGUCCAGGCAGACUGCAUGGUCAAACUCAGCCUAUAGCCCACUGGCCUGUCCUCCGAGACCAUUUUCUUUUCUUGUGCUUUUAUUUUGAAAGGAUAAAAGAGUUAUUCAGCUCCUCUGCUGGAUUGGUUUCUGUUGGUGAAUACAUCUAAAUGAGUCAGUCCAGGCAGGCUGCAAAGUCAGUCUCAAUCUAUAGCCCAUUGGCCUGUCUUCUGAGCUAUUUUUUUUUUCUUGUGCUUUUAUUUUGAAAGGAUAAAAUAUUUAUUCAGCUCUUCUGCUGGAUUGGUUUCUGUUGGUGAAUACAUCAAAAUAGGUUAGUCCAGGCAGACUGCAUGGUCAAACUCAGCCUAUAGCCCACUGGCCUGUCCUCCGAGACCAUUUUCUUUUCUUGUGCUUUUAUUUUGAAAGGAUAAAAGAGUUAUUCAGCACUUCUGCUGGAUUGGUUUCUGUUGAUAAAUACAUCAAAUUGAGUUAGUCCAGGCAGGCUGCAUCGUCAAACUCAACCUAUAGCCCACUGGCCUGUCUUUUGAGCCUUUUCCUUUUCUUGCGCUUUUAUUUUGAAAGAAUAAAAGAGUUAUUCAGCUCCUCUGCUGGAUUGGUUUCUGUUGGUGAAUACAUCUAAAUGAGUCAGUCCAGGCAGGCUGCAAAGUCAGUCUCAAUCUAUAGCCCAUUGGCCUGUCUUCUGAGCUAUUUUUUUUUUCUUGUGCUUUUAUUUUGAAAGGAUAAAAUAUUUAUUCAGCUCUUCUGCUGGAUUGGUUUCUGUUGGUGAAUACAUCAAAAUAGGUUAGUCCAGGCAGACUGCAUGGUCAAACUCAGCCUAUAGCCCACUGGCCUGUCCUCCAAGACCAUUUUCUUUUCUUGUGCUUUUAUUUUGAAAGGAUAAAAGAGUUAUUCAGCUCCUCUGCUGGAUUGGUUUCUGUUGGUGAAUACAUCUAAAUGAGUCAGUCCAGGCAGGCUGCAAAGUCAGUCUCAAUCUAUAGCCCAUUGGCCUGUCUUCUGAGCUAUUUUUUUUUUCUUGUGCUUUUAUUUUGAAAGGAUAAAAUAUUUAUUCAGCUCUUCUGCUGGAUUGGUUUCUGUUGGUGAAUACAUCAAAAUAGGUUAGUCCAGGCAGACUGCAUGGUCAAACUCAGCCUAUAGCCCACUGGCCUGUCCUCCGAGACCAUUUUCUUUUCUUGUGCUUUUAUUUUGAAAGGAUAAAAGAGUUAUUCAGCUCCUCUGCUGGAUUGGUUUCUGUUGGUGAAUACAUCUAAAUGAGUCAGUCCAGGCAGGCUGCAAAGUCAGUCUCAAUCUAUAGCCCAUUGGCCUGUCUUCUGAGCUAUUUUUUUUUUUCUUGUGCUUUUAUUUUGAAAGGAUAAAAUAUUUAUUCAGCUCUUCUGCUGGAUUGGUUUCUGUUGGUGAAUACAUCAAAAUAGGUUAGUCCAGGCAGACUGCAUGGUCAAACUCAGCCUAUAGCCCACUGGCCUGUCCUCCGAGACCAUUUUCUUUUCUUGUGCUUUUAUUUUGAAAGGAUAAAGGAUUUAUUCAGCUCCUCUACUGAACUGGUUUCUGUUGGUAAAUACAUCAAAAUGAGCAAGAAUGAACUAUGAUUAUAUGUGGACUAGAGGUAGGAAUGCUUUUACAUACAAUACAAAACCCCUAUUGUGGAUGAUGUCAUUGCUCCUCCACACUUAAUUCAAGUUACUCUACCCUUAAACUUUGUUUUUGCAAGUAUCAUUAUACCCAAGACAAAAAAAAGAGGAGGCUCAGGGUCAAACAUGAUGUAAAACCACCAGAACAACAGCAGAAACAUCCAUGUAAACACACCUUUAACAGGGGAUAAUAAAGUUGCUUACUCAUCUUUACCCUGCUGGUUUCUGCUGUGAAAUUAUGGACCAAUUACUAGAAAUCUGAUGAGAAUCUGUCAGCAAAAAGUAAUGGAAAUGAGGCCCAGGUUAACGAUCUCGCUUUAUGGCUUAAUAACAUUGUGAUGCUAAUAGAUACAAACACAGCCUGGCAGCAUUUAGGGCGAUUGGCCUCAAUGCAGGAGUUGAUUAUAGGAAUUUGUCAUACACUGUUUAACGCUUACGUAAUGUCGGAAUUAUCCUUUACUCAGAUAGUUUUUUUCUCUCUGCGAGCUAGUAGAAGAAUUCUGCCCUCCUUGCAUGCUAUUUUGGAGUGAGUCAACUGACAGACAUUACAGCCACCAUUAG
Xyrichtys novacula (pearly razorfish) is the source of this 94696-nucleotide non-coding RNA. NCBI's taxonomy places the organism in Eukaryota, Metazoa, Chordata, Actinopteri, Labriformes, Labridae. The record is from the annotation of a GenBank genome assembly.